Molecule: long non-coding RNA, 128749 nt
Filed under: Vitis vinifera (wine grape)
Lineage: Eukaryota; Viridiplantae; Streptophyta; Magnoliopsida; Vitales; Vitaceae
Description: long non-coding RNA (VVIN_LNC006935)
Source: RNAcentral
UGCAAAGAAUCCUAUACAUCAUGAUAGGACGAAACACAUCGAGAUAAAUCGACAUUUCAUUUCAGAAAAGAUUGAGAAGGCAAUUGUACAGUUGGUCUAUACUCCUACAAAAUCCCAAAUGGCACACAUACUCACUAAAGCUUUUUCAAGAACUAACUUUGAAGAACUGAGUCACAAGCUGUGCAUGUACAAUAUCUAUGCCCCAGCUUGAGGGGAAGUGUGGAAUUCUAGCUUAAAGUUAGUGAGGAAUGCUAGGGUUUGUUAACGUUAUUUUUGGUAUUUUGUUAUUAGUUCCAAAUUUAAUAUAUUUCCUUGUUUAGUGGAGAUUUUGGUCUCUAAUCAGUUAAGAUUGAGUCCCGGUCCUUAUGGUGACUGAUUGCACCAUUCUCUUGUAUAUAUAUAUCAUGUUGUAUUAUAUAGAAAGUAAGAGAAUUAAUAAAUAAAUAAAAAUUCACUUAUCAUAAAUCUUCAAUGUGCAAAGCAUCAUUAUUCAAAUUUUUUGUUUGUUUGUUUUUGUUUUGUUUUGUUUUGUCUUGUCUUGUUUUGUUUUGGAGGUAAUUGUGUUGGAUGACUUAUGUCUGUGUUAGACAACAAAGCCUAUCUUAAUGCUACUGUAAAGCAAGACUAUGCUAAUAACCUUUUAAUGUUUACAGUGUUUAUGCCAAACUGAAUUUUUAGUUUCCCUAAUUGAAAAUUUGUUUGUUUUCCCUAUUAUAUCGAUGCUAUUGUUAGAUUUGUGUUUCUAUUGAUCAAGCAUGUGCUAAAACUUUGUUUUUUUUUUUUCCUUUGCUACUUCAUGUGCAAAGCAUUAUUAUUUGAAUUUUAAUGAUUCCAUUCAAUUCAUUAUUCAAUAUUUUCAUUUGAUAUUACAUCUAUCACAUUUGUUUUCUUUUCUUAGUUUGUUUUGUUUUGUUUUUGUUUUUUUUUUUUAAUUUGUGAAAUUUGAAUUUGAUGGAGCCACCAUUAAUUUAUUUUUCCUUAUUAUUGUGGGGUGUGCUUUAUUUUGUUCAUGUAAAUAUCAUCGUUGUGGCACUAUUAUUAUUAUGUAACCUUUUUUUUGUUUAAUCUAUUGUUCCUAUGAGCAUUAAAUUCUCCUAAAAUGUAUGGAACAGGCUAAACCCUUUCUAUAGUUAUUUUAAAAAAUUUAUUUUUCAUCUAUUUUCUUGUGCUCAAAAAAUUAUAUUUUUUAGUAAAAUUGAAAUUUUAGGGAGCGCUUAUGCCUUAAUGACUCAACCCCUUGAGGGUUUAUACCUAUCUUAGCAAGAUGUAAACCCUCAUGCCUCUUAUGCUUUUACCUUAUGAAACUAUACCCAAAAACAAACACCACAACUCCUUGCCCCGAUCAAAGGAUACUUGAAAGUUUGCUUCAAAUCAAUUUCAAGGCUAAUAAUCAUAGGCUUGUCAAAUUCAUGUUGCUAAAAUUGGUAUUGUAACCAAAGUAAUAUUAGGAAAUCUUCAAGUUUCAGCUCCUCUUUUUAUGUUGGCUCUUGUAUUGUUAGGUGGCUUCAACCUUUUGCUUUACUUAUGCUUUAUGAGCUACUCCAAUUAAAAUAAUGCUUCAAGUAGAUGUUCUUUGGAUCUUCACUCUAGCAAGAUACUUGCAUUGCAAAAAUUUUUUGUAGUCCUAGAUAGGUUAACUAGGAAGACAAUAGCUUGCUUAAGAGGAUUGCCUCCUCUUCUAUUGGGUUUGUAAAAGUUUUGCUUCUCCCUUGACUUUAGGAGUCCCGUGGUUUCAAAUUUGGGUGUGCUCUAGGUUGUAGCAUGCCUUAUGCUUUCUAAAUGGUAAUCUUCUUCUUGUUUUGGCUAGGAUUCUUUCAUUUAUUUUGCUUGUUUGCUUUCUUUGUUUCUUUAUUGUGGUUGAAGGAUCACCAAUCAACUUUUUAUUCUCUGCAAAAAUUAUUUAUGUUUCAUACCUAAAAAAGAAAAAACAAAGGCUAGUUAGCCUAGAACAUGUUUUAUCUUGUUCUUCUUUUACUAUUAGUAUGGAUUCAAACUUGGGAAGAGGCCUUGAAACAAGUUGCAUUUGUGUUUUCUUAACAUACAUCUUUAUUCGAUCAUUUUUGUUAAGUAUUUGGUGUCUUGUUUGUUCUUUUAGUUGUUUUUGUCUCUGUCAAAGUGUAUAAUUGUAAUAUCCCAUAUCAUAUAGGGAAAAAAGUUUUUCGUGCUAUAUAUAUGUAUAAACUCCACUUAAUCUUGUAAAUGUGUUUUAAAGUCACGAGGGUUUCUUAGGUUCAGAGCAGAUAAUAUCUACACAGUUGGAAGUAGGUCAUUACUAAUGGUAUCGGAACCAAUCUCCAACCUCAAUGUGAGAGAUUGUUUAGCACCGAAAGGAGUGUCUAUCUAUUUGACCCUACAAUCAUGUGGAAUAUAAUAAGGAAAUUGGGUUUGCAUGAGGAGUGUGAUUAUGAUAUCCUACAUCGAAUAUGGGAAAAAGUUUCUAAUGUUAUAUAUGUAUGGACUCCUCUUAACCUUGUAAACGUGUUUUGAAAUUGUAAAUGUCACUUAAGUUUAGAGUGGACAAUAUCUAUACAAUUGGGAGUAGGUUGUUAUAAUAAUUUUGAUUUUCCUUCCAUAUAUGUUUAAUUGCAUAACAUUAUCAUAGAAAAAUAUUCAUCUAUCAUAAUGUAGCGUCUUGUAAAGCUUAUGUUGGGUGUUAUGAUUUUAUCUCUCAUCAUUUUUAUUAUUCUGAUUCAACAUCAUCUUAGCUUAUAAUCAAAAGGCUAUAAAUUGUAGGAUUCUUUUCUCCAAUUUUUUACUUGAUAUCUUAUAAUGCCAUGAAAUGUCUAUAUUUUGAUGCAGAAAGUCGUUCAUCCUUCAUCUCUCUCACUAGUUUUGCAGAACCAUAGUCAUUAGGCACAUGCAAGCGUUAGACAUGCAGCCACUUCCAGUGUUGGAAGAGACUUUGAACUACCUCUUAAACCUAUUAGAUCCACGGAGCAUCCUUUUGAAGUGGUUCAUGAUUUCAUCUUUGAUAGGACAAGAUCAAUAAGACACGAUCUUAGCAUGGAGAAUAUUGUUAAUGAUCAAACAAUUCAUACGUAUGAAGAAAUGGUAUAAAUUUCUUGAAACAUAAUCUUAAUUACCUUUCUUUUCUUAGCAUUAAUCUCCUCAAUAUACAAUAAGUUAGCCAAUCCACUACUAAACACACUCCUAGUUGCAGAAAAUAAUCAAAAUAUACAAGAGAUGUUGUAUAAUUGAGUCAUUAUCCUCUCUUUUUGCUUUAUUGAAUAAGAAAAUUCUAUUCAGUGGAGUCCAAAUGAGGUGAAACUGUGAUCACACAACUUUUAAAGCCUACUUUAUAAUGGAUAAAUGAAUGGUCUGGUUCUGAAUCUUUCUCGGCACAUUAGUUAUUAUCCAAUCCAUUCUAAUUAAGUUAUCCACUAUUGAGUGUCUAUUUCCAAUGAAAGUUAUGAAAGGCCCAUAGAACCCAAGCAACUCACACCGCUUGCGAUGGGAAUUGGUGUUCUUUCCCGUAAUGUCAAGUUUUCUAGUACACUUGGUGACUUUGUAGAAUAUGCCUACGGAAAGGGCUGCCACCUUCUAAUUCCCAAUCAUACAAGUUUCUUAACCAUAUUUCAAAAGUUGUAUUUCUUGUUCCGUCUCUUAAAGUUUUUUAAACCUAUAUCUCUUUAUCCUUGGCAAUUCAGAAAGAUGAGGAAACUAUUUAACAAGAACUCCAUCAAUUUGUUCCUCAAAAUUUUAUAUAGUUUCUCUCUCUCACUUUCAAUUUAAACUCUUGAUUUAAAAGAACAAAUUCAUGGCCAGCAACAUUUUUAGCCAAGCAAUAGAAUGUACAACAAGCAUGCAUAUGAAUGAACUGUAUUGUUUAAUGAUAAUAGAUCAAAUAUUUUAAUCUAAUCCUAAAACCUUAGAGUUAGCUAAAAGCCUCAUCUUAUGUUCUAACUUGUGGUUUGUUUCACAAUACAGGUGAAAUUUCAUAUUAUAUCCCACCAAAAGCUUUGCAAUUGUAGCAGCAAGCCAAAUUUUUAUUUAGUUAUUACCUUAAUAUGGAGCAACUGAAAAAGUGUCUAACAUCUCUAUAUGCUCUAUACAAAGAAAAUUGCAAUUCAAAUUUUAUUUACAAGAAUGAACCUGAGUUUUGCUCAUUUCACGUUCUUCUUCACCUUGGCUCUAACAGCCAACCACUGGUGGAUAUCUGCUUUCAUUGUUUGUUUGAGUUCAUCUUUUUCAGUAUUUGUACUAGUUUCUGAAGGUGUUACUAUUUUUGUUCUGAGGGGAGAGUCACUCUCUUUGUGGUUGGGUCUUGUACCUUCUGUCAUUUUGAAGUCAAAGGAAAAAUGUUUUGCCCAAGACUUUUAUAGUACGUUUGGUAGUGAUUUUAGGAAGUGUUUCUAGUCUUUUUUAUGCUUGAAAGAUAAAAAAAAAAAAUUAAGUGGUAAAAAGACUAGAAACACUUUAUAAAAUAACUGCCAAACGCACUCUUAAGAUGACCAUAAAGCUGUUGUAGAUUCCACUUGCAUUUAAAUUGUUUUUAUUCCCUUUACAUUUAACUCAAUGUAGAGUGGUUAUGUUUUUCCGUUGAUUUUUUUCUCUUUUUUAGUACCCAAUGUUAAAGUUUUGUUUCACGAACUGAAAGGUCCGUCUUUUCUAGUGACAGUGGAUGGGCAAUUAUAAGUGUUUCCUUUGUACUACAACAAUUGAGGCAUCAUAUUUGCAAUAUUACAUUAUUAUUAUUUUUUAUAAAUGAGCACAAAAUAUAUAAUAAAGGGCGGAAAGCCACAAAGCAUACAGGGAGUAUACAAAGCAGCUAAAAAGCAAAAAACUCAUAAACAGAACAAACUCACCAGCCCUUAAAGAGCCGCUAACCACUCUAAGAAGCCUAAAAUCAAAGAUGACUCCUCUCCCAUAUACAUCCUAGUCCAACUCCAUAAAUUACAUGCAAAAGAAUUCUUGAGUUUCUGAAUAGCUAAAGAACCCCAUCUAAAAGCUAACCUAUUUCUUUCCUUCCAAACCGUCCAAAAUAUACACAACGGGAUGGAAUUCCAAAUCUUUUUCCUCUUUUCCCCAUAAAAGGGCCCCUCCAACAAAAUAACACCUCUUUGACUGUCUCUAGGAACACCCAUUGAGCCCUAAACAAGGAAAGAACGAUCUCUCAGAGGACCCUGACCACUGUACAGUGUAAAAGAAUGUGAUUUACAUUUUCCUCUUCACAGCCACACAAAUAACAACGAUUAGGGAGCUGCCACCCUCGUUUUUGAAGCCUAUCCAAUGUGAGGAUUUUUUCCCAAGUGGCUUCCCACGCAAAGAAAGCAACUUUGGUUGGAACCUUAUCCACCCAAAUGAUUUUUUUCGGAAAGACGAGGGGAUUGGGGGUGAUUCGUGUUUUCCCAGCUGGUGUACCUUGAUUUUGGUCCCCUGAUGGGAGUAAUCAACAAAAUUUAUAACCUAUAUCACCAUGCACUAGGAUAGCCUAAGCUAGUAUAGCAUAGUGGCUCUAGGAUCGUUCACUGGGAAGGGUUUUCAACUUACAAUUGAUACCAAUUCAAAGUUGAAUUGGUGCCUUUUCAUUUCAAGGUUAGCUUCAAAAGAAAACAUAAACUUUGGUUGAAAAAGGUUUGGUUUCAAGCUAACUAAAAAGAAAGUAAUGGGAAUUACUUAUAAAGAAAAAGCGUCUCUUGGAGUUUUAGGAUCACUGGGGUCAGGCUCCUCAUGCAAAAACAGAGUUCCGGUCACUUUGGUUCUUUUCCUCGCAUUGGAGAAUUAACAUAUAGUUCAUUCUCCAACCGGUGUUGUACAGAUGCUUCCCUUUUAUAAAUUUCAGCACUAGUUCCCUCUCACUGAUUCAUCUUGCAAUGGCUCGUGCCUCUCACCUAGCAUUUGCCAUUCAAGGUGAUCAUUAACCUUGGACUUCCCUUCUCAAGCUCGCAAGAGAUAACUAAUGGAUGCCUCCUUAGAGUCCAAAAGCUUACCAAGUGUUGGCAAUUCUAGAAAAUCCUACCUUCAGGUCACCUCCCAAAAGCUCACAAGAGGUAAACUAGUGCAUCUCUGUGGACAGAGAUCACUUGCCUUACCAAGUGUUGGCUCAGGUGAAUUGAAGGCGUUUUAAGUUAACUAAAAACAUAGAAAUCAUAAACGGGUUACACUUUCUCUUCAUUAAAAGCUGAAACAUCAAAACUACCAAUUCUUGCAUUCGACACCUUCCCCGGCUACCUUAGCUCCAAGAAACAAAAAGCCUAGCCACCCAUUCUCUGAAGAAACAUCAUCAGAGCUUGUUUGGCUAGUAAAUGAAAAAUACAAUCAAAGUGAGAAGGUAAUGCAGAGCAAAGACUCUGUAUUUUACUUCCUUUCAAACUUUUACAAAAGGUUCGUCUCCUUGAUAACAGGCUCCUGAGAGCUAUUUAUAUGAAAAUUACAAUAAUAAUUAUUACCUGGAUAUUUACCCUUUUUCCUAACUUAAUAGCUAAGGAAUCCUAUAAGUGGUGGAUUACAAUGAGAGAAUUGGGAUUUAGACAUCAAAUAUCUGAAGCAAAAUAUCAAAAAUUUGUCGGUCGUAAAUAUCUGGAAGCACUCAGGAGAAUUUCGCAGGCGCACAAAAUGGCUGCGAAAUUUCGCAGACGUACAAGAUGGCUGCAAAAUCAUUUCGCAGCCAAAGGCUGAUUUCGCAGCCUUGCGAAAUUGGCCUUCAGCUUGAUGUGAUCAUCUUCCAAUGGCUCUAACUUCUUCACUUCAACUCCGAUUCGCGAACCGUUUAAAGCGUUAGAUUUUUUACUUCCCAAGCUUCGAAACAACAUAUAGUAUGCAACAAAUGGACUUCAGGAAGUACUCCAAAAGUGUCAAACAGUUGAUGUCCUCUUGGAUUCUUCAUGUUAGAUUUUUCUCUUUGUUUCAUCCUUGCAUUCAUGAUUUGUUUAUGGCAAAGGACUUUAAGGCUUCAGUUCUUCAUGUUUCUGAGCUUUCCAUUGCUUUGCCAUGGAUUCCAAAGAACUCUCCUCAAUCUCGGAUUGCUUUGGUGAUCAAAUUACUAUCAAAAACACCAAAACUUACACAAUUUGAUUAGAAACGAUUACAAAGGUCCUUAAUAUGUUAAUUGGGUUAAAAGGUAAUAACUACUACUCAAAAGUGUUUAAAAGAGUUAAUUACAAGCUAUCAAAUAGCCCUUUUUGAGUAGUAAUCAAGGGGUAGUGAUUCAUGCCCAAUUGGUGUCUUAGCUGAUUCGUGUCCAGCUGGUGUUCCUUGAUUGAGGGAGUAAUCAACAAAAUUUAUAACCUAUUACACCAUAUACUAGGGUAGCAAAGAAAAAGCUACUAUAGCAUAGUGGCUCUAGGAUCGUUCACUGGGAAGGGUUGGCAAAUUAUCAAUGAUACCAAUUCAAAGUGAAUUGGUAUUGUUUCAUUUCAAGGUUAGCUUAAGAAAUAAAACACAAACUUUGGUUGGAAAAGAUUUAGAUUUAAACUAACUGCAAAGCAAGUAAUGGAAAUUACUUAGGAAGAAAAACAUUCCUUGGAGAGUCAGGUUUACAGGGGAGGUUCCUCAUGCAAAAACAUAGCUCCGGACAGUUGGUUCAUUUCCUCGCGUUAGAGAAUUAACAUAUAGUCAAUUCUCUAACCGGUGUUGUACAGCUACAUCCUUUAAUUAGAUUUCAGCUUUGAUUCUCUCUCACUGAUGCAACUUGCAAUGGUUCGAGCCUCUCACUAAGCCUUAACCAUUCAAAGUGAUCUUUAACCUUGAACUUCCCUUCUCAAGCUCGCAAGAGAUAACUAAUGGAUGUCUCCUUGGAGUCCAAAAGCUUACCAAGUGUUGGCAAUUCCAAAAAAUCCUACCUUCAAGUCACCUCCCAGAGGCUCGCAAGAGGUAAACUAGUGCAUCUCCAUGGUCGGAAAUCACUUGCCUUACCAAGUGUUGGCCCAGGUGACUCUAAGGUGUUUUAAGUUAACUAAAAACAUAGAAAUCACUAAAAGAUUACACUUCCUCUUCAUUCAUGGCUGAAACCACAAAGCUAUUCAUUCUUGCACUUGGAACCUUUCCCGGCAACCUUAGCUCCAAGGAACUAAAGGUUUAGUUACUCAUUCUCUGGGGAAACUUCCUCAGAGAGUGCAUAACUUAGUAAAUGAAAAAUACAAUCAAAGUGAGAAGGUAAGGCAAAACAAAGGUCCUGAAUUUUACUUGCUUUCCAACUUUUUACAAAAAGGUUUCUCUCUUGGAACAGGCUCCUGAGAGCUAUUUAUAUGAAACUACCAUCAUAGCUAUUACAUGGAUAUUUUUCCUUUUUCCUAACUUAAAAGCUAAGGAAUCUUAUUAUUGGUGGCUUACAAGGAGAAUUUUGGGAUUUAGACAACAAAAAUCUGAUGAAAAAUAUCUCAUUGUGUCGGUCGUAAAUAUCGGGAAGCACUAAGGACCAUUUCGCAAGUGAAAACGAGGUCUGCGAGAUUUCUCAGAUGCACAAAAAGAGCUACGAAAUCACUUCGCAGCAAACGGUUGAUUUCGCACCGCUGCGAAGUGAUCUUUCAGCUUGCGGCAUUCGGCUUCCAACGUGUCGGGAAACUUCAGGGGGAAUUCCUCAGCACUGUGCAAAAAGGCUGCGAAAUCAUUUCGCAACAAAAGGGUGAUUUCGCAACGCUGUGCAAAAUUCUUCCUUCAGCUUGGAGUGAUCGGCUUGCAAUGGCUGUAACUCCUUCAUUUCAACUCCAAAUUGCAAACCUCUUGAAGCAUUGGAUUGUUGACUUCCUGAGCUUCGAGACGACAUAUAGCAUGCAUCAAUUGGACUUCAGAAAGUGCUCCAAAAGUGGCUGACAUGACUGUCAUCAAGAAUAUGCUUCAUGGCAGAUUUCUCUUUGCUUCCUCUCCUUGCAUUCCGGAUUUGCUUAUGGAAAAGGUCUUCAAAGCUUUGGUUCUUCAUGUUUCUGAGCUUUCCAUUGCUUUGCCAAGGAUUCCAAAUAACUCUCCUCAAUCUCGGAUUGCUUUGGUGAUUAAAAAGCUAUCAAAACACCAAAACUUAACACAAUUUGAUUAGAAGUGAUUGCAAGGGUCCUUAACAUGUUAAUUGGGUUAAAAGGCAAUAACUACUACUCAAAAGUGUUUAAAAGAGUUAAUUACAAGCUAUGAAAUAGCACUUUUUGAGUAGUAAUCAGGUAGCCAUCAAAUUAUAAGCAUCCCGAAUCCGAAAAAUAUCAAGACCCCCUCCUUUCCAUAACACUGAGUCCUCUUCCAUAUCAAGCCUUUUUACAACUAACUUGGGCAUUCGAAAAAGGGAUAAUUGGUAGAUGGGUAUACUGGCCAAUGUACUUUUAAUGAGGGUAAUUCUCACACCCUUAGACAUGUAUUGCAUUUUCCAAAUAGCUAAUCUUCUUCUUAUUCUUUCCUCCACCCCAUCCCAUAUAGACAAGGCCUUGUGAUGGGCUCCAAGGGGCAGCCCCAAAUACUUAGUAGGAAAAGCCCCCACUCUGCACCCUAACUUCUCAGCCAUAUCCUCAAUAUCUUCAACCUCCUCAACAGAAAUUAAUUCACUCUUAGCUAGAUUAAUCCUAAGACCAGAAGCUGCCUCAAACCACCCCAAAAUCCAGCCAAGAUGAGUUAGAUGCUCCUUCCUUGCUUCAUAGAAGAUGAUUGUGUCAUCAACAAAGAGCAAGUGGGACACAUUCAUCUCCAUCCCCCAUUUUCCUCGAAGUUUGCAACCAGAAAUGAAGCCUCCAUCAAUAGCCUUUCUUAUAAGUGCACUCAGCACUUCCAUACCCAAAACAAAAAGGUAAGGAGAAAUGGGAUCUACUUGACAUAGCCCCUUGGAACUGGAAAAGAAGCCUACUGGCACCCUGUUGACAAUAAUAGAAAAUUUUGCAGUUGAGAUGCACCACCAAAUCCACUCCAUCCAACGAGACCCAAAGCCCAUCUUGUGCAAAACCUUCAUGAGAAAGUUCCAAUUAAUACUAUCAUAAGCUUUUUCAAUAUCCAAUUUGCAAACCAGUCCUUUCUCUUUAUGUUUCUGCCAAUAAUCAACCACCUCAUCAGUUAUGAGAGAGACGUCUAGAAUCUGUCUUCCCCUCAUAAACACAUUUUGAUCCACCGAGACCAUCUUACCUAACACUUUCUUCAACCUAUGGGCUAGCACUUUGGCCAGAAGCUUGUAUAGCCCCCCUAAAAGGCUGAUAGACCGAAAAUCCCCGAGGUCCACAGCCCCACCUUUUUUUAGGAUGAGGACCAAGAAGAUAGUAUUUAGACUUUUGGCAAAAUAUUUUUGGUCAUAAAAUUCCUUAAACAGCUCUACAACCUCCUCCUUCACAAAAUCCCAACAAGAUUGCCAAAAGGCCACAGUAAACCCAUUCGGCCAUUCAUUUCCAACAGAGUUAAGUGAAUUUCUUCCUCAGUAAAGGGCAUCUCCAGAGCUUCAACUUCACCGUGGUUUAGACGUUGAAGGUGCAACCCCUCAAUGUCAGCUCUCCAUCCUGGCUCUUCUGAGAGCUAUUGUUGAAAAGCAUUCACAAUCCCCUCCCUCACCUCCUGCUCCUCAUCCAACUCCACCCCAUUGAUCUUGAUUUUAUCCAAGGAGUUGUUUCUUCAGUGGGCAUUGGCCAUUCGGUGGAAAAAUCCUAUGUUCUUAUCCCCUUCCUUUAGCCACAGCUCCCUUGACAAUUGUCUCCAAUGGGUUUCUUCUAAAAGCACCCACUUUUUAAAGGUUUCCUUAGCUUCAUUUUUCAACUCCGUUUCUCCUUCUGGCGGGCCCCUUUCACAUUCCACCCCAUCCCAAAAUUCAACUUGCUGGAGAGCUGAGCUUUUAUUAAUUUCCAACCUACCAAACACAUCCUUGUUCCAAACUUUGAUUUUUUUCCUUCAACACCUUUAGCUUAGCAGCCAGUCUAAAGUUGGUCCUCUCUCGCCUCCCCGCUCCCUACCACCAAUCCCGAAUGAGAUCCUUAAAACCAUCAACUUUAAGCCACAUGUUUUCAAACCUGAACGGGGAGGGUCCUCGUCUUAACCCGCCACCCUUCAAUAGAAUGGGAAAAUGAUCUGAAGUGGGCCUGGGAAGCCUACUUUGGACAACCUCCCUAAACAAGUCAAGCUAGUUUUGGGUCACCAGGAAACAAUCCAGUCUAGCCCAGGACUGAUUGUUCCUAUCUCCACUCCAGGAAAACACAACCCCUUGCAAAGGAAGAUCUAGGAGCUCUAGUUCAUCAACCACCUGAGCAAACCUUCUCAUUGCACCAUUUAAACUAUCCUGACUGCUCCUUUCCCUUUGGAAAAGGGUGACAUUAAAGUCGCUCCCUAAACACCAGGGAUCAUCCCAGAUGCCCCUUAUUGGCCUUAGCUCAUCCCACAAAGUCUCCAUUUCAUUCCUAGUGAACGGUCCGUACACUCUUGUGAAGAUCCAAACAAGCCCAUCUUCAACAUUCCUGAGCCUACAGGAAAUAGAAAAUUGUCCCACCUCCAUCUUUAGCAUUUCCAGGGACCUUUUAUCCCAGCAAAUCAAAAUCCCACCCGCAAAGCCUUGAGCACCCAUGGCUCCCCAAUCUAGAAACCUCCCAGAGCCCAAAGUCCUCACCACACCCACUAACAUUGACUGAAUUUUCAUCUCCUAAAUACAGAACAAAUUCACCCUCUGACUUCCAAUCAUAGCCUUGAUCACCUUUCUUUUAGAGCUAUCGUUAGCUCUACACAUGUUCUAGUUCAACAACCUUAACUUCAUUAGACAACCAAAAUCUGGCACCCUCUUCCUUGCAUGGUACCUUUUUAUUUCCUCCCCCCUUCAUAAUUAAUGGAUCAUUCAAGUCUCUUCAAUUCCCUUUCAAAUUUCGAUUUUUCUAGAAGAGUUUCACUAUGAACUCUUUCCCUUCUUUUUUUUAUUUUGACCAGAAACUCCAAAAUGUCCUUCAAUCUCUCUGUCAAAAACCCCAAAAACCUGCUGAACCUCACUAGAUCGCUUUCCUCCCAACUAGUUUCCUCUCAUCCUCUAACUUCGAGUGGCAUAGCACUAGCUAAGCAAAGUUCCUCUCCACUUUCUUCAAUACUACCAUUAUUAACUUUCAUUAGCUCCCAACGAGUAACAGUCUCCAUCAUUGAAGACUCCGUACCAUUAACCAUGCAGCCCGGUCAUUCCCUCUGGAAUUUUUCCAAUCUGGCCCUAGAACAGUCGUAAUACUCCCCCAAUUGAGUCCGACCAGAAAAAGAAGAGGGGGGAGAUGAGAAAUCACAAAGCAACGUUCCACAAGGGUUAGAGGUGUUCUCAUACCUCGAAGCUUCCUCCAUUAGAGCACAGUUAGUCUUCAAACUCUUCUCUAAAAGUUGUUCCUUAGUCGAAGGUCUUCGCAGACCUUCGUGCACCCAAAAGGAAAAGAUGGAAUGGUCUGGAGCCCCCAAAAGUCUUAGGCCAAAAAGAUUGUAAAGACGGGAUGCUCCCAGCUGGGCUCUUCCCUCAGCUAAGGGCAAGGUCAGGCCUCGGCAAACCAGCCCAAGCACCACAAUAGGCUCCUUUUCCUUGGCCCACCUAGAACCCUUAAUAAACGACAACCCAAAAUGAGAUGGCCCAGUCUCGCAGAGAAAGGCCACAAGAGGAGCAGGCCCAGUAAUCACAAUGGGCUCUGCUCAACACGGUGACGAAGACCAACCCGAACCUUGGGACCCAACUGACAGCCCAACAAAGCACCAACCAUGACCCAUGGCCUGUCCCGACCCACUAGUCUGCCCCCUCGUCCCAUCAGCAGGUAGUAGCAAGUCCUCAAGCCUCGAGGCAUCGUCCUCCACCCGCACGCGCUCGAUUGUGCAUGCGAUGGCCUCACCCCCAACCUCGCCUUCUGUACCGAUAAUGUUUCCACUCUUUCUUGCCAUCGUCAUUCUCAGGAUUGGCCUGACCUCCCACCGGAGGGUUACCUCGUAGUAGAAUUCCUCAGCCCAAACCUCCACCACGUUGGGAAGCUUCUCGUCGUUGAGCUUCAUCAGGAUCCUUGCCCACUGCAAAUCCUCCAGCUUCUCCAUUUGGGAAUCGACUGCGAUGAAGCCCCCGCACUCCUCCCCUAUCCUUCUCAUAAUGGCUCGAUCCCAUAAGGAAAUGGGUAAUCCCAUAAUACGCACCCAAGCCUUGCUCUUUUUCACCCCAUCCAUCAGGCAUCCCAUCUCGGGCCUCCAUUUCUCCAAACGAAUGAGAGACCCCCCAACCGAAAUACCCCCGAUUUUUAAGGUUUUCUCUGCUUCUACCAAAAACUCAAAUUCAAGUAAAACUUUGCCCCUUUCCAAUUUCGCUAGCCCUAGAUUACCCUUCAGUCUCCAAAUAUUCUCCAAAUGGGUCCUUCUACUUCUUAGGUCAUCCCCUCUCACAGAGCUAGGAUUCCAAAUCCCAACUAAACAGUGAGCCAGCUUGUUUAAGUUUCGGCUCAGCUCCUUCUUUCUUAUCUCCACCCUAAUCAUUGUUUUUUCUUUUCCUCUUGGCUAUUUAGCCACUUCCGCGUAGGUUUUCCCCAUGCUAGAUUUCGACAACAACGCUUCUUUUUUUUGGCAUCCCUCUUCUCCGUUAGUAAAACCCAAUCGCCAUAGCGUCUCCACCAUUGAAACCCAGCCACCCUUAGCUCUUCUUCCUUUUGGAAUAAAGAUGCAAAACCUUUUGUUUUCCAGGUCCGCAACCUCUAAUCGAAGAAAAUACCCCCCUUAUUUUGAUCCCGCACCAGAGAAUAGGCUCUCCCACUUUCCUUCCACUUUCUUUCCCUUUUACCAGUUCCCGCGUCCUUAAUACAAAGAACUAGACCAUCGAAAAAAAACCCAAUGAUCUUCGGUCCCAACCUAAUCCACGAGAAGAUCCCUCAUUUCAGUUCCACAAUUGUAGCUUGCACUUUACCUUUCUGCUCCUCCACCUCGACCUCGAACGACUUCAACUCCACUCCAAAACUACCCUUUCUAAAGCUUUUCCUAGUCCCCACGAAGACAACACCCUCUGCACCCUCGCUCGCUCCACCAUCUACACUUUCUCUCGCUCGCCGCACGCCUCACUCUCCAUCGGAGCUCUCGCUCGUUCUCUCUCUAGCCCUCUCUCCUCCAUUUCUCAUCUGUCUACUAUAUUAUUGAACCUUACAUCAAUGAGGUUGCUUAAAUAUGUUGAUUUUGCUAGGUUUCUCAAUUUGAAAAAUAUAUUAUUCUCUGUUCAUUUAUUGUUUUCCAGAUUCAUCUCUGAGAAUAUAUCUAAAAUCUAGAGUUGAGUAUUUGUGCUUUUAGGUUUUAUUUUCCUUUCAUUUUUGUUGGUAAUUGUAUUUCAUUAUUCUUAAAUUUCUCACCAGCUAUUUCUUUAUAUGGUUUAUUGUCCCUCACUUUCUUCAUCCAUCUAAAGUGUUCAGAUUCAAUUAGCUUGUUUCGUAAUCUAGGUCUUAUUUAGGAGUUUCUUCUCAACUGCCUUUUUUAGUGCUUCUAAAAGACAUGCCUGAUUUAUAUACAUUUUUAUUGGUUUUUUUUUUUUACCAUAAAAGGUUCAAGCAUUGGCAUUGUCAUGUGUUAAUUAGUGGCUAUAAACUUCAUCCGUAUCCAAUUGCACACUUGUCCAAACUCUUGAUGAUGAAGGUAUGGUUGCAUUUACUAGUAUGAAAUUGCUAAAAUUUGUCAUCCAAAGUUUCAAUUUCUUUUGAAUCUUGAAGACUUAAUUUGCAUUCUUGUAGGAAUUAGAUGUGGAAUAAUUUUGCAAUGUUUGUUGUCUUAAGACCAGCACUGAUGAACGGGGAAAUAAGUUCUUAUCAACCAAGCAAACAAACUUCCAUUAUCCCAAGGAAGUCUUUCCAAGCUACUGCCUUUUAGGUUUGGAACACUUUUAGAGGUAACAAUCAAUAGGAAUUAGUUAUUCUUUCAAACUUCUUAUUGUACAAAUAUAACCUGCAUGUGCAACCAUUUAUGAUCCCAUAAUUUCAAGAAUUUAUGACACCUUCUAGUGGUUAGUUUUUCUAGGAAUAGAGUGAGACAAUCUAUUCACCCCCAAAAACCAUCGUCAGAGGAACAGUAGAUAACCCGCAAGACCAAAUUUAUGUGUGUGAAUGGAGAUGCAUGUUUUUUACAUCCCAGUCAUGUAGUGUUGUGUCAAAGGGAAUAAUAGCAGGUGAUGAUAAGUGGUAUUUCUAAAAUGUUCGAAGAAUAUUCCAUCUGUCAUGUAAUAUUGCUUUCUCAAAACUGUUUUUGAAGUCUUAUUUUUAAAUAUUAGAGUUGACCUCUUGUACACUAUCAACUGAUGUUGUAACUUAACUAGAAAGAGAAAUUAUAUAAACUUAGCCUUGGUUUGGAUCUUGAAAGAUAGCAAGCAAAGAAAAAUUAGGUUAAUAGUGAGUUGAUUUAUUCUCUUCCCAUGGAUGUAAGCACAUUCUUGAAUCACUUAAAUUAUUUUUUUCUUGUCUAUUAUUCAAUUGUCUCUGAAAAAAAAAGUGGUAUCAGCGUUUUUUCCAACACAACAAAUGAUUCAUGUGACAACUGCCAAUAAAGGAAGCACUUAAGAAGGAGUUUGUAAGGUGUUACAUGGCAGGUUGAACAAAACCAAUAGCUAGAGAGAUAUAUGAAAUAUUUGGGGGCCAUUGAUCCAACAAUAGUAGAGAAUAACAUAAGAAGAGACCCUCUAAUCACCAUUUUUGCUUUCGAUUCUUCUCUACAAAACAUCAUCUCUUUAUACAAAAAGACACCCCAUGGCUGAGCUCGUAUUAUUCUCUGCAUAUCCCAAAACUGCUCUCCAAAUUUUAGGGCAUGGUACUCUUUUGAGUGGUAUUUUUGGUACUAAAUUUAAGUAUUCUCUCAAAUACCUAAAAUGCCCUCUAGAUUUUAGGGCAUGACCCACUCUUUGAGGUGGUAUUUUGGGUACUAAGUUUUGUUAUGAGAGGUUUUGGUGUGGAAAUCGGAGGGCCUCUUGGGAAUAUGAAAUUAGAAAUGUUACACACGUUGCAUGUAUUUUCUUUUGCGUGCAUUACACUUAGAUUGGAGUUUAUGCAGUUACUCACUUUUUGUGUGUCCAACAGUACUGUAUGUCACAUCACCAUAUGAUGGGCCCUUUAGCCUUUUUUUAACCCCCUCCCCCCAAGAAAAAAAAAACCUAAUACUAAAAAUAAAAAAAUAAAAAAAAACCUAAUACUAAAAGGACCUUAGCUUGCAAACUAUGUGGAGGUAGGCCUCCACAUCCAACUUCUUAGAGGGACCAUGAUCACUUAGGCCAAGGAAGUUUGAGGCAAUAAUACGUCUACGAUGCCCUUAGAUGUUUUGGGCACAUGCACGCUACACUAAUGUAUUCAACGAGUCUGUAACCUUGACUAACAAGCUUAGGUAAUCUUUGAAAUUUCAUUAUGAUGGGGAAGGUUCCACAUGAACGACACUUGCACAUGGGUUAGUUAAUCCUAAGAGAUGGGGGAAGCUCGUCAGACAACGCGUGACACUCGAGCUUUGAAAGGUAAUUGAGUUAACAUUCCUAAACCGGGACAUGACGGUCUACAACAAUGUUAGGUAGUCUGAAGAGUCAUGUUAAUUGUUAUCGGUAUUUUUAUUUAUUCAAUAGAAAUUGAGGAUUUAAAAAAUACCACAAAAAUUAGAAAAAAAAAUUAAUUAUAUGAAUAACAUUUCAAAUAUUUAACAAAAUGUAUGAAAGUUGAAUAUCAUACACGAUUAAAUGGCUAGAUCAUCUUCUUUAGUUUUUCCAUGAUCUCAUCCUAUUAAAUGACUCAUCCAAUAUUAAUUUAUUUUAAAGGUAAAAUUAAUUAUAUUAUAAUACUUAAAUACUUUACCAUGCUAUAAUCCUCUAGCUAAUAAAUGAAAUCAAAACUUAAAAAUCAUUUUUAUAUAUAGAUAUAUAUUAUUAAGUUUAGGUAGUGAAGCAAUUAAUGUGGGUAUAAAAUUAAUGCCAAAACUUUUGAUUGUUCCUUCACAUUCUCCACAGCAAAGGAAAUAAGAAAAAUAAAGAAAGAAAUUUAGGGUAGUUUUAUUUUUUGUUCUCAUCUCAUGGUGAAAUUAAUAGAGGAAUGCUUGGGUUGGUGCUCAACAAUCAAGUGACAUCCGAUAUAAUGAUUCUUCCAAUCCUGUAAAUAUUGUCCGCUUUAAUUUUAAUGGAUCAUCAUCACUUUAAAUUGCAUUCACAUUGUUAAGAGCAAUUCAUACGUACAUAAUAUUAAGAACUUUUUCUUAUUCGAUAUGGAAUAUAAAAUUGGGUAUCUUUCUGAUUACUACCAAAAAGUGCUAUUUUGUAGACCUAAUUAUAAUGGUUUUAAGCACCUUUGAGUAGUAAUCAUAUUCAUUUAACCCAAUUAAUUCAUUAAGGUCCUUAGUAAUUGGUUUUAACCAUUUUGUGGCAAGUUUACAUGUUUAUAUCAGCUUAUGAAUCAAUUCAAGCAUGCCAAAUGAUGGAGGAGCUACUUGGACAAGUUAAAUCAAGCUUUUAGCUACACCAAAGCAAGCCAACAAAAGGAGAAAAGCAAAGAAAAGCAAAGAAAAGCAAGGAGGAAAACAGAGGACAGCAGCUGCAGUCUUCGUUGGCACUUUUGGAGCACUUCCCGAAGUCCAUUCUCUACAUGCUAUAUACCAUUUCAAAGCUCAGGAAGUCAAGAAUCCAACGCUUCAAACCGUGCAUGAUUUGGAGCUGAAACGAGGAAGAUAUGGCCUUCGGAAGACAACUGCUCCAGGUGUGCGAGAAUUUCGCACACCCCCCUUUAGCUGUGCGAAUGGUGUGCGAAGUUCGCACACCUUCUUCAGGUGUGCGAAAAUUUCGCACACCCCAUGCGUGGUGCGAAUUUUCCCCUGUUUCUGCCGACUCCACUUUAGAUCUUUUCUUUUAGAUAUUUUUGUAUAAAUUUCCAUUCUUCUCCUUGUAAUCCACCAAUCAUAAGAUUUAUUAGCUAGGAAAGUUGGAAAAACUUCUCUAUUUAUAUCCCCUUGCAUCCGUUGUAACAAAUAAUUGAUAUAUAGAUAUAUAAUACAUAUUACGUUUUACACUCUCUCGUUUUCUCUUUUCUCUUCACUAUUUUAUUUUCUUGGUAGCCAAACAGCCUCUAAGGGCUUUUCCUCAGAGGAUGAUUGGCUAAAACUUUUAGUUUCUCAAAGUAUGGAUGUUAUGUGAUGACUUGGAUGCAAUCCCAUGGAAAUUUCUCACACCCGGAAGGUAAGGUAGUCGUUUUUCAUUAAAGGUUCAUUAAUGCAAAGUUUGGUUUUUAUUUCCUUUGGACAACUUCCAACGGCCAAUACUUGAUAAGCUUUUGGAUUUCUAUCCAUUAGUUAUCUCCUACGAGCUAUUGGAAGGUGAGGUUUUCAAUUCCAAGUUUUGUAUUAAUCCGUUAGAACCAAUUUCAAUGGCCAUUGAAAGGUGAGUUUAUCACCUGGAAUGACUUUGAGUUGCCAAUAUUUGGUAAGCUUUUGGCUUUAGACCAUUAGUUAUCUCUUACGAGCCAUUCAAAGGAAGUCUAAGGUGAAUAACCAUUGAUGAAAUUCACUACCAUCUGUUUUGCCAUUUUAAAGGAUUAAAACGUGAUUUGCUAAAUCCAUACCGGUUCGGGAAGCAAGCAUCACCAUAGUUGCAACCCCAACGCGAGGAGCCUAUCCUGAGAUUUCCAAUUUGCAUAAGAGCCAGAGCAUAGCUAUCCUAUCUUUGAGAAACUUGUUUUUACACCCUUUCAUUUUAGUCUUUAAUGUUAGCUUAGAUUAGUUUAAAUCUUUCUAAAACAUUUACAUCUUCUUUUAAAGCUAACAUCCAUAAGAAAAUCACCUAUUUUCCUAACUUGAAUAUCACUUGUGUUUGCGAAAACCCUUCCCAGUGAACGAUCCUAGAACCACUAUGCUAUAGUAGCUUGGCUACUUUAGUAAUAGUAUUCAAGGUAUAAAUUUUGUUGAUACGCCUUUAAAGCUAAGCUACCAUGAGUCGCAUCACUUUCAAUUUUAGAUGUUGCAUAAGCAUUCCAACUCCUAUAUAGACACAUUGCGUAAAUAUUCUUAUUUAAUAAAAGUUUAUAUGUCAUUAAAUAAAUAUAGAAUUUUAACAUUAAUUGCAGUGCUAAGUGCAAGAGAUCUCAUGUUUAAGUCAUUGAUUAAGAUUUAUUUGAAAACUUAACAUUUGUUACUUAAAUAACUUAAGUUGACUUUAAAUUAUAUUAUAUUUAAAUUAUUUGCUUAAAAUUUAUUGUUUAAUAUUUAUUUUAAGUAUUAAAGUUAUUUGAUAAAGUUAAUUUAAAAAAUAUUUUAAAUCACAAAUUGUCAUAUUUACCUUCAUUAAUUUGAAUUAGUAUUUACAUUCAUUAAUUUUAUUUAAUAUUUAUUUUUAUUAAUCUUAAAUAAUAAAUUUGUUUAUUAAACAUUUAACAGAUUCAUAAAAUAACUACACAAUAUUCACAAUAAUAAAUGAGUCAUGAAUUUGAAGUCAUGAUUUUAAAAUGUACGCUAACAAGAUAUGAACAAAUGAGACAAAAAAAAAUGAGAUUAAAAAUAAGUUAAUUAUUUUGAUUUAACACUUAAAAUUAAAAGUAACUUUAAAUUAUAAUAUUAAGUUAUUUUAGCAAAUAUAUUUAAUCUAUUUAAUGAAUUAAAUUAAGUUAUUAAGUCAAAUGAUUACCAAACACCCUAUUAAGACCCAGAAAAUGGAAUGAGUUUUAAUAGUAUUCAGGAUGGGCAUGACUAGGUGGUGGUUCAAUGCUGAUUAAUCAUAAUUUAAUCUAAGCAAAAUAUGUAACGAAACUCAAACUGCACUAUCCAAAUGGGCGCCAAGAACGUUACAUUUGACAAAUGCCAGUAAACCUCUACAGCUAGAAAUUAAAAGAUCACUCUCUUGUUGUAUCUCUCUUUUUCUCCAAGCCCCGGAAGGAAAAACUCGAACCCCAUUAUUUUGAUCACAGAAAAAGUGGCAAAAAAGUGUGUUGUAGUUCAUCUUGAAGCUCAUUAACUUCAUCUUAAUUUGAUCCAAAUUGCAGAAACAUGGGAAACUCCAUGAAUCUAUGGUGCUAUGGUGGCCUACAUUCAUAUAACUGGGGACACUUUGGUUUAAACUACAAUGACCCCAAACAGGGUUUGUAGAGACUUCAUCGAGAUCACUAGCUUCAAAAGACUGAGGAAGAAAGAUGUUCUCAAUGAAAACUUGGUGUCAAAUUGCAGAUAAAGACCUAAAAAUCCCACUUAAUGUGUUCUAGGAAUUGUUGUUUGAUAGGGAGUAAGAACAGAGUGCACGAGUUUUGGGGUGGGGUGAUACCUAAAGCACUAGAGUAGCACGUGAUCAAGCCUCACUUAGUGAAAAGCUGUUUGGUUUGUACAUGUCUGCUUAGUGAUACUUAGGAUUGGCGAAGUAUACAUCUCCUUUGUGAUCAGGUUUGUAUAUGGGCAGAUGAAUGUUCAUGUGAGGUUCAUAUAUGUUUCUGAUACAUAUCACCCUGGAAGAAUCUAGAUCAAGGGGAUGAGUUUCUAAGCUUGACUAGGUUUGAGAUGUUUGAGAAUUGGUGAGCAUGAUAUAUAUCAUGAUAUUGCAGAAGACAACAGAGCUUCUGAAAUAUGUCAGGUUCAAUAGUAGGAAAUCUUAUCAGCUGUCACUUACUUUAAUCCUAUGAUCUCAAUAUUCAUUUGUUGAAGAAGAAAGAGGUAUCUUGAAAAAAAUUUGCUUUCACACUAUUCAAUUACAAGAGGAUGUUCAAUUAUAGAAGAAAAUAAUAUUCACUAGACUCUUUCAACUUAAUCAACAUGCAGGGAAAACCAGUCGGGUGACCAAUUAUUCACAUAAUAACUUAGGUGGUGUUUGUUUUUUUGGCUUUUUGCUGAAAACCAUUUAGUUUUAGAAUUUAGGUAGUUUGUUUUUUUACUUUUUCAUAACUUAUCAUAAACUUUUUACUAAAUAGAAAAAGCCAAAAUAUGUGGCUUUUUCUAAAUAGAAAAAAUAACACAAUGGUUUUUUUUACUUUUUAAUACUUAAUAGAAAUAAAAUACUACAAAAACAAACAACCUAAUAUUUAAUACUAUUAAGUAUUAAGGUUCUAUUUAGAAUUAAGUAAAAAAACAAACACCACCUUACUGUCUUUCUACCUCUACUUGUUAAUCAUCAGCCAAGCUUAUAGUAAUAUAAGCUUGGGUUCAUCUCUCUAUGCCACUGAUGACAACUCCACAUGGGCUUCCCCUUCUGGUGAUUUUGCAUUUGGAUUCCGACCGUCUCCAAGUGAAAAGGAUCUAUUCCUUCUUGCUCUCUGGACUGCAAAUGGAAGUUAACCGGCGCCAAGAGGAUCAAAAGUCGAGCUUGCUACCAAUGGACAGCUUGUUCUCCAGAGGCUAAGAGAUAUGGAAGACAAAGACUGGUAAUGUGAGCAGCAAAGCAGUGCAUGGUGCCAUGCUUGGAGAUGGAAAUUGUAUACCUGUAUAUGGGAGAGCUUCAAGCACCCAACUAAUACCAUAUUGCCAACUCAGGGAUUGGUGUUGGAGCCUACUGUGCAGUUGCCAUUUUUGAGAACCUGAGGUUUGCAAAUGGAACUGGUGUAUGAGUUUAUGCACAAUGGUUCUUUAUCAAGCUUCCUUUUUGGAGGCGCCCAAGGACUGGUGUACCUACAUAAAGAAUACAGUAAACAGAUCAUCCAUUGCGACAUAAAGCCCUCAGAACGUAACUCUUGGAUGAUUCUUUUACAGCCAAAGUUGCAAACUUGGACUGGGAAAGCUUCUGAUAAGCAACCAGACUAGAACACUCACAGGCAUCAGAGGGACUAUGGGGUAUAUUCAGACAACUCGGGCAGCCUAUGUCUCUUAUAAUAACACGUUAUGAAGCAUCAGCUCAAUGCCGGGGUUCAAUCUGCAAAGCAAGGGAUUCAUCAAUGUUUCCUUCAAACUAAAUGAUAAGGAACAGAAAUGGAUCAUUCUGCAUUUUCAGUGGUGUUUGUUAUAGCAUUUAUACAAGAACUCUAGGGGUUUCUAUGUAUAACUUCAUUCCCAUUUUGUAUAAUCCAAAUCUCUUCAAUCGAUUAAAUGUAUAAAUGAAUCCUAUUCAUUGUUUGGAGUAACAACAAAAUUCUGGAAGACUGGGAAAGUUUCAACACUGGAGAGAAGACAAAAUGACCAGACCAUAAAUUCUGGAAGAGGGCUUUGCUUUCUAACCAUUACCAUAAUUUUAGAGCUCAACCCGGAUGAGUAAAUUAUAUUUCAGAAUGUUCAGGAGAUAAUUCUAAAGUGAUGAACCUUCUACUCACAGUUUUUUGUUCUUCUUGAACAGAGCAAUGAACAUCAAUAGUUCAGCACCCAGGAAUCUCCCCUUCCUCCAAUUCCCCCACUGGGAAAAGUCACCUUUCCAGUUAAGAAAAUCAUCAGGAUUAAUUUGAGCAAAACAUCAGAGUAUACAUCAAGAAAGCCUUGAUCAAAAUCAAAAUACAUCAAGAGCUGCCAUUUUCUUCUAUUUCCUCUUCCCUGAAUGGAAUGCCUUUUGGACUGAGGUGAUCAAUGGUAACAGUCUAACACACUCCUUAAGCUCUGAUUGAGGUCAACGGGGAUUGGCACAUUUAAUGACUUUGAAAUCAUAGCUGUGUGAAGGGAGGCAAACAUGAAUCUCAGGAUAAUCAACAAGUCAACAACUAUCAAUCAGUAAGGAAAAGGAAAUACCUUUGGAUAUUUACAAAUCAAAAAAUUGAGAGUCCAGCUUCUCUGUACAGAAAGGCUUGAGCUUAUUCCAUGGCCAGUCUGAAUUACGGAUGAGAGGGUUGAGUUUUCUUUCAUUCUGCAAUAAGAUUAAAAACAUCAAUGAAACGCUAAAAGUUUAUAUAUAGAAGCCCUUUAAAGAUGAGAAUUGGUCAGAGAGCUCACCCAUGGUCUAGUAAAACAACAUCUGUUAGAUAAGUAACCACCAUUCUAUUGUCCAGCUAAUGCAUUUAGAUCUAAGAUAAGCUAUGGAAAAAUAGUCAAAAAUAGCUAAAGACAGUCCAAAAACUCAUUUGACUAAUAAUUUUCUAAAAACAGUAACAUAAAACCUGGAUGAAGAAUCCACCCCUCUACCUCACACCACUGCAAUGCCAAAUAAAAUGUUACAAUGACCAUAUAUGGUCUUAAGAGACAAUGGGUGUUGUUUGGGCUCAAGACCUAAGACAAGCCAAAAAACAAGAAGAAAACAACAUCAAAAAUAGAUGGCAAAAUAGAAGGAUAAGGUCACAGACAGGACAAUAUUAAAAGAAAUUAUUAUUUUUCCGACCUGAAAAUCAAGGCAUUCAGAAGAGUACAAGUUUGUAAGUAGUCCAUGGAAACCAGGGAACAUAUGCAGAUGUUGUACUCUAUUGCAUAAGGCAAACACUCAAUACUUACAAGCAUAAUCAUGCCCAGAAAGCCGUGAAUCCCUUUUUGUUUUGCUUUUUUACCUAUUCCCAUCUCUUAUGGCCAGAAGUUCCUUCUGUGGCUGGUUUGUUGUGAUGGCCAUUUCGGGUCCUAACAGACUUGCUAUUGUUGUCUGGGCACCUGCCUCAGAGAAAGCCUGCCAAAGAUCGGAGUCUGGGCCAGGGGAAACGGAUUUUCUUUGCUGGAGUUCCCAGUCUGUUGCUUCAAUCUUUUCUCUGUGCUGUUAUGAGAAGAAAACCUAUCAGACACAUGAAUGGGUACAAAAAGGUAAACUUCAGGUUUUGGUUGUAUUGAAAAGCACAGGAAACUUCACAAGAGGCAAAUUAUACCCCAGACUUAUUGAAGAAAAAUAAAGUACAAUUGACUUACCCAAAUGUCUACUUUCUCAUUUAUAGGUUUCCUCCUAAACAAAUCCCCACAUCUAGGACAGGAAAAGGAAGAAACUGGGAGUCGACAUUUUUUCAACCAAAAGCACUAACUUAUCAAAAAACAUAGUUUUCCAUUCAAUGCCCAUUUCUUCAGGCUUCUUAAAGUGCUUAUGAUUGGUGGAGGUUCUUCCAAAAUCACACAACUUCCAUAAUCCAUUAGGGCCCAAUAGAAGAUUCUCAGCAUUUAUAUAAGAACUUCAGGGUUUAUACAUAUGAUCAUGUUACAGUAUAAAUCAUAGUGAACUGGUGGAAUUUGAUCAUUAGCCAACCUCAUCAAAAACUGUUUCACAGUUGAGGGGAUUGUUAACCUUGCCAUGGGCCAAGCAGCAAUUUCUGAAGAAGCUGGGUGACAAAGAGUACCAUCAUUUGGACUAGUUUCAAUGGAAAUUCCUCUGUUUCUAUACAUGAUAUCUUCAGCUUCAGCUUUUCCUUUUGCUUUGACAUGGCUGAAACUGAUCCUGAAAUCAAAAAUCCCAUGCAAGUAGAUAUUUAACAGAAGAGGAUCCGAAUCUCUUCAAUUGAUUAAUGUAUAAAUGAAAUAAUCAAAAUUUUUAGAGAUAAUUAUAGGGAGAUGAACCUUGUACCUCUGAGUUUCUUAGUCUUCUUGAACAGAGCAAUGAGCAUCAAGUGUUGAGCACCCAGGAAUCUCCCUUCCUCACAGGGAAAAUCUGAACAAUCUAUCUUUCUUCAUAUUCCACUUCCUUGCAAAAGUCAUAACAUGAAGAAAAUGUCAUCAAAAUUGAGACAAAAAUAAGUGCAUCAACUGUCUCAAGAAGAGAUUUAUGCCUAUUGCUUACCUUUUGCAGAAGUCCACUUGGUUAGAGCACAUUUUACAUGGACGCCCAAUCACUGCAAGCUGCUGAACCAAAGGAGAGUUCAAACAUCUAAAAAAUUUGACUAACUCAAGUAUCAUAAAAUACUUCACAUGAAUUCCAAAUGAUCUCAUAUCUAAAAAACAUUGACAUAAAAUUAUUGUUGUUUACCUUACAUGUUUCUUCCAUGGUCAUAAUCGAAACUUUGUUUAUCAUAAGAAAUCUUCUAUGCUCAUCCUGAUUACUUACAAUGAACAUUGAAAUGAAAAGACAAAAAACACAAAAAAUGACGAUUAGUUUGGUUUGAUAAUUUUUUAAAAUUAGAAAUUAUAAAACUAUUUUGGUUCUCAGAUUUAUCGGAAAAUUGAGGGAAAAACAAAAAUCUAAGAGAAAUUUAUUUAACACUUAUGAGGAACCAAAAAUGUUUUAGAUGUUGUCCAAUCGAUAAUUUAAACGUGUUUAAUUUCAAUUAAAUGAGUUUAAUCAAACACAUGAAAUUGUGAAUAAAAUUAUUUAAAAGCAUUGAAAUUCAAGUCAAUAAAGUUGUACAUAAAAUUUGAUAUAUUGAAGCAAGAAAAAAACAAAGCAAUUUGAAUGACUUGCUAAUAAAGCAACUAACUAGAAUAUGCCCUACAGUUGUUCUGUGCCCUGUAUAUAAGAAAUUUAAAAAAAACAUUCCUAGAAAAAAAACAAACAAAAUAUCCAUGGUUCUUACGUUAUUUUUUUCUUAAUUUUUCAAUAGUUAUAAAUGGUUCAUUUAAUUCUUGCAAACCACCAAAUCAAAACAGAGCAUGAAAAUGUGUUCAAUAUUUGUUUCAGGCUUGAAGCUUCAAGAAAAAGAAAACCUUAAAUCAAAUAAACAGGACUAGCGAAUGAAUUGGAACUUGAAAGAAAAGUUCAAGCGCAAAAGAAUUACUUGACUCUAUAUUGGCGGAGUGGCACUUUGAUUAAUAUAGCACAUUAUUGAUCAAUAUUCUUGGAAUGUGAGCUAUAUAACGCCAUUCUUCCCCUUUCUCAAAUCCACCGUUUUUCCCCUUUCUCAAAUCGAUGAAAAGGUAGCAUAUAUUUUUCAUUUCCUAAUUAUAUCAACUACUUCAUGGUGCCUUUGUCUGAUAAGCUUAAUAGUUCUUCUACAUUUCCACCAUCUAAUUCUCUAACGUUCAUCAUGAUAGGGUUGUAAAUUUCAUCAUCAAAUCAAAACAUAUCCUCCUAUAAGAGGCCUUUGAAUUAUGAAAUAAUCAAUUCACUUGAUUCUCAUAUUGGCAAAGACAAGCUUACACUAUUGGAAAGACUACCCCUCACCUUUGCCUUCCCAAAUAGCAAAGAUGAGAGAGAACCUUUCACAAAAUCACAAGAAUUAUUCAAGUUUGGAAUUCAUAGGCAUUGUUAUUGAAUUUCAGUUGUAUAAAAUUGGUGUGUUGUGUUUAUUUUGUUGGUAUUAAAAUUGAAUUUUUUUAAUUGCAAAUUGAUGAUUUUUUCUCUCUCUCACAUUUAUACCCAUUAGAGUUUCUUAUUAGGGUUUGUGUUUGAAAUUUGGAGAAAGUAUGGUGCAAUUGUUCACCGGUGUGGUGUACCAUCUUGUUUGUUGUAUUUGAUCUUUGGGUAUUUGAUUUAAUUUUGUUGUUGUGAAAUUGAAAGUUGAAAUCCAAGUUAAUUGUUUAACUAGCUAUUUGUAGUUGACUUGUUUGCACCGAUCUUGAUUAUCCAUUUCAUGGGAAUAAUUGAUUCCAAUUUUCCUUCAUGGUUACUGAAAAUAUAUUGUGGGUGAAGGACUAUUAUGGAGUAUAUUUAAUUUACAAGAUUGAAUAUUGAACAAAGAUAUGCCCUAGGUCUAGCUUAUAUGGAAUAGCAUAUCUUACAUUUAUUUAAUUAAAUAUACUAUACAAAUUUUGGUUAUAUAUAAUAUCUAUGUUACAAAUUUGGAUAAUUCGAAGUCUAAGUGACUUCAUAUAAUUAUUGUUACAUCUUAAAAAUGAUUUCACAAAUUAGAAUUACAAUGACUCCUACACACCUUAGAUUCUAACUCAAAUUCUCACUUGAUUUUAUUUUAUUUUUAUUUUUAUUUUUUUGUUUUCAAUCAAUUAAUAAUAUGUUAUGGGCUAGUUUAGCUUAUAGUUGAGAAGAAUUUUAUCUAAGAGCACCUCAAUUUGAAGCAAAUUGAAGAAAAAAAAUGACUUAUUAUACCUUAUGAAAGAUAAUAUUAUUAAUUUCCAUGUUUUUUUUUCAAAUAACCUUUUCAUGACAUGAACUUAUAUGGAACAUUGUUGUAUUAAUUGAUUAGGAAAUCACUAAGCCUAAGGAAGUGAGAAAAUUUAAAAGGGAAGGAAUGUCACCAUUGCAUUUUAGCACAAAGAAAGAUGAUCUCUAGCUAUGACGAAAAUUCAAGAAAUGAACAACUUCCAUUAAAGAUGAAGGCACAAUUGGGUGACAUUUAAAAAAAAAUAACAAAGGAAGUUAUUGUUUUAGCUAGGGAUAUGUUUUUUUUUUUUUCAGACUUCUUGUGUUACUCAUAUAUACAAUAUGCAAUGUGAUUUCUCUUUUAUAUUAUAAAUUUAUUACUCUUAGCACUUCAUUUAUGGGAUAGAUAAAUAAAAAUUACUUUAAUUUUAUUUAAUUAUUGGAUAGUUGUUGGAUGGAUAAAUGAUUGUUAUUUUCUUUAUAUUUGAGUUAUUUCAAUAUCAAAUGCCAAUUAAAAUAAAAGAGCAAUAGGUGAAGCUAAUUUUAGAUUGUCACAAUCCUUGGCACUUCCACUAAGUGUCAAGGUUUAGAGCAAUCAACAAUGGAAAAGGUGAACAAUGAUACUUCCAAAAGACGUCAAGGUUAUUUCAUCUUGAACAAUAACAGUUUUUGUAAGUGUCAUUAUUUACAAAAUCAACAAUAACAUUGGCAAAUUGGUACACCUCAAUGCUUCUAAAAAACAUCAUUAUUUGUUCCAUAUUUACAAUGACGCUAUUAAAAGUGUCAACAUCGCUAAACACUCUUUACAAUGACACUCGAUUUCAUGGCGCUUUUAAGAAGUGUAAUGUUUGUAGAAACUUAUUAUUGAUCACCGACUUUUUGCAACCAUACAACACUACAUAACCUUAAUACCUAUUGUUCAUUAUGAUGUUGUAAGAACAUAUGCCUCUAUGUGACCUAUUAAAUAAACUGGUCUUAUCAACUGAAAAAUGUUCCUCUAGUUAGUAAAAACUUCAUUCAUGUGGUCAUUUAUGAGCAUCAUAAUAAUCCAUAUUAAAAAUAUUUAAAAACAUUAAUGCACUAAAACAUUGAUUUCAUCAACAAAAUUACACUCAUUCUUUUGACUUAUAGCAUUCAAAGAUGUUUAAAAAUAUAUAUGUACAAUAAAACAUCAUCAAAUUUAUUAACAAUUAAACUUUUAACCCCAAAACAAUCCGCUACUUUAGUAGAUAAGACACUAUUUGGAAUAACAUUAUUUUUAGCUCAAGUUAGAAGUUAAAAUGAUAAGGUUAAAAGAAUAAAACCAACAAAAAAAGAAGAAGUUAUUUUUUGUCAAACUUGACACUAGUUCAAGUUAGAUAAUGUAGCUCAACGCCCUAUUGAAUUGAGUCAUAUAACUAGACUCCCUAAUUAUAUAUUAUGAUACACACACAACCUUUGGUCUAGUAUACAUGAUUAAAUUAAAUGCCCAACCUAGUUUGCAAAGCUAAACUAGAAUCCCAAAUCUAGUUCAUUAUAAAUGCUCUUCAACCAACUUGCUAUAGCAUUCAAAUAAGACAAUGACAAUGAUAAAAAACCAAAAAAAAUACCUAAUAUAUCAUUGAAAACUCCUUCCUAAAGGAGGUAAAAAAAAAAUCAUGAAGUAACUUUCUUCUAUUAAUAAAAAAAUGGGAAUACAGUGAUCUAUAUAGUGUUUUAACUCGAAACUUAUGGUAUUACAAAUAUUAAAGAAGCGAUUUAAAACACACACACACACAACAAGCAUGUUGUCAAGCUUAUAAAAGUUGGAGAAAUCUCUACAUAUAAGUCUUCAAAACAUGAUGGAGAGUAACCUUGACAUUUAAGUCAACAAUAUACAAGGAAAGGCAACCCAAAAAGAUACAACUUUGAGAACAAACCCUUCUUUUUGCUUUUUUACAUAACCCCUUUUUUUUUUUUCUUUUUGAAAACUUCUCUCAUUUCCUCUAAUUGUUACACUACACAACAAUCCUAAAAAAACAGAGUUUAAAGGUCUGUUUGAUAAUUGUUUUUAAAAAUAAUUUUGAAAAAUAGUUUUUGAAAAUUAUUCUUUAAUGUUUAAUUUGUAGAACAAAAGUUUGUUUGGAAACCCUAAAUAUUUUUAACAUGUUUUUAAUGUUGUUAAAUAUGUUUUAAAUUUUUUUUUUUUAAUGUCUAGUAUUUUAUUUUUAAUCAUUCUACAUGUUUAUAUAAUUAUUUUUUAAGACAACCCUUAAAAAAUAAGUAAAAAUAACAUAAAACAGUUAAAAGAUGUUAUCUAAAAACACCUUAUUUUAUUAUAGCAGAAAAUAAAAAAUGGUUUUUGGUUGUCAAACAUGUUUUCUUAGUUUUUUUAUUCUGAAGAAUAAAAAAUUGUUCUUGAAAACAGUUGUCAAACAAGAAUCUUUUCAUGUUAGUCUAAGUAUCACAUUAGUUAUUGCUUAAAAACUAGUCUUUCAACUAAAAAAGAAGGUCCACUACUUAUGGGUCAAACCUUCAACUUUCAAACCUCAACACAGUUAUAGUCAAGACUAAUAUUCACAUAUUAGUAUUAAUAUAGUUCAUUAAAUAUGAAAUUUCUAUAGAAGCCAAAAUCAAGUUUUUAGGGGAAGUAACAUUCACUUUCAUAAUAAGCACUUUUUAACUCAUAAGUUAGUACUUGCAACAAGAUUUCUUAAUAGAGACUUUAAUUGAGUUUUAAGAAGAAUUUUUUGUUUGUCAAAAACCAAUUCAAACAAAAUCUAAAACUAAUAUUAUUAUCUAAAAGACAUAAUGAACAACAUAAACCAUAAACUAAAGUGGUAGUGACAACCAAUACGUAGCGUUAAUGAAUAAUUGAAAAUAGCCUCAUUUUCUAAUGACCUCAAACCUAGAAGCUCUAAAAUCCUUGCCUAAUUCUUUGUGAUGACUUUAGUUCAACCUUAUUGGCGAGGGCAAAAUUCUAAAUAAUUUUUGUCACAACUCAUAAAUUUAGAAGAAAAAAUGAAAAUAAAUGGAAUCCCUAAUGAGAAAUUGUUAUUUUUCCCCUUUAUGACAAAAAUAGUAACCAACUAGUAUUAUUAAAUAACAUGGAAAUUGUUUUUUCAACUUUAAUACCAUGUAUGACAUAACUUUAAUAACCUUAAUUUAUAAGAUUAUUUAAUUUAAAAGGAUAAAACAAUUACAUAUUCAUAAGAAUCACUUCUAUUUUUUAAAAACAAUAAAUUCCAUUUUUUGGACAAAAAUACGCUCCAUUGUUUUUAUCAACAUUUCAUAAUCAAACAAUUAUUGGAAAAAAAAAAAAAAAGGUAUAAGGGUAGCUAUAUUAAAAUGAGGUUAUAAUUAUAAUACUCAAUAAGUGGAGAUUGUUUUUCCUAAUAUUGGGAUCAUCUUGUCCAUUUGACAUAAAAAAAUUUAAUUUAUAUUAUAAUUACUCUUAUAGUAAGAGAGAGAGUAAUUUCACAUGAAAUGGACCCAUAAACAUAGGUUUAUUAUGAGGCAUGAUACUAUAAUAAUAAUAGGAAAUAAGACGAGUGCUACCAUAAUAAUAGAAAAUAAGAUAAGUAAUUCAAUACUUAAUAAAGGUCUAAAACAAUUAUGCUCUCAUUAAAUGAUAUUAAUGAUGGAAAAAAACUAAGGGGUGUUUAACAAAAUUUAAUAUUUAUUACUUCAUGAUUUAAGUUGACUAUAAGUUAAAUUAUAAUUAAGUUGUUAAUUUAAAACUUAUUAAUUUUUAUUUUAAAUAUUAAGACUACUUAAUAAAAUUAAUUUAUAAUUUAUUAAGACUGUUUGAUAAAAUUAAAUUAAAAUUUAUUCUAAAUUAUCAAAUUGAUAUAUUUAUUUUCAUAAAUUAGAACUAAGGCAAAGGAGAUCAAGUAACAAUGAAUGUCGUGGAGUAGUAAAAAAGAUCCUAGAGGUAACGGGAUAAAUUAUGGUAAAAAAUGUCAAAUAAAAAUAUGAAUUUAAGAAUAAAUUAAUUGUUUGUACUUAUUACUUAAAGUUGUUUUUUAUUUUAUAUCAUUAAGUUAUUUUAUUAAACAUGUUUAAUUUAUUUAAUGACUUAAAUUAAGUUAUUAAGUCACUUUAGGCUAUAUAAUCGGUUUACCAAUCAUAUGGAGUACAUUUGGCUAGUAGGCCUGGAGUCAAGAAUAUUGCUAUCAUAUGUUUUAUGUAUUAAGGUGCCAAGAAUAAUUGACCACAAAAUAUAUGAUUGAUAAGUAUAGGAUACAAUCUAAAAAAUGCACUUGAUUUCAUCAUCUAAAUAAAUGCUCUCGGCAAAUGGAUCAUCCUAGCUGAAACCAGAGCACAAGCCGCCAUGGACAGGAGGCAACGGAGAAACCCUUCUGCUUCUUCUUCUGCCUUUUCAUCUCCAGCUUCAUCCUCAUCGCGUUUCCGCUCAGAGAAAUUCUCCUCGAAUCCCCCAAAAACUAGUAACUCCCUGGAGGAUGCUCACCAAUUGAAAAGCAAAUGUGGGAAGCCACAAAGACCAGAGCAAGAGGAGGAAGAAAAGCAAGAUCCGAGCAAUCUUCUCUCCUUAGUUGGAACUUGCCCCUUCAUGUGCCCUGGUAAAAAUGCGUGCUUAUUUUUCCAUUUUUUUAAAUUCUAUUUUCCUGUUAUUCUGUGUUUGGUUUCCGAGAAAUUGGAGGAAAACAGUAGAAAAGAGAAGUGAAUCUGGAGUUUGUGUCAUUUUUGUGGCUUUUACAUAAAUUUUACAAAUAAAAUUGAUAUUUCCCCCCCUUUAUUAGAUACCAAUCUGCAGAAGAUGUAGGAAUCCCAAAAAAAAAUUCGCUUUUGCCUUUACUUCCCCCAAAUCUUUCAUAAUGGAAAAUGGACUUACCACCUCUUUUAUCACUUUUCCUUUACCAUGUCAGGUUUACAUGUAAUCAAACACUGUAUUUGGAGUAGAGCACUUAUCCUAAUGUCAAAUGGUGUUGAAAACUUGAAUUACUGGAUCUUAAGACUCCAGAAGAAAUUUAAUUGUUUAUGAUUAUUGCUCCAUGAGAAGGGAAAGGGAUUUCUUUUGUUUUUGCUUACAUAUAUGGCCAAAUUGAUCUAUCUCCUUCUCAUACGAACAAAAUAAGGACAUUUCUUGUCUUGCUGCCUUUUAUGCCACCGGUUCCACAUGCUGAUGUGACAACCCUUGUGCUAUUCUGUACAAAUGGUAGGAAAAUUCUGGUAAGACUGGUGGCCAGCCUAUCAUGUUCAGAGAAUAAAUUCAUUGUAUAUCUGGAAUUCACUCUAUAUCAGCAUAGGGUGUUGAUAUUGAUUAUAAAUGACUAAAUUCAAUUUAUUAUCCUUACAUUAGGGAGUGCUAAAAGGAUGCAAAUUGUUCGUGUUAUACCCAAAGACAUACAAGUGAUGCUAGAGAUUUUCACAAUGUAGAUAAUCAUAGAGUAGAGAUGAACACUAUGGAGUCCUUUGGCAUGUGUUCAUUCCAUGUAUGGGAACAUGCAUUGGAAGAUUAUGUUUCCUCCUCCCUCCCCUCCCCUCCCCAAAGUUAAUACUAUGUUGUCAUGGCAAGAACUUUGGUGACAUGCUUCUGAGUGGAAUAGCCUCCUAGAAGUCCAUUUAUGUGGCAAUUGGCAAAUUCUUCCAGUCAAUGAGAACUUUGUGACUGUCUGAUUGUUGUACUAAUCAUCAUCAGAUUUUUUUUAAGUUCAAGUUGCAAAUAGCCUUUCACAGUUGAAGGUAGCAAUGAAGAGGCCUGUUGACAUAAUUAUUUCUUCUGCUUGAAUGGAUUAAAAUCAGAUACCACACCUUCAGCCUAGAAAACUAUGGACUUUCCUAUGUACCUGCAAUUGGCUGAAUACUGGUGUGACACUGAGCAAAGGCUCUCUGAUGCUGUUAUUAAUUUCCCGAGCAAAUAAGAGAAAACAGAGAGGUCAUAAUGUGAAUCAGUUACCUGUUGAGUAGGGAUGAAGGCUUUUUAUAUUUUUUUACUUUCUGGUUAGGCCUUGGAAGCACUUCUGUGAACCAUGAUUUUGUACUGUAAAAUUAGAUGGGAUGGAUAGGUCACCUUAACUCUACUUUUGGAAGUGAUUCGGGAGUGCAUGACCGUAUGAAUAUUGAUGUAUUCUCCCCAUACAGAGCCCAACUUCUUUUUGAACUAGGAAGCAUGAAGGGUGGGUGGAUGUGGGCUGAGGAAGGAAGAUUUGAAUUGUGUGCUGCAGGCCUGCAGUACCAAUUUGUUCCAGAACUUGAUAAGGCCCAUAAACUGGUAGGCAAGUUUCAUUAUUUGGUCACCACUGAAUUUCGGCAGUAUGGCCACAAGGAAGGUAGGAAGGAGAGGGAGAAGAGAAAACCCCAAUUGCCAAUUGCAAUCUUCCAGUUGGCACAGUGCUCAUUUGCUGACAUUUCCAUUUGAUUUUGACCUUGCAACAGAUACAGCUUAACGUGAUGGACCAGUUUUUCGCAAUCUUGUGAUUCAUUACCCAACUUCUAGUAACAGUUUCUCAGCAGAUGACUCACCCAUGACAGGCUGAUGAUGUCUGCACACAACUUGAAAGGUAUAUAUGCCAAGGUGUGAAAGGUAAUAUUGUGACACCGUUUUUCCUAUUCCAGAAAAUGUACCAAAUGUAUGGCUGGUUCUUGACCAAAAAAUGCUGGCAUUGGUCACCAAGUGCUAGAGUGAUUCUUGACAAAAAAUGUUUGUAUUGUUCAGAACAAUGAUUUACAACUUCAGAUUGGCCAUCCAGUUAACGAUGAUAAGCACUUGUUUUACAAAGUUCAGUGUCAUAAAAGCAAAAUAAUUUUGUCAACAAAUAUGGGGAUAACUUUAUCAUAAUUACUACUUAUGGAAGUUAAGGAUAAGUUGGGUAAUGUGAGAAAGCUUUGGUCAGAGGAUAUGAGGAUAACUUUGUUGCAAUUGCUAAGCUGCACGUCCUAGGACUACUAGGAGAAAAGUAUGAGCAACAGAAUGAAUUUACAGUCCAUCCCCACUAGCUGCAUGGAGAGGUUGGCCUUAUUGCUGCUAUGGUGGAGGUCACCUUCUUGUAGACUUUGAAAUGUGCAAAUGAAGAGGCAGAUUUCUUAGAAGAAUGGGUAGGAUUCAGCUUGUGGUAGAUAUUGAGCUUAUCGCCUCUAAUUUCAUGUCUUCUCAAUGUGGAUUUGAGGUUUAACGAGAUUUUUGGGAAAUCAUUAAGAUUAAAAGUAAUCGAAGACUUCCACAUUAAUGAGGUAAUGAAUAACCACUGAUACUUCUUCACCCCAAAGUUCCUUCACAAAAAUUUGGUGAGUGAAGAACUAUUACUGAGUUGUGAAGCACCAAUUCCAGCUUCAUUAUCUUGAUCUUCAGAAAGAGGGGUCCAACUUGAUUUGGGAUUUUAUACCUGUCAACCCAGUCACUAGUUUUUAGGAGAAUACUUCCAAUUUACCCUUGGGUUGCUUUAGGAAGUUUCUUAAUAGUGCCAUCUCUCUAGCUUAAGGGGCUUUUGUUAAUGGAAGGCAAAUUCUAGAUGUGGUUAUCAUUAGUAAUGAAAUCCUAGAUAAAAAAUUCUGUUCUAAGGACAAAGGGAUGGUUUUUAAAAUAGGUUUUGGGGAAGUUUAUGAUCACAUAGAUUGGGGUUUCAUGUAUGAUACAUACUUUGAAUAGGGAAGGCCCUUGAACCUGGAUGGCACAAAGGGACUGGAUAUUUUGAGGCUGUUUUUCAAACUGCAGACUCUUUAAUGGUUAUUGAAGCUGAGUGAUUAGCACUCGAGGAAGAUUCGGACAUGGUUGUUUGCCUGGAUGUAAUGAACCUCCUUAUUGAAGGGGAUUCCUUUGUUAUUGUCUUAGAACCCUCUUUGAAGGCAAAGGUCCUUAGUGGAUUGCUCAUCAGAUGGGGUGGCUUCAUAAUCAUGCUAGAGACAUUGCUUGUUCUUCUCUAUUGAGGCCCAGAUCAGCUAGCCAGGUGCAUGGCUAUAUUUUUCUUAUAGGGAUGCUAAUAUCUGAAAAUUUUUAUUGAGAACACUUACUGCUCUUUGAUUGGCUUGAGGCAUGGAGCGGCUUUUCUGUUCUCUUCUUGCCAUACAUGCAUAUCAUCCCUCUUUUUUUUAUCUUGUUUAACUCAAUAAAUUCUCAUUUGUUAUAAGGAAAAAAAGAGAUAUUAUGUUACAUGAUGGAAGGACUUUAUUCUGUUAUGGAGUAUGCAAAACCUAGAUCUAUUAGCUAGAGCUAUACAGUAGGCUGUUGGGUUGUUCAGUAUUGUCUCUUUUUUCGAUAGGUUUGGCCAAUGCCCCUUGAUGUUACUUUUUGGUAAUGUAAUUUUCUUUGAUUUUUCUUGAAACUUCCUCAUUUUUCAAGCUUGCUUGUAUAUCUUUUCUUCUUCCAUUAAUGAUUGUUUGAUUCCUUACUAAAAUAAAUAACAAAUUAUGAUGCAAAGGAUUACGUUUAUGGAAAAUUUUGAGAUUUUCACCAGAUUAGAGUCUCCGAAGCUGGUACUUGUCUUGACACAGAUAAUAGGAAUCAUUUUCCCCCCAAACUACAUAAGACAUGUCUGCUACUUGGUAAUGUUCCAUUGGCAGUUAUAAACUCUCCUGUAAAAUGUGAAUCUGUUGUAGCAUUCCGAAUGGUGUUGUGUCGUACAUAGAUUGGUAAUUGAGGACUUUAUUAUGGAUUUUGUCCUGUUUUGGUUGUGCCAACAAGUUCUAUCCUGUUCUUUGUCUUGCUGAUUUGGGUGGUUGUGCAUCAUGUUCCUACCAGCUGUAUAAUUAUGCUUCAGGAGCAUAGUUAUUCUGGUUUUACCAUCCAGAUGAUGGUACUAAAGUAUUUGUAUUCUAGAUUGCACAACUCCUUAUAUGGGAUAUUUUUGCACCAAAUGCUUAGUGAUCAAGAGAACUCUCAUAUUAAACACAUUCAUCUUCUAUUAAACUAAAUUCCUUAAGUAUGCAGUCUCACAACUACAUCAUACCAUUCUUUUCCUUUUUUCUUCCUUUCUUGCUAUUACAGGUUGGUUGCCACUAAUAUAGUAGAAAGCAAAUUACACGACCCUGCUUCCAUAAGACCUUUCUUAUUCCAUAGGUUGAAAUAGAAAAAACACUCGAUGGGACUAAUGUUUCUCUUUGCAACCAAGCAAAUUAAAAUGUUUUGAAACCCAUGCUGCCAUGAUCUAGCUAAUUUGCAUUUUAUAUGUCUACUCCUUUCUAUUUACUCAAAUUGUGUAUUUCUUAUGCUUGUAUUUAUUUCCUGAUGAGUUUAUUCUGAUUCUUUGAUCAGGAUUUCUGCAAUCACAUUGCUUGCUAUUGAAUUUUCAAUGGCUUAAUAUGAAUUAUUAACAAAGAAGUUGUUUAAUUAUUUCAGCAGCUUAUACCUUGUAAUUUCUUUUAACAACUCUUAUCUUUGAUGUUCAUUUGUAAUAAAUAGCUGGAGAAAGGGCCCAACGUGAACGCCUUCGGGACUUAGCUGUGUUUGAGAGGUUACAUGGAAAUCCUGGGAAAACAUCUCCAAGCCUUGCUGUCAAAAAGGUAAACCCUACAUCUCAUGCCUCUAUACCGCAUCUUAGCUUCUCAUCUUGCAUCGGACAAUGAUACUCUUAUUGAAUCAUCUUUACCAUAUCAGCCAUCAACAUGUGCACUUAUUGAGCACUAAUUCAGGCACUGAUACUUGUGCUUUUGUUUUGUUUUAUCUUGUCUUGUCUUGUUUUGUUUUGGAUGUGAUUGUGUUGGAUGACCUGUAUCUGUGUUAGACACCAAAGCCUAUCUUAAUGCUACUGUAAAGUAAGACUAUGCUAAUAAGCUAUUGAUCUGUUACAGGGUUUAUGCCAAACUGAUUUUUUAGUUUCUCUAGUAGAAAACUUGUUUUUUCCCCUGUUAUAUCGGUGCUAUUGUUGGAUUUGUGUUUGUUGUUGAUCAAGCAUUUGCUGAAAGUUUUUUUUUUCCUUUGCUUCUUGAUGUGCAAAGCAUUAUUGUUUGAAUUUUAAUGAUCCCAUUUGAUUCACUAUUCAAUAUUUUUAUUUGAUAUUACAUCUAUCUCAUUUGUUUUCUUUUCUUAGUUUUUAUUUUUUUAUUUUUUAUUUUUAAUUUAUUUUUUAUUUUUUGAAUUUGAUGGAGCCACCAUUAAUUUAUUUUUCCUUAUUAUUGUGGGGUGUGCUUUAUUUUGUUCAAUUGUUGUUGCACUAUUAUUAUCAUGUAACUUUUUUUUUCCUUUUUUUUUUUUUUUGUUUAAUCUAUUGUUCCUAUGAGCAUUAAAUGCUCCUAAAAUGUAUGGAAUAGGCUAAACCUUUCUAUAGUUUUUUUAAAAAAACUCAUUUAUUAUCUAUUUUCUUGUGCUCAAAAAAUUAUAUUUUUUUAGUAAAAUUGAAAAUUUAGGGAGCGCUUAGGCCUCAACGGCUCAACCCCUUGAGGGUUUAUGCCUAUCGUAGCAAGAUGUAAACCCCCUUGCCUCUUAUGCUUUUACCUUAUGAAACUAUACCAAGAAAAAAACACCACAACUCCCUGCUGCCAUCAAAGGAUACUUCAAAGUUUGCUUCAAAUCAAUCUUAAGGCUAAUUAUCAUACGCUUGUCAUCAUGUCACUAAAAUUGGUAUUGUAACCAAAGUCCUAUUGCGAAAUCUUCAAGUUGCAGCUCCUUUUUUUCUGUUGGUAUUUGUAUUGUUAGGUGGCCGCAACCUGUUGCUUUACUUAUGCUUUAUGAACUACUCCAGUUAAAAUAAUGCUUCAAGUAGAUGCUUUCUGGAUCUUGACUCUAGCAAGAGGCUUAUAUUGCAAAUUUUUUUGUGGAGUCCUAGCUAGGAAGACAAUAGCUUGCUUAAAAGGAUUGCCACCUCUCUUGUUGGGUUUGUAAAAAUUUUGCUUCUCUCUUGACCUUGGGAGUCCUGUGGUUUCAAUUUUGGGUGUGCUCUAGGUUGUAGCCUGUGUUAUGCUUUCUAAAUGGUAAUCUUCUUAUUUUGGCUGGGAUGCUUUUGUUUAUUUUGCUUGUUUGCUUUCUUUGUUUCUUUAUUGUGGCUGUAGGAUCACCAAUCAACUUUUUAUUCUUUGCAAAAACUGUUUAUGUUUCAUAACAAAAAAGGAAAAAACAAAGGCAAGUUAGCCUAGAAUAGGUUUUAUCUUGUUUCUUCUUUUACCAUUAGUGUGGAUUCAAACUCAGGAAGAGGCCUUCAAACAAGUGGCAUUUGUGUUUUUUAAACAUAUAUCUUUGUUCAAUCAUUGUUAAGUGUUUGCUGUCUUGUCUGUUCUUUUGGUUGUUUUUGGCUUUGUCAAAGUGUAUAAUUGUAAUAUCCUACAUCGUAUAGAGGAAAAAGUUCCUAGCGCUAUAUAUGUAUGAAUUUCUUUUAAUCUUGUUGAUUCGUUUUCAAGCCGCGAGGGUCGCUUAGGCUCAAAGCAAAUAAUAUCCACACAACUGGGAGCAGGUUGUUACAAAUGGUAUCAAAGUCAAUCCUCGACCUUGGUGGGAGAGUUUGUUUGGCCUAAAAUGGGUGUCCGUUUAUUUGACCCUACAAUCCUGUUGGACACAACAAGAACGUUGUGUCUGCAUGAGAGAGAGAGUGAUUGUAAUAUCCUACGUUAGAUAGGAGGAAAAGUUCCUAACGUUAUAGUGUGUGUGUCUUGUAAAGCUUAUGUUGGGUGUCAUGAUUUUAUCUCGUCCUUUUUAUUAUUCUGAUUCAACAUCAUCUUAGCUUAUAAUCAUUUAUACACUUGAUGCAUGAGAAAUGAAGAUGCUAUAAAUUGUAGGAUUCUUUUUCUCCAAUUUGUUCCUUGAUAUUUUAUAAUGCCAUGAAAUAUCUAUAUUUUGAUGCAGAAAGCCGUUCACCCUCCAUCUCUCUCACUAGUUUUGCAGAACCAUUGCCACUAAGCACAUGCAGGCGUCAGAUGUGCGGCCACUUCCAGUGUUGGAAGAGACUUUGAACUACCUAUUAAACCUGUUGGAUGCCACGGAACAUCCUUUUGAAGUGGUUCAUGAUUUCGUCUUUGAUAGGACAAGAUCAAUAAGACAAGAUCUUAGCAUGCAGAAUAUCGUUAAUGAUCAAACAAUUCAUAUGUAUGAAGAAAUGGUAUGAAUUUCUUGAAACAUAAUCUCAAUUACCUUUUUUUUUCUGAGCAUUCAUCUCCUCAACAUACAAUAAGUUAGCCAACCCAUUGCUAAACACUCUCCUAGUUGGAGAAAAUAAUCAAAGUAUACAAGAUAUAAAAUGUUGAAAAUUGAGUCAUUAUCCUCUCCUUUUGCUUUAUUGAAUAAGAUAAUUUAUUCAGUUGAGUCCAAACGAGGUGAAACUGUGAUCACACAACUUGAAGCCUACUUUACAAUGGAUAAAUGAAUGGUCUGAUUUUGAAUCUUUCUUGGCACAUUAGUUAUUAUCCAAUCCAUUCUAAUUAAAUUAUCCACUAUUAAGUGUCUAUUUCUAGUCACCCUCCAAGUUAUGAAAGACCCAUAGAACCAAAGCAACUCACACCACAUGUGAUGGGAAUUGGUGCUCUCUUCCAUAAUGUCAAGUUUUCCAGUACACUUGCUGACUUUGUAAAAUAUGCCUACAAAAAGGGCUGCCACCUCCUAAUUCCCAAUCAUAGAAGUUUCUUAACCAUAUUUCAAAAGCUGUAUUUCCUGUUCCCUCUCUUUAAGUUUUUUAAACCUAUAUCUCUUUAUCCUAGUAAUUCGGAAAAAUGAGGAAAUUAUUUAACAAGAACUCCAUCAAUUUGUUCCUUAAAAUUUUAUAUGGUUUCUCUCUCACUUUUUAUUCAAAUUCUUGAAGCAAAGGAACAAAUUCAUGGCUAGUAACAAUUUUAGCCAAGCAAUAGAAUGCACAACAAACAUGCAUAUGAAUGACUUUUGUUUUUUGAUGAUAAUAGAUCAGAUAUUUUAAUCUCAUCCUAAAACCUUGGAGUUAGCUAAAAGCCGCAUCUUAUGUUCUGACUUGUGGUUUGUUUCAUAAUAUAGGUGAAAUUUCAUAUUAUAUCCCACCACAAGCUUCGCAGUUGUAGCAGCAAGCCAAAUUUUUCUUCAGUUCAUUACCUCAAUAUGGAGCAGCUGAAAAAGUGUUUGAUAUCUCUAUAUGCUCUAUACAAAGAAAAUCGAAAUUCAAAUUCUAUUUACAAGAAUGAACCUGAGUUUUGCUCAUUUCACGUUCUUCUUCAUCUUGGCUUUAACAACCAACCAUUGGUGGACACUUGCUUCCAUUGUUUGUUUGAGUUCAUCUUUGUCAGUAUCUCUUGCAGCCUUGUACUGGUUUCUGAAUAUGUUACUAUUUCUGUUCUGAAGGGAGAGUCACUCUCUUUGUGGUUGGGUCGUGUACCUUCUCUCAUUUUGAAGUCAAAGGAAAUGUGUUUUGCCCGGAGACUUUUAAGGUGACCACAAAGCUAUUAUAGAUUCGACUUGCAUAUAAAUUGUUUAUAUUCAUUUUACAUUUAACUCAAUGUAGAGUGGUUCUGUUUUUCAAUCGAUUUUUUUCUCUUCUUUUAGUACCCAAUGUUAAAAUUUUUGUUUUCAUGAACUGAAAGAUCUGUCUUUUCUUGUAACAGAUUAUUUCGGAUGGGCAAUUAUAAGCAUUUCCUUUGUACUACAGCAACUGAGGCAUCUUAUUUGCAGUACUACAUUAUUGAACCUUACAUCAAUGAGGUUGCUUAAAUAUGUUGAUUUUGCUAGAUUUUUCAGUUUGAAAAAUAUAUGCUUCUUUGUUCAUUUAUUGUAUUCCAGUUUCAUUUAUGAGAAUAUAUCUAAAAUCUAGACUCGAGUACUUGUGCUUUUGGGUUUUAUUUUUCUUUCAUUUUUGUUAGUAGUUGCACUUCAUUAUUCUUAAAUUUCUCACCAACUGUUUCUUUAUGUGGUUUAUUGCUCCUCACUUUCUUCAUUCAUCUGAAGUUUUCAAAUUCAAUUAGCUUGUUUCAUAAACUAGGUCUUAUUUAGAAGUUCUUCUCAACUGCCUUUUUUUAGUGCUUCUAAAAGACAUGCCUGAUUUAUGUACAUUUUGUUGGUUUUCUUUUGACCGUAAAAGGUUCGAGCAUUGGCAUUGUCAUGUGUAAAUUAUUGUGGCUACAAACUUCAUCCAUAUCCAAUUGCACACUUGUCCAAACUCUUGAUGAUGAAGGUAUGAUUGCAUUUACUAGCAUUAAAUUGCUAAAAUUUGUCAUCCAAAGUUCCAAUUUCUUUUGAACCUUGAAGACUCCAUUUGCAUUCUUGUAGGAAUUAGAUGUGGAAUCAUUUUGCAAUGCUUGUGGUCUUGAGACCAGCACUGGUGAACGGGGAAAUAAGUUCUUAUCAACCAAGCAAACAAACUUCCAUUAUCCCAAGGAAGUCUUUCCAAGCUACUGCCUUCGGGUUUGGAACACUUUUAGAGGUAACAAUCAAUUGGAACUAGUUACUCUUUCAAACUUCUUAUUGUACAAAUAUAGCCUGCAUGUGCAACCAUUUCUGAUCCCAUAAUUUCAAGAAUUUAUGACACCUUCUAGUGGUUAGUUUUUUUGGGAAUAGAGUAAAGCAAUCUAUUCACUCCCAGAAACUAUCGUCAGAGGAACAGUAGAUAACCCCGCAAGACCAAAUUUAUGUGUGUUGCAUGGAGAUGCAUGUUUUCUGCAUCCCAAUCAUGCAGUGUUGUGUCAAAUGGAAUAAUAGCAGGUGAUGAUAAGUGGUAUUUCUAAAAUCAUCUAAGAGUAUUCCAUCUAUUGUAAUAUUGUUUUCUCAUAACUGUCUUUGAGUCUUAUAUGUAAAUAUUAGAGUUGACCUCUUGUAAGCUAUCAAUUGAUGUUGUAACUUAACUUGAAAGGGAAAUUCUAUAAAUUUAGCCUUGGUUUGGCACUUGGAAAGCAAAGAAAAAUUAGGUUAGUGAGUUGAUUUCUUCCCUUCCCAUGGAUGUAAGCACAUUCUUGAAUCAUGUUAAUUAUUUUUUGGUUUAUUUUGUUGUUUUGUUGUUUAUUGUUCAAUUGUCUCCACAUAACAAGUGGUAUCAGAGUUGUUUCCGACACACUAGAUGAUUCUUGUGCUAACACAAUGUUUGAGGCUAAAUAUAAGAUAGUAAAAGUUUCUAGAAUAUUUCCCUAUGACAAUUACCAAUAAAGAAUGUACUUAACAGGAAGUUUGUAAGGUGUUACAUGGCAAGUUGAACAAAACCAAUAGCCAGAGAUAACUGAAAUAUUUGGGCCAUUGAUCCAAUAAUAGCAGAUAAUAACACAAGAAGAGACCCUCUAAUCACCAUUUUUGCUUUUGAUUCUUCUUUACAAAGCAUCAUCUACUUUAUACAAAAAGACAAUCCAUGGCUGAGCCCACAUUAUUCUCUACAUAUCCCAAAAAAGCCCUCCAAAUUUUAGGGCAUGAUGCUCUUUUUGGGGGUAUUUUUGGUACUAAAUUUGUGGUAGUCUCUCAAAUACCUAAACUAGCCUCCAAAUUUUAAGGCAUGCCCCACUGUUUGAGGUGGUGUUUUGGGUACUAAUUUUUGUUAGGAGAGGUUUUAGUGUGGAAACUGGAGGGCUUUACACAUGUCGCAUGUAUUUUAUUUUGCAUGCGUUACACGUGGAUUGGAGUUUAUGCAGUUACUCACACUUUUUGUGCGUCCAACAAUACUGUAGUGCCACGUCACCAUAUGAUGGGCUCUUUAGUCUUUUCAAACCCAAAAAAACACCCAAAAAAAAAAACUAAUACUAAAAGGAGUGCUAACUAGCUAUGUGAAGGUGAACCUUUAUAGCUAGCUUCUUAAAGGGACCAUGAUCGCUUAGGCCAAGGAAGUUUGAGGUGAUAAUAGGUCUGUGAUGCCUUUAGAUGUUUUAAGCACAUGUGCGUUACACUAAUGUAUUCAACGAGUCUAUAACCUUAACCGACAGGUCCGGGUAAUCUUUGAAAUUUCAUUGUGAUGGGAAGGUUCCAUGUGAACAACACUUGCACAUGGGUUAGUCAAUCUUAAGAGAUGGGGGAAGCCCGUCUAACAACGCACAAUGUGCGAGCUUUGAAAGGCAAUAGGGUUAACAUUUCUGAAUUGGGACAUGACAAUGACAACAACAUUAGGUAGUCUAGAGAUGUUGUCAUAUUAAUUGUUAUCAAUAUUUUUAUUUAUUCAAUAGAAAUUGAGGAUUAAAAAAUACCACAAAAAAUAGAAAAAACAAAAUUAAUUACAUGGCUUACAUUUCAGAUAUUUAAUAAAAUAUUGUAUGAAAGUUGAAUAUCAUACACUAUUAAAUGACUGGAUUCUCUUCUUUAUUUUUUUUAAUUGUCUCAUCCUAUUAAAUUACUCAUCUAAUAUUAAUUUAUUUUAAAGGUAAAAUUAAUUAUAUUGUAAAAAACUUUUAAUUGACCAGAGUUUGUGCACAACAUCUAAUAUAUACUUAAAUACUUUUCCAUGCUAUAAUCCUCCAACUAAGAAAUGAAAUCAAAACUUAAAAAUCAUUUAUAUAUAUAGAUAUAUGUUGUUAAGUUUAGGUAGUGAAACAAUUAAUGUGGAUAUAAAAUUAAUGCCAAAACUUUUGAUUGAUCCUUCACAUUCUCCACAACCAAACAAAGGAUAUAAGAAAUAAUGAAAGAAAUUUAGGGUAGUUUUAUUUUUUGUUCUCAUCUUGUUGUGAAGUUAAUAGAGGAAUGCUUAGGUUGGUGCUCAAUAGUUAAGUGACACCAGGGUAUAAUGAUUCUUCCAAUUGUGUAAACAUUAUCCGCUUUAAUUUCAAUGGAUCAUCAUCACUUUAAAUUGCAUCCACAUGGUUAAGAGUAACUCAUAUGUAUAUAAUAUCAUGAAUUUCUUCUUAUUCGAUAUGGAAUAUCAAAUUAGGUAUCUUUCAAUUUUAGGUAUUGUAUAAGCGUUUCAACUCAAAUGACUUGGCUUAAUGUAUGCUCAAAGCCAUGACAAAGGAACGUACAUGUAAUAAAGUGAAAAUUAAACCUUGUCGCCCUUCUAUCUCUAGUAUGAAACACAACUCCAUUAGCCCUUAAACAUCUGCAAAAAAAGAUAUACACAUCUGUUACAUUAAUUAAAAUAAAUGAUGCAAAAAGAGGCUCUACAUGUCCAUGUACAUAAUUUGAUUAGAUUUGUUAUAUAUAUAGAUAGAGAGAAAAAAAAACUGCUUAGAUUAAGGAUCUCAUUAAUUAAUACCUAGAAAAUAUAAAAUAAUAAGAAAAGAUUAGAAGGUGUGAAUCAUAAGAUAAGACUACAUUUUUGAAUUAGAUUCAUCGAAAGAUGGCAUAUUGUAUGAACAUUUGUACUCUAUAUAUAAAAAUUCAUAUUAUGGUUGAGAUGUAUUAAUUUGUCAUAUUUUUGGAAAAUUAAAGUAAUGAGUAAUUACACUAAAUUAAAUUAUUGACCUUAUUAAUCAAUACCUCAAGAGUAUAAAAUAGUAAGAAAUGAUAAUACAAACUUCAUUGAAAUAUUUUUAUACACAUUGUGUAAAUAUUCUUAUUUAAUAAAAGUUUAUAUGUCAUUAAAUAAAUAGAGAAUUUUAACAUUAAUUGCAGUGCUAAGUAGAGGAGAUCCCAUAUUUAAGUUGUUGAUUAAGGCUUAUUUGAUAAAACUUAAUAUAUAUUACUUAAUAACUUAAGUUGACUUUAAGUUAGAUAAUAUUUAAGUUAUUUACUUAAAAUUUAUUAUUUAAUAUUUACUUUAAGUAUUAAAGUUAUUUGAUAAAGCUAAUUUAAAAAUCAUUUUAAAUUUUCAAAUUGUCAUAUUUACCUUCAUUAAUUUGAUAACUAGAUGCAGAUAAAUGAAAAAAAAAAUGAGAUUAAGAAUAAGUUAAUUACUUUGAUUUAACACUUAAAAUUAAAAGUAACUUUAAAAUAUAAUAUUUAGUUAUUUUAUCAAAUAUAUUUAAUAUAUUUAAUAAUUAAAUUAAGUUAUUAAGUCAAUGAAUGAUUACCAAACACCCUAUAAGACCUAGAAAAUCGAAUGAGUUUUAAUAGUAUUCAGGAUGGGCAUGACUAGGUGGUGGUUCAAUGUUGAUUAAUCAUAAUUCAAUCAAGGCAAAAUAUGUAACAAAUACAUGUCAAACUGCACCAUCCAAAUGGGCACCAAGAACGUUACAUUUGACAAAUGCCAUUAAACCUUUACAGCUAGCAAUUAGAAGAUCACUCUCUUCUUGUAUCUCUCUUUUUCUCCAAACUCCAGGAGGAAAAACGCGAACUCCAUUAUUUUGAUCACAGAAAAAAUGGCAAAAAAGUGUGUUGUACUUCAUCUUGAAGCUCAUUAACUUCAUCUUAAUUUGAUCCAAAUUGCAGAAACAUUCGAAACUCCAUGAAUCUAUGGUGCUAUGGUGGCCUACAUUCAUAUAACUGGGGACACUUUGGUUUGCACUACAAUGACCCCCAAACAUGGUUUGUAGAGACUUUAUCAAGAUCACUAGCUUCAAAAGACUAAGGAAAGAAAGAUGUUCUCAAUGAAAACUUGGAGUCAAAUUGCAGAUAAAGACCUAAAACUCCCACUCAAUGUGUUUGAGGAAUUGUUGUUUCAUGGGGAUAAGCCGUUUGGUUUGUACACGUCUCCUUGGUGAUACUUAGAGAUUGGCGAAGUAUACGUCUCCUUUGUGAUCUGGUUUGUAUCUGGGCAGAUGAAUGUUCAUGCCAGGUUCAUAUAUGUUUCUGAUAUAUAUCACCCUGGAAGGAUCUAGAUCAAGGGGAUGAGUUUGAAAAGCUUGAGUAGGUUUAAAAUGUUCCGAGAAUUGGUGAGCAUGAUAUAUAUCAACAUGAUAUUGCAGAAGACAACAGAGCUUCUGAAAUAUGUCAGAUUCAAUAGUAGGAAAUCUUAUCAGCUGUCACUUACUGUAAUUCUAUGCUCUCAAUAUUCAUUUGUUGAAGAAGAAAAAAAAUUGCUUUCACACUAUUCAAUUACAGGAGAAUGUUCAUUAUUGAAGAAAAUAAUAUUCGCUAGUCUCUUUCAACUUAAUCAACAUGCAGAGAAAAGCAGUCGGGCGACCAAUUAUUCACAUAAAACUUACAUACAUUGUCUCUCUACCUCUACUUGUUACUCAUCAGUCAAGCUUAUAGUAAUAUAAGCUUGGGUUCAUCUCUCUAUGCCAUUGAUGAAAACUCCACAUGGGCUUUGCCUUUCUGGUGAUUUUGCAUUUGGAUUCCGACCCUCUCCAAGUGAAGAGGACCUAUUCCUUCUUGCUAUCUGGACUGCAAAUGGAAGUUAACCGGUGCCAAGAGGAUCAAAAGUUGGGCUUACCACCAAUAGACAGCUUGUUCUCUAGAGGCUGGUAAUGUGAGCAGCGAACCAGUGCAUGGUGCCAUGCUUGGAGAUGGAAAUUGUAUACCAGUGUAUGGGAGAGCUUCAAGCACCCGACUAAUACCAUAUUGCCAACCCAGGGAUUGGUGUUGGAGCCUACUGUUGAGUUGCUAUUUUUGAGGACCUGAGGUUUCCAAAUGGAACUGGAAGCUGUUGGAGGAAAAGACUACCUCUUUCAAAUGGGAGGUUGGAUCAAACUGCUGUUUCCAGAAGUGCUCUAAUCAAGAUAUUGAAGUCCAGUGAACUAACUUCAGGCAGAGGCAACCAAAAUAAAGCAAUUCUAAUACUCUCAGUCCUCUUAGGCCCCUCUGUGUUCUUCUUCUUCAUUUCUCUGGCUGCAAUUUCUCUAGUUUUCUACUGCUUGAUCCUCAAAAAUCUGCAGCUUUAUCACAGAAUCCUGAGUACAAGCGAUGGUAGAAGCCUUUGGCACUGUCUAUAAAGGGAUAUUACCAUCAGGUUCUGGAAAUUCUGUUGCUGAAAAGAAGUUGGAGAAGGUGGUGGGAGAAGAUGAGAAAGAAUUCAAAGCAGAAGUGAAUGUGAUAGGCCAACUCACCAUAAGAAUCACGGACACUAGCUGCGUUACUGUCGUGAGGGUGAACACUGACUACUGGUGUUUUUUUUUUUUAUGCACAAUGGCUCUUUAUCAAGCUUCCUUUCUGGAGGCGCCCAAGGACUUGUGUACCUACAUGAAGAAUGCAGUAAACAGAUCAUCCAUUGUGACAUAAAGCCCUCAGAACAUAACUCUUGGAUGAUUCUUCUACAGCCAAAGUUGCAAACUUGGACUGGGAAAGCUUCUGAUAAGCAACCAGACUAGAACACUCACAGGCAUCAGAGGGACUAUGGGGUAUAUUCAGACAACUCGGGCAGCCUAUGUCUCUUAUAAUAACACGUUAUGAAGCAUCAGCUCAAUGCCGGGGUUCAAUCUGCAAAGCAAGGGAUUCAUCAAUGUUUCCUUCAAACUAAAUGAUAAGGAACAGAAAUGGAUCAUUCUGCAUUUUCAGUGGUGUUUGUUAUAGCAUUUAUACAAGAACUCUAGGGGUUUCUAUGUAUAACUUCAUUCCCAUUUUGUAUAAUCCAAAUCUCUUCAAUCGAUUAAAUGUAUAAAUGAAUCCUAUUCAUUGUUUGGAGUAACAACAAAAUUCUGGAAGACUGGGAAAGUUUCAACACUGGAGAGAAGACAAAAUGACAAGACCAUAAAUUCUGGAAGAGGGCUUUGCUUUCUAACCAUUACCAUAAUUUUAGAGCUCAACCUGGAUGAGUAAAUUAUAUUUCAGAAUGUUCAGGAGAUAAUUCUAAAGUGAUGAACCUUCUACUCACAGUUUCUUGUUCUUCUUGAACAGAGCAAUGAACAUCAAUAGUUCAGCACCCAGGAAUCUCCCCUUCCUCCAAUUCCUCCACUGGGAAAAGUCACCUUUCCAGUUAAGAAAAUCAUCAGGAUUAGUUUGAGCAAAACAUCAGAGUAUACAUCAAGAAAGCCUUGAUCAAAAUCAAAAUACAUCAAGAGCUGCCAUUUUCUUCUAUUUCCUCUUCCCUGAAUGGAAUGCCUUUUGGACUGAGGUGAUCAAUGGUAACAAUCUAACACACUCCUUAAGCUCUGAUUGAGGUCAACGGGGAUUGGCACAUUUAAUGACUUUGAAAUCAUAGCUGUGUGAAGGGAGGCAAACAUGAAUCUCAGGAUAAUCAACAAGUCAACAACUAUCAAUCAGUAAGGAAAAGGAAAAGGAAAUACCUUUGGAUAUUUACAAAUAAAAAUGAAAUAUGAUACAAGAUUUUCAUGGAUUAAACAAAAAUAGAUGGCAAAAUAGAAGGAUAAGGUCACAGACAGGACAAUAUUAAAAGAAAUUAUUAUUUUUCCGACCUGAAAAUCAAGGAAUUCAGAACAGUACAAGUUUGUAAGUAGUCCAUGGAAACCAGGGAACAUAUGCAGAUGUUUUAUUCUAUUGCAUAAGGCAAACACUCAAUACUUACAAGCAUAAUCAUGCCCAGAAAGCCAUGAAUCCCUUUUUGUUUUGCCUUUUUAUCUAUUCCCAUCUCUUAUUGCCAGAAGUGCCCAGGAUGAUAUAAGCCUCACCAAAUAAGUUAGAAACCAGCCCAUUCAGCAGGUUGAGUAGCCAGCUUGCCCUCAAUCUUCUUUGAGUCAACAAACAGCUGGGCAUUAUUGCCUCCAAUGGAGGGUCUGGAAAUAUUAGAGCCGGCAGCAGGGGUGGCUGUAAAACUCUCUGUUCCAAAACCCCAAGUUUCAGGGCCAGAAGUUCCUUCUGUGGCUGGUUUGUUGUGAUGGCCAUUUCGGGUCCUAACAGACUUGCUAUUGUUGUCUGGGCACCUGCCUCAGAGAAAGCCUGCCAAAGAUUAGAGUCUGGGCCAGGGGAAACGGAUUUUCUUUGCUGGAGUUCCCAGUCUGUUGCUUCAAUCUUUUCUCUGUGCUGUUAUGAGAAGAAAACCUAUCAGACACAUGAAUGGGUACAAAAAGGUAAACUUCAGGUUUUGGUUGUAUUGAAAAGCACAGGAAACUUCACAAGAGGCAAAUUAUACCCCAGACUUAUUGAAGAAAAAUAAAGUACAAUUGACUUACCCAAAUGUCUACUUUCUCAUUUAUAAGUUUCCUCCUAAACAAAUCCCCACAUCUAGGACAGGAAAAGGAAGAAACUGGGAGUCAACAUUUUUUCAACCAAAUGUCAGCACUAAAUUAUCAAAAAACAUAGUUUUCCAUUCAACCUCGGGAGCUGUAUGUGCAGGUGUACUGUACUUUCUGAUAUUGUCUUCUUCAAUGCCCAUUUCUUCAGGCUUCUUAAAGUGCUUAUGAUUGGUGGAGGUGCUUCCAAAAUUACACAACUUCCAUAAUCCAUUAGGGCCCAAUAGAAGAUUCUCAGCAUUUAUAUAAGAACUUUAGGGUUUAUACGUAUGAUCAUGUUACAGUAUAAAUCAUAGUGAACUGGUGGAAUUUGAUUAUUUAGCCAACCUCAUCAAAAACUGUUUCACAGUUGAGGGGAUUGUUAACCUUGCCAUGGGCCAAGCAGCAAUUUCUGAAGAAGCUGGGUGACAAAGAGUACCAUCAUUUGGACUAGUUUCAAUGGAAAUUACUCUGUUUUUAUACAUGAUAUCUUCAGCUUCAGCUUUUCCUUUUGCUUUUGACAUGGCUGAAACUGAUCCUGAAAUCAAAAAUCCCACACAAGUAGAUAUUUAACAGAAGAGGAUCCGAAUCUCUUCAAUUGAUUAAUGUAUAAAUGAAAUAAUAAAAAAUUUUAGAGAUAAUUAUAGGGAGAUGAACCUUAUACCUCUGAGUUUCUUAGUCUUCUUGAACAGAGCAAUGAGCAUCCAGUGUUGAGCACCCAGGAAUCUUCCUUCCUCUACAGGGAAAAUCUGAACAAUCUAUCUUUCUUCAUAUUCCACUUCCUUGCAAAAGUCAAAACAUGAAGAAAAUAUCAUCAAAAUUGAGACAAAAAUAAGUGCAUCAACUGUCUCAAGAAGAGAUUUAUGCCUAUUGCUUACCUUUUGCAGAAGUCCACUUGGUUAGAGCACAUUUUACAUGGACGCCCAAUCACUGCAAGCUGCUGAACCAAAGGAGAGUUCAAACAUCUAAAAAAUUUGACUAACUCAAGUAUCAUAAAAUACUUCACAUGAAUUCUAAAUGAUCUCAUAUCUAAAAAACACUGGCAUAAAAUUAUUGUUGUUUACCUUACAUGUUUCUUCCAUGGUCAUAAUCGAAACUUUGUUUAUCAUAAGAAAUCUUUUAUGCUCAUCCUGAUUACUUACAAUGAUCACUGAAAUGAAAAGACAAAAAACACAAAAAAUGACGAUUAGUUUGAUUUGAUAAUUUUUUAAAAUUAGAAAUUAUAAAACUAUUUUGGUUCUCAGAAAAUUUACGGGAAAGUAGGGAAAAAAAUUGUAAACUUUUUCUCUUGUUUGAUUGUUUAUCGGAAAAUUGAGGGAAAAACAAAAAUCUAAGAGAAAUUUAUUUAACACUUAUGAGGAACCAAAAAUGUUUUAGAUGUUGUCAAAUCGAUAAUUUAAACGUGUUUAAUUUCAAUUAAAUGAGUUUAAUCAAACACAUGAAAUUGUGAAUAAAAUUAUUUAAAAGCAUUGAAAUUCAAGUCAUUAAAGUUGUCCAUAAAAUUUGAUAUAUUGAAGCAAGAAAAAAACAAAGCAAUUUGAAUGACUUGCUAAUGAAGCAGCUAACUAAAAUAUGCCCUAGAGUUGUUCUGUGCCCUGUAUAUAACAAAUUUAAAAAAAAAAAAUCCUAGAAAAAAAACAAACAAAAUAUCCAUGGUCUUAUGUUAUUUUUUUUCUUAAUUUUUCAAUAGUUAUAAAUGGUUCAUUUAAUUCUUGCAAACCACCAAAUCAAAACAGAGCAUGAAAAAGAAAAUCUUAAAUCAAAUAAACAGGACUAGCGAAUGAAUUGGAACUUGAAAGAAAAGUUCAAGCUCAAAAGAAUUACCUGACUCUAUAUUGGCGGAGUGGCACUUUGAUUAAUAUAGCACAAAAUUGAUCACUAUUUUUGGAAUGUGAGCUAUAUAACGCCAUUCUUCCCCUUUCUCAAAUUGACACCGUUUUUUCAGUAAAGGACAUUUGUAGAUGAACAGAUAAGAGAGGGAGUCUGGAAGUCUCUCUUUUGUCAAGUAUUUGAGCUUACGACACUUACAGAUCCCUAAUGUUUUAAGAGAGGUGAGGUGUUGAAGACCCACUUUUGUCAAGGAUUGGAGCAUUGGGCAGUUAUCGAUCCACAAACAUUCAAGAGAGGUGAGGUGUUGAAGACCCACUUCUGUCAAGGAUUGGAGCAUUGGGCAGUUUUCGAUCGACAACAUUUCAAGAGAGGUGAGGUGCUGAAGACCCACUUCUGUCAAUGAUUGGAGCCUCGAGCAUCCAUCAAUUUCUAAUCGUUUUAGAGAGAUAAGGUGUUGAAGAACCGAUCCUGUCGAGAACUGGAGCUCUGGGCAGUUUCUGAUCUUUAAUUGUAGAAGAGAGGUGAGUUGUUGAAGACCCCUGCUGUCAAGAGACUUGAGAUUCGAAAGCUCUACAAUUUGAAGAGAAGUCAGAGAAGAGGGCAGCAAACACUCCUUGGGAAAUAAUUCAAUGUCUUCACAUCCACCGGUGAUUGUGAAAUGAGUAAGAGAGGUCAGCCUUUGCAAACCCCACUCCACCUGGGGUGUGAGUUGGUUGCACUUCUUAAUUUCAAGUUCACGUAGGUUGGAAGGCAAACCCUCUCUCUGAAACAACAAUUCUGGACAAUCCCAUAAAUUCAACGACCUGAGCUUGGAGCACCUAUAAAUCUUACAAGACUCCAAGUUGAGAGCGUGCAAUUCGAUAGAUUCAAGAUCAGGGCAACCAUCUAGAGACAGGGAACAUAAAGAUGUGGGAUCACCCUCUGAAACCAAAAUGGAGAGCUUCUCAAGCCCCUUAAGAUCAAGGAUUGUGAAAUUAGUCAACUUUGGGAAGAUGCCUAAUGAGAAGGAUAACGAGAGAGAAUCAUCGAUAACACCAUCUUUGAUUUCUAGACUUUCAAGGACUGGGAGAUGGCAUCUGAACAACUCAGGUAGGAGAAACGCUAAUUUCGAGCAGUCAGAGAUGAAUAGUGAUUUCAGUGUAGUGGGUAAACCAACUUUGUGCAGGGAUCUAGAAAAACUACAAUCAUAGAUUUUCAGAUCAUGUAUGUUGGUUUGCGAGAUUUCCUCCUCUAGCAGAGACUCCACAUAAUCACAUUUUCUAAUUGACAGCUGGUGUGGUGCCAUUGGAAGUUGACUCCACUGAGACACAUCUAAAAUUUCAAUUUCUGAAGUUUGAAGAGCUGUGAAGUCACAACCUGCCAUUUGCAACUGCAGUUUACCAAAAUCCACCAUCCUCAAUUGACGAAUUGCAGGAACUGUGAGUGAAGCCAUAAGCAGUUGCGGACAUUCAUGAAUUUGAAGUUCCACCAAUGAAAGAAGCUGUUCUGGUAAUUUCCCAAUGAGUUUGGGACACCUUCGUAUAAAAAGCUUUUGAAGAUGAGGGAAUUCUCCACAACAUAACCAUUUCUCCCAGUUCUGCAUAUCCUCAAAUGAUAGUGUUUCUAGGAAUUGAAAGGAAGCAUUCCCAUAGAACUCAUCACCCACACACUCUACUCCAUUCAUCCUUGAGAUUUGCAGAUAUUUAAGUUGGGUUAGCUGUCCAAGUGGUGGCAAUGUUGAGCAAUUGCCACAACCCCGAAGCUCAAGGGACACGAGAUUCAACACUGAAGGAUCUCCAAGCCAAUUUGGAAAUCCUUCACCAGGAUAGUUUGUGAUGGAGAGUUGUUUUAAAUUUGGAUGAGGUUGUAACUUGUUGAGUAUAUCAUGCGUUGUUGCACCACUUUGUGUAACACCAUUGGUACACAUGUAACGCCAAUCAAAGAUCAACUCAUCAAGAUAACUUUUAUCCUGCAUAUUAGCUCUUGAUGCAUCAUUAACACUCACCACAUUCUCCAUGUUUGAAAUAUAAAGUUUUCCUCGAAGCUCUGAUAGCUCCCCCAAUUCUCCAAUUCUUAAUCCAUUGUUUUGGCCCACAAUAAAUCGAGUCAACCUUUGUAAAUUUUUUAAUUGACCAAUUCCAUGACUUGACAUUGCUCUCAAUGAACGACAUCCAUCAAUAUCAAGAUAGCGCAAAUUAAUCAAUUUUCCCAUCUUUGAAGGCAAUUCAUCAAGUUCUGAACAAUUUCUCAGCAUCAUCGUUUGUAAAUUGCAUAAACAACAUACUGAUUUAGGUAAUUUUUUAAUCCUCGUGACAGACAAAUCCAAGUAACGCAAAUGUUUUAAAUUACCUAUCGAUUUAGGCAAAUCAGUUAUUGUAUAUGCACAUAAUGAUAACACACGUAAACACCACAUUUUUGGUAAUAUAUCUUGCAAAACUCUUUUACUCAAAUUAUAUAUCGGAUAGUCUUCCAUUUGCUUCACUCCUAAGAAUGUUCGAAUAGAUUUAGCUUUAGUGAUAGCCUCAAAAUUCUUAAAUGCAACAAGCCUCUCAUAAUCACUUUUAAAGUACAAAAAGUGGUGAGCCUUCUCAGAUACUUUCAGUAACUUAUCAUCCUCUUCCACUCGAGCACAAAAAUCUCCAGACACGUGUUGAGCCAAUUCGUGUAUUAGAUCAUGCAUUACAAAGCAUGAUCCUUUUGUUCCAAUAGAUUUUUGAAAGAAUGACUUGGCGAGAAGUUCAUUAAAAUAUGACUCACCUAUCUCUUCCAUUCUCCUUCCUUCGUUUUCUUGUGGAUGUAAAAGACCUUCUGCCAUCCAUAAUAAAAUCAGCUUCUCUUUGUUGAAUUGGUGGUCCUGGGGAAAAAUAGAACAAUAAGCAAAACAAUGCUUCAGAGGUAGAGAAAGAUGAUGGUAGCUUAAUCUCAAAGAUGGAAGAAUUUCGGAGCCACUCUGCCGCCAUAUGUCACUGUUCAACACAACGUUCCAUUCCCCUUUGUCGGCCUCCGAAUACAAGAGACGGCCGAGUACUUUCACAGCCAAAGGCAAUCCUUGGCACUUGUCCACAAUCUGUCUGCCUAUGGGUUUAAGCUCAAGGAAUGCGUUGGGGUCUCUAUCUCCAAAUGCAUGCUUUUUAAACAGGGACCAACUAUCUUCAGAGCUUAAUUUCCCAAGAUCAUGAGUAGGGGCCGCUUUCAUGGCUUCUGCAACAGAUUUAUCACGACUGGUCACAACAAUCUUGCUUCCCUCUGCUGCAGCGAGGAGUGGAGUUCGUAGACGUUCCCAACCUUCACGAUCACUAAGCUCCAUGUAACCUUCAUCACGAGGCUUCAAAUUCCAGACGUCAUCAAGAACAAGCAGAAAUUUCUUGUUACUAAGUUGCUCUUUGAGUUGAAGCUGAAGCUUAUUUAGGCUGUCAAAAUCAUCAGUUUUAGAACCGAUUUCGUAUAGAAUUGUUUUAGUGACCUUGAUAAGGAGAAACUCAGUGGAAACACAGACCCAUACUUGCAAGUCGAAGUGUUUCUUCACUUCCUCAUCGUUAUAGAGGUGCCGAGCAAGCGUGGUCUUGCCGCUGCCGCCCAUGCCCACUAUGGACAUCACCCCCAUUUUGCCGCCUGUUGUAUUGUCAGAAAGCAACCACUUCACCAUCUCCUUCUGAAUUUCAUCCCUGCCGAGAACAAUGGAGUCAUCCUCCAAAGAAGUGGACGUUGGUAAUCUUGGUGUUGGUGACCGUGAUCCUGCUAGCCCCAACCGAACAAUUUCUCCUCCGAUUUUUUCCAGUAGAUCAAUCAUGCCCCUGACCCUGGACUCCAUGCUUUUGAUAGCAAAUGGGGCCUUCACAGAAGCAGAGAACUUGUUCCAUUUCCACGCCUUAAGAGUUCCGCCGGUUUGGGAGUCAGCAGCUUCCAUCUUGCAACGCAAAGCGUCGGUAGCGAUCUCGUCCAACAGGUCUUCCGCAUCAUACACAGCAUCCUUGACAUGGACGAGCCACUCUUUGACAUUUGGGUUGGAAAAUUGCUUCACCUCCGCAUCAUCGAGCACAUUGAGAACAACCACGAGUUUCCUCUUCAACUCGUUGAGGAGUUCAUCGCUAAGGUUCCGUCGCCGAAUGAAGUUUAUGAGCUCUGGAGAAGCCAACCUUUGGAAUAGAACUUGAAGCGAAGCUGAGAGGAGGGCGUCCGCCAUAUCUGUGUCGACUGUUGCUUUGCAAUAGGAAUUCAGAGGAUUGGUUUCUGUUACCGCGAUACCACCAAAGUGCAAAAGACUGGGUUUGGAUUACCACACUGCAGAAUGCUUGAAGGAAUCAUUAUUGGUGGUGGACCCAGCUGCCAGAUAUUUGUCAAACACCAUAAUUGAGUGGUGAGAAAAAGAACAGGAAAAGCAAGUGGGAGAUGGAUGGUGCUUUCCCAACGGAAAGCAAAAGCAACAACAACAUUCGGUAUUUUUCUUUUUCAUCUACGCAUUUCUUCUUUCUUCUUUCUUCUUGUAGUAUUAUUAUUAGUAGACGUAUACACACAAAUAUUUGUUUAUAACAUUAUCAUUCCUAAUAUUAUAAAAUUUAUUAUUAAUAGAAUUUAUUAUAAAAUUUGUUAUUAAUAAUAUUUAUACUAAUAUUAUUUUUUAAUAAUUAAUUAGUAUCCUUACUUUUAUUGUUUAUAAUAAUAAUAAUAAUAAUAAUAAUUAUUAAAAUUUAUUAGUAUUUUCAAGUAAACAAUGGUAUAUGCAUAAGACAUAUUAAAAUUUUGAAUAUUAUGGUUAUUAUUAUUUGAUUCAAAAAAAGUUUAUAAUAUAAUAAUAACAAAAAUAUUUUUUUUAAUAAAAUAAAUUAUAAAAAUAUAAGAAUUUUAUUAUUUAUAAAAUAUAUUUAUUUUAAUAUAAUUAAAAUAAUUAAAAUAAUUUUAAAAUUUAAAAAAAAAGUUAAACGUGACAGGAUUAGGAUGGGACCGACCUAUCCCAAUGCUGCCCAUUGCCAUCCCUAACUCACCUAGUGGUAAUUAAGGCCAUUUUUUAUUAUUAUUUUUUUAAAAUGGUCUUUUAUUCUUAAAAAAAGAAAAAGGAAAAUAUAUUUAAUAAUUAGAAAAUAAAACAUAAUUUUUGUUUUUAAAAAUAAAAAAUAAGGCAUUUUUAGAUGAUACCCUUUUAGUUACUUUUACUUGUUUUAAAAAAAUUAUUGUAAAAGUAAUUAUAUAAAUGUAAAAAAUAAAAUAAUCUAGGUAAAAAUUAUUUUUAAAAUAUAAAAAAUUAGUUAAGAAUACUCUAUCUUCUCAAGCUCGUUUUAUAAAAUAUCAUAAAAUAAUUUUCAAAAACUUGUUUUUUCAUUAUUUUGACAACCGGAAUAAUACACAAUAAAAAUAAAUAAAUAAAAAUAAAAAGAUCCAAAGAAAGACAAAUGUGUUGCAGUAAUGCACUUAAAUUCACUGAACCUAAAAGCCAAAUGUGCAGUGUUGACUUUUCAACCGAGAGUUCACACAUGCCCAUUUUUUUUAAUUAAAGCACUAUUAAUAUAAAAUAUAUAUUUAAAUAAAAAUUAGACUUUUAAAAAAAUUAAAAUAUAUUUUUAAAAUGUUAAAAAAAUAUUUACAAUAUUUCCUUAAAAAAAAACAUCUUCCAAAAACAUUUCUUUAAAAAAUACUUCCACCUAUAAUAAUUCAGACACACUUGUGAUUUAAUAGUUAAAUAUUCUUUCUAAUAGGAAUUCAACUAUCGGUUUGUAUUACCACGAUACCACCAAAAUACGAAAGACUAAUUUUGGAUUACCAAAAUGCAAAAGAGCUGAAGGAAUCAUUGAUGGUGGAUGAUUCAGAUGUCCACAUUAUUUGUCAGACACCAUAAUUGAGUGAUGAGGAAAUGAAAGAAAAGCAAAUAAAAAACAAAAAAGGUGAUGCCAAACAUGGUCUUAUAAGGUGGGUGGAGCGAAAGCAACAAAGGAAACUAGCAGGAUUUUUCAUUGCUAUUACAUACCUCAAAGGACAAAUUUUGAAUUACCAAAAUACAAAAGACUUAAAGGAAUCAUUGAUGGUGGUGACCAGAUGUCCACAUUAUUUGCCAAACACCAUAAUUGAGUGAUGAGAAAACAAAAGAAAAAGCAAAAAAGGUGAUGCCAAACAUGGUCUUGUAAGGUGGGUGGAGCAAAAGCAACAAAACAAACUAGUAGGAUUUUUCAUUGCUAUUCCAUAUCUCAAAGGACUAAUUUUGAAUUACCAAAAUAUAGAAGACAUGAAGGAAUCAUUGAUGGUGGUGGACCAAGAUGUUCACAUUAUUUGCCAAACACCAUAAUUGAGUGAUGAGAAAAUGAAAAAAAAAAAAUGAAAAACAAAAAAGGUGAUGCCAAACAUGGUCAUGUAAGGUGGCUGGAGUGAAAGCAACAAAGUAAACUAGCAAGACUUUUCGUUGGUAUUCCAUACCUUAAAGGAUUGAUUUUGAAUUAUCAAAAUACAAAAUACUUGAAGGAAUCAUUGAUGGUGGUGGACCCCGAUGUCCACAUUAUUUGCCAAACACCAUAAUUGAGUGAUGAGAAAAUGAAAAAAAAAAGUUAAGAAAAAACAAAAAAGUGAUGCCAAACAUGGUGUUAUGAGGUGGGUGGAGCGAAAACAACAAAACAAACUAGUAGGAUUUUUUGUUGUUAUUCCAUACUGAGAAAAUAAAGGGCUACUCUAGGUGAAUAGAAGUUAAAAAAUGUCUUUUUAAACACAAUAAAAUGAAGCACAAGAAGUACAAAUAUAAAGAGGUAAGGUUAUAGAAAGUAAACUCAAAUUUAUAGUGGUUCGACACUUCCGUGCUUACAUCCACUCUCCUCAAGCUCCUACCUGAGUGAGGGUUCCACUUAUACUUGAAGUUUCAACCAAGCUUCUAAUCACUUUUUACACUUGGAUUCCAGCUCCAAUGGAUUCUUAUACAAUCUCUUCAAGUCUUUACUCACUUGAAUGUUUUAACACUCAAUUAACAAGUUUGAAUCUCUCAACCUAGCUCAACAAUGACUCAAAUACAACUCAAGGCUAGGAUGAAUCACUAAGGUGCACUAAAGAAUAUGCAAAUGGAAGUUUAAUGCACUAAGAAAAUAAUGAGAGCUUUUAUGACAAUAAUAAGUAGGUAAACAAAUAAAUGCAAGUGUUCUCUUGCUCAUAAAUGAGGUAGAGCUCUCAAUUUAUAAGUUUCUAACCUCAGGAGCUAAAAAUCCAAAAAGCAAUCUCGACUAGUCGAGCUGGGGGUUGACUGGUUCACUAGCCGUUGAAACAUUAAAUGCUUGGCAGGUGACCGUUACCCUCGACCAAACCUUAACCGGGAAGGCAAAUCCAUAAACCAGGAAAGAAAGGCUACUGGAAGAGAGAUAAUGUUUUUUGCAUCUCUUGACUUAGAAGGAGUAAUCGGUAGACCGGUACCUAGCCGAUUGAGCCGGUUGACCAGUGCCUCGACUAGUUCACCAUUUUUAGUUCGAAAACCUAUCUUUUUCUGGUCUUUUUGCUUCUAGCACUUAGGCAAGGACUUUAGAUAAAAUAAUAUGCCAAUUUUGAAUGUUUUGCCUAAGGUUCAUUUGAUAGAACUCAGAUUUGGAUGGAAAUGUAACUUUAAUGCAUAAACCGAGUUUUAAAGAUGUAUGAAAUGAUAUGAAUAUCCUAAGUACACCCAUGCAUUCGUCUUACGUAUGUUUCUUAUGAUUAAAAGGUCUUUCAAAAGUCUUAAUCUUGCAUUCAUUAGGUCCUUUAAUGAAUUUCCAAAUUAACACCUGAAAUUCUUUAUAAUUCAAAUCAAUUAGUAACUUAACCAUGAUUUGUUAUCAUCAAAACAUGAUUAGAAGAAUCAUUGGGCUAACACAUACCCAAAGGACUAAUUUUGAAUUACCAAAAUAUAGAAGACUUGAAGGAAUCAUUAAUGGUGGUGGACCAAGAUGUCUACAUUAUUUGCCAGACACCAUAUUUGAGUGAUGUGAAAACGAAAGAAAAGCAAAGGAAAAACAAAAAAAGGUGAUGACAAACAUGGUCUUGUGAGGUGGGUGGAGCGAAAGCAACAAAGCAAACUAGCAGGAUUUUUUGUUGCUAUUCCAUACCUCAAAGGAUUGAUUUUGAAUUACCAAAAUACAGAAGACCUGAAGGAAUCAUUAACGGUGGAUGACCCAGAUGUCCACAUUAUUUUUCAAACACCAUAAUCAAGUGAUGAGAAAAUGAAAGAAAAGCAAAGGAAAGGAAAAAAAACGUGAUGCCAAACAUGGUCUUGUAAGGUGGAUGGAGUGAAAGCAACAAAGCAAACUAACAAGAUUUUUUGUUGCUAUUUCAUACCUCAAAUGACUGAUUUUGAAUUACCAAAAUACAGAAGACUUGAAGGAAUCAUUGAUGGUGGACAACCCAGAUGUCCACAUUAUUUGCCAGACACCAUAAUUGAGUGAUGAGAAAACGAAAGAAAAGCAAAAAAGGUGAUGUCAAACAUUGUCUUGUAAGGUGGAUGGAGCGAAAGCAACAAAGAAAACUAGUAGGAUUUUUCGUUGCUAUUCCAUACCUCUAAAUCACCAUAAUAAUAAUAACAAUAACACCAAAUUUUAAGGUUAUUUUUUGUUAUAAAAAAAUACUAGGAAAAGAAAAAAAAUAAUUAAGGAAAAUAAUUUUUUCAUAUUUGGUUUCACUAUAGAAAAUAUAUAUAUAAAAAAUCAAAUAUAAUUAAAAUUAAUUUGAAAUUUAUAUAUUUUAAAAGUAUUUAAUCUUUUUAUAAUUUAGAAAAAAUAAGUAAAACGAGUUUGAAGAAAUGUAUAAAAAUAAUUUAUUAAAUUUAAACUUAUUUCUUAUUUUCCUUCAUUUUUUCUUUUCUUCUACUUUUUCUUUCUAUUUUCUUUCCUUCUCAUUUUCCCUCAAAUUUUCCAAGAACCAAACAUAGCUUAAAGGUUUAGAAUCUUAUGCACAAGACUUUCAAUUUUUUUUACAAUAUUAUUUUAUUAGUUAAGAAUUAAAAUUUAAUGUACCAUAUCUAACACUAACAAAAAAAAUUAUAACAACCAGUCUUAUCUUUUAAGAAUGUAUUGUUUAAAUGAGAUUAAAAAUUAAAAAUAAAUUUUAAUUCAUUUAACAACUAAAUUAAAAUGAAAUUUAUAUAUAUCAUAAAUUUAUACAAUUUUGAAUCAUUUUAUAUGGAGGAUUGAGAAUGGAGAGAUUGAAGAAUUGUUUGGUGACGAGGAGAUUGAUUGAAGAUUUUAUAGUCUUAAGGUUCUAUGGGAUGAAAUUUUUUGUAAAGAGUUUAAAUUUUUGUAAAAAAUAAAAUUAGUUUUAUGUUAUCUGAUUUCAUGGAAAUAUAAAGUUUUAAUUCAAAGAUUAUGUUUUAAAAAUAUUAUUUUUAAAAUAUAUUUAGCAAAGAUUUAUAAAAAUUUAAAAUUAAAAUUAAUUAAUCUAUCAACUAAAUUAAAAUAAGAUUUAUAUAUAUUUUUAUAGAUUUACAUGUGUAAAAUCUUUGAAAUGCCUCAACUUAAAAUAACCUUACAAAAUUUCAUUAAUCUACUAGAAUUUGCAUUAGGAUGAAUACCAUCAUAAUAAUAAUUACGCUCCACAUAUGACGUAUCUUAACAUCCACUUGGAGGUUAAAAAAUAAUUAAAGUAAGGGAAACUAAUAUAUUUAAAAUUUAAAAAUCAUGAUGAAGAUUUGGACAAUAAUUCAAGUAGGCAUCUUUGAAAUUUGACUUCCAAAUCCAUUUGUCAAUAUACACCACCCUAUGACAAUUAAAUAAAUUAAAAGAAGGAAAAAAAAAUGUUAAAGGAAUGACAUAAGAAUUAUUUAUGUAUGACUAGAUUUAAAGUUUAAUUAUCUGAGGAAUCCUUUAUUAUGAAAAUAUAGGGAACAAUUAUAUUUAAGGAGUAGACGGGGUUGAUAAUGACUAAAGGGUACAAAUUUUGCAUAAUUGAUCUAAAAAGGUAGAGAAGGUUUGUAGAUUGUUGUGGAGGAUAUAAACCCAUUUUGUGAGUCGAAAAUGCUCAAAAUACCCUUAAGAGUGUUUUUUUAAAAAGGACAAUUAAGUACUCAUGAUAAUUAAUAUAUUAAGAUUUCAAGAAAAAUUAAUAAUAAAUAAAAUCUUUUUCUAAAUCUAUUUAACAAUCAUAUAGUUUUUAUUUUAUUUUAUUUUUUCAAGUUGCAACUAUUAUCUUAAUUUAUUUUUCAUUUUAAGGUUCAAUUAUUAUUAUUCUUUAUUUUGAUUAAUUAAAUGAAACUGUACAAGACAUAUUUAUAUUAAUUAGCUAAAAAGGAUAGAUUUUUUAGCAAUACGAUUAAAAUAAAUAAAAACAAGGAAUUUGAUUUUCUUUAUAAAAUAGAUUGGGAAAAGUAUAUUUCGAUACAUUCGUAUGAAAAAAAAAAUCAUAAAAUAGGAACUCAAGUUUAUAAAAUACAAAUUUUAAGCAUCCAUCUAAAAAUAAUUAUCAUUUCAUGCAUUUUUUUGGUUAAAUAUAUUAUAUUUGACAAUUUAAGUAUUAUCUUUUAAUAAUGUAGGUAAUACCUUUGACCUGCAUACAACUUGAAUUAUUUUUAGAUAGUUUCUAUUGUAUAAUUAGUUCAUCAUUUGAUAUAAAUAUCAAAUAAUUAAAAAAUAUAUCUUUUUUUUUUAAGAAUUUUAAUUAUAUUUGACUUUCUUUUGUAUUUUCUAUUGUGUAAACCACAUAUAAGAAAAUCAUUUUCUUUAACAUUUUUUUUUCUUUCCUUAAUAAUUUUCGAGAACCAAACAUGGCUUGUAGGUUUGGAUUAUAGGGUAUAGAUGCCAUAAAUACUGGAAUGAGUUCGGGUUUUCCAUGCUAAAUGUCUUUAUUAUUAUUUGGUAGCGCUUUUCCAAAAUUGUUCCAUUCCCAAAACCACUUAAUUUGCUUAAAUAUUUUAACCUCACGAUAUCAUAACAUUAUAAUGGAAUAGAUUUUGUUGGUGUUCAAAUCAUGUCAACUCAAUUUCCAAACCAUUUGGAUUGUCAUUUGGUGAAAAAUAGAAAGAAAUUUUACUUGAUUGAAAAGCAUUUCAUUUUUAUUUGAAUAUGCUGCAAUGAAACAGUUACUAAACCAUGGGGUAGCAGAAGAAGUAAUCGAGAAAAUGAAGAAGGAUGUUUAAGAAUUCUUUAUGCUGCCAUUGGAGGAGAAGAAUGCUUACACAUAGCUACCAAAUAGCAUUGAAGGUUAUCACAAAGAAUGCUUAACAGUUUUCUUAAAUUUUGUCCAAAGUUUAUGAAUUUUUAUUUUUUAUAAUUUUUUUUUACUUAAAUUGAAACUUAUUAAUCAAGGUAAGAUUUCAGCCACAUCGAGAAACAAUUUACGUGAAAAGGGACUGAUAAAAUCUUGAGUUAACAGAUGUAAAAGACAUAAGGCCAAAGACUCUAGAACUCCAACCCACUGAAUCAAGAAUAGAAACACAAAUUUAUCUACCAACCUACACUAAUCUCAUAUCUACAAUGCAACACCAUCGUACUCUUAAGUGACUUGAAAGGAUGUGAAUAUUUCUCACAAGCUUCAUAAUGAAAUUCAAAUUAGCUCUGAGAGUUUUGGGUUAGGCACAAAGAGUAAUAAUGCAUAGCUUUUGUGUGUGAGUUUUUAAGUGAACUUAAGACUCAAUUUAAAGCAUGUAUUUUACUAAAAAUAAAAAAAUAAAUUUAAGAAACUUCAAGAAUUUUGGAAAGAUAAAUUUUAAAAAAAAUUCAAAGAGAGUCAGAAAAUGUUUCCUUUUUAAAUUCUCAAUUUAAUUUAUUUUCAAAUUUAUUAAGAGUUUAAGAAAUAUUUUCUUUUUAAAUUAUCAAUUUAAAACGCUCUUUUAAAUUAUUUUAUUAUUAAUUUUCAUGCAAGUCUACUCUAUACAUUUUACAUCAUUAUUCUCAAUUAACUCAACAAUAUUAGAGUGUAACAUCCCCAAUUGAUUUUGCACCAACCUUAAGUCUUCAAAGACAAUGAUUGAGGCAUUUCUUCUCCUAUUUUCUCCGAUGUAGAAAAAAAAACUUGAAUAAGGUUAAAGUUGGUCUAUAGCAAAAAGUCUUAAUUUGAGUUAGCCUUUUUUUUUUUUUUUUUCCAAAUGAUAUGCAGGUCCAUCUAGCCUUCAACUCAAAUUUUUUAUUCAAAAAUCACAUGUGGAUAUGUGAACAAGUAAAAGUUGAGUUUUACCUAACAUAUCAUUUUGAAAAUUAGGAAAUUUAAAAGGUAUUAGUUUGUUAAACUCACCACCCCUGUCUAUUCUACAAAACAAGAAGAUUAGCAAAGAAAAAGUAUUCAUAUUUGUACUACAAAAUAAAAAGAUUAGCAAAGAGAGAAAUUGUACGCAUGAGUGCAGAGUUUUGGGUUAAAACAACCCUUUUGAUGGGAAAAAUAUUAAAUUUAACCACUUUGUCAAACUAAUGUGUAAAAUGAUCCUUUUAUUAUCACAUAGGAGUCAUAUCACUAAUAUAUAUAUAUAUAUUUAAUUUAAGUUGAAGCCUCAAUUGCCAAUUAAGGCUUCAAUUAUCAAUUACGACUUUAUUUUUUAACCCGAAACCUUACUUGCCAAUUGAGGUUUCAACUAAAAAAAGAAACCUCAAUCGUCAACUAAGACUUAAUUUUUUAAUUGAAGCCUCAAUUAACAAUUGCGGUUUUAUUUUUAAACUGAAAUCUCAAUUGUCAAUUGAGGCUUUAUUUUUGUGAAAGGAUUAUGUGACACUCACGUUACUAGAAAAAAGCCAUACUGAAUAUAAGUUUCAAAAGUGGCUUAAAAGGUAUAAAUUUUAUGAUCAAAGAUGCCAUUUUGACCCAAAUCCCAUGGGUGCAUGAGACUCUAGUUAAUCAUAGAUUUCAUAGAUAAAAAUCAGAGUUAGGAUGAUUCAACCCCUAAGCGUCAAGAAUUCUUUAACAUAAUGUUAGAACAUUUUCCAAUUUAAAUUUGAGAGUUGACUUUAUUUGAAUAUGCUUUUGAUUUUUUUUUUUUUUUAAAUAAGCUUCAGUGUUUUUUUUAAAAAGAAAUAAAAAUAAAUAAAAAUAGGAGCUUCUAUAUAGAAAGUAAAAAUUUUAUCCAACAAAUAUAAGGCUCACCUUAUAUCCUUAUAAAAUAAAAAAUUUUAAAUUUUUUAAUACCUCAAAAUUUUUAAUCAAUAUUUAAAUAUCAUUAUAUUUUCAAUAUGAUCCUUUAAAAGUUAAAAUUACUUAUAUUUUUUAUUUUCAAAAAAAAAAAAAAGAAUGAAUUUUUAUGUUUUUUAAUUAUUAAGAUGGAUGAAAUAAUCCCAAAUUUGCAAAAAUAACUUCUUCCAUGUUUGAAUUUGAAAAAUAACUCAUUUCCAACAUAAAUACUCUUCAAUAUUUGGAUUAUUUUAAUAUAAAUUUUAGAAGAAAGUGUUAUUUUGACUGGAAAACAUGAAAGACAUUUUUGUUAAAAAUUGAUCUUUUUUUAAGGCUAAAAUAUAUAUAGGUUUAUAUUUACAAAUUUGAGACUAUUUCGUCCUCUUAAUCAAAUAACUUAAAAAAGAAAAGAGUUAAUUCCACAAGUGGGUUUAAAAUACUCACAAAAUUGCAAUAUAUAUAUAUAUAUAUAUAUAUAUAUAUAUAUAUAUAUAUGAAAUUACAAAUUUACCCUCGUGUGUUGAGCACAUGACACUUCCAUUCAUUAAAGCUAACAUUGUUAAAUAACAAAUGUACAUUGCAACUAUUUAAGAAGUAUGAAGGGCACAUUGCUUGAUUUUAGUACAUGGUGAGAAACUUGUUGAACAAGUUAUGUGUAAAGUUUUAUGGUUCAUGUAUGAUAGAAAAUACAGAUCUACUACAACACUGGAUUUGCAAUUUUGGUUAGUAUUUAAAGAAAAGACCAUAGGACAAAAAGAAUUAAACUUUUGGUGGAAAACAAUAAAGAAAGGACUACAUGGAAAAAGGGAAGAGAUCAUUAUAAAGGAAGAUUAUUGAAUAGAAAUAAUUCCAAGAACCUAAGGCAAGACAUAGAGUAUCACUACUACUAUCACAAAAAGGGGUAUAUCAUAAAAUUUAUGAAAUUUUGAAAAAGACCUAAAAAACGAAGAAAAAAAAAAAAACAAAUCAAAGAAGCCUACAAGUGUAACUAGUGUUCUUAAAGUUGCGAAAUGUAAAUCAAAAGUAGAUUUGUUAAUAGUUUUUAAAAUGCUUAAAUUAGGAAUUGUCUACUUGUACCAUACAAGCCCUUGUAGAGACUGGUUUGACAUGUAAAUUGUUUGUAAAAUCAUUUUAAUGGGCAAUAAUGCACCAAGUUGCUCCACGAGAAGGGGAGGGGUUUGUGAAACCAUCACUUGUCGUGGCAUACAUCGUCGGGUAAUCACGGAUGAGGGCAUCCACGGGAGGCCAAUGUCUACCCUCGCUCUACACCCCUCUAGUACAAGGCUCUAGGAGGGAGAGAGGCAACAAGUGUGUGACACCAAGGUAAAUAUGCUUGACCUUAUGGCUUUGGGAGCAACUUGCAUUUAAAGACUUGAUGAUUCACAAGAUUCUACAAUUCAUACCAAGUAUUGCAUUUUGCGACGUUCUUCAUCAAUGAGAGAGCCUAGAUAUCCAUUGUCAAGAAUUAUUUAUGUAUGAAAAUAAAGGCGCCUAACCGACAUGCCCAAGAUCAAGGCAACUGGAGUGUGUUGCUUCGCCCAAGUUACUUAGCGCGUUUUGUGCCAAAGUUUGUUGUUCGCUCAAGAGGGCUUUUGUGAAUCUUUGUAAUAAAGGGAUAAUACAGAGUGGGCCGUAAUUUAGCAUCUUACACGCUUAGUUUCUUCCAUUGGUGGCAUAUAUUAUUUUGUCUGUCAUUGGUGAUUAUUUAAUAAAACUAUGAGAGUAUUUCAUGAAAUAUAAAUAAGAGGUUUUUAGGAUAUUUAAUCGAUGGUAAACAAAAGUUGAAAACUAAGUAGGGAGGAAGAUAAAAUAUUUUAGAUUUGAUAGUGGACUUGAGCAUUAGAACAAGAAGUUCACAAAGUAUUGCGAGAAUUCUUAUAUAACUUAACAUCACAUGUAAAGAAAUUACAAAGCAAAAUGGAGUGGUUGAAAAGAUGAAUAGAACACCAUUGGAAUGACUAGGUGGCUAAGAUUAAUCAUUGGGUUACUUAAGAAUUUAAGGGCUAAAGCUAUCAACAUAACUUAUCAUGUAAUUACUUAGUUGUCAAGUUUUACAAUUAUUUUCAAUAUUCCAAAAGAAGUGUCAAGUAAAUCAAUUGACUUUUCAUCUAUUGAAAUAUUUGAUUGUUGCACUUAUCUUCAUAUAUAGGUGAAAAAAAAAUUCAAUCCAAAAUAAAAAAGGUAUAUAUUCCUUGGGUUUGAAAAAAGGAUUGAUUAAAGACUAUAGACUUUGGGAUCCAACAAUUAAAGAAAAAAAAGUGGUGAGUAGAGAUGUAUUCGAUGAAAAACAUAUGUUAAAGAAAGAUCAAGGACAAAUGAAAUUGUUAUUGAAAAAAAAUUCAACUACAUGACCAAUCAUCGAGAUGAAAUUUGAGAAAAAUGUCAUUAAAUAUGAAAUCCCUCCUAAUUGAUGUCCCUAUUAGAACUUUAUAUAGGCAUCUUUCUCUAUUGCUCUAAAGAAUCAUCGUAUUGGGUAAGGACAUCAAUUUUAAGAUUUUAAUUUUUUUUUCAUUAUUUAUUGGAAUAGGAGAUCUUUAAUUUUUUUUGGGGUGCAAUUAGGAAGGAUGAUAGUUAUCAAUGUCUUGGUGCUAUGUCAAAUGAGAAUCCAAUGCACAUGUUGACUAAAGUUGUUCUUAAGGAUAAGUUCAAGCAUUGGUUGAAUGUCAUUAAUUUUUCAUUUUGUAGAACAUGGAAGGUCAAUUUUAUCGAAGAGCCAGGUCAAUCAACUUCUAUUAGGACUUCUAUUGAUUCUUGACCAAUGCACAUGUUGACUAAAGUUGUUCUUAAGGAUAAGUUCAAGCAUUGGUUGAAUGUCAUUAAUUUUUCAUUUUGUAGAACAUGGAAGGUCAAUUUUAUCGAAGAGUCAGGUCAGUCAACUUCUAUUAGGACUUCUAUUGAUUCUUGAUUUGAUUAGAGGGACUCCUAGCAGUAAACUUGUAUGAAGGGGCCCUAUGGAGAUGCAAGAGAUGCAAGAGCUGCCAAUCAGAUCGACCAAUAAAUGAUAGGCCCAUGCAGAGAUGUCCCUGAAAUAGGGGAUUGGUUGAUUGGAAAGCUUAGGCAGUGUAUAAAGGAGAACAAUUUAGCAUAUUGGGAAAAACACAUAUGAAGAUGUUUACAAGUUUGGAAAAUUGAGUUAAAGAAUAGAUGGUCUAAAAAUGUUUCAAAUUUCAAUUUUAUGUUUUUCUAAGUUUGAUAUAUCCUAUUUGGAUAUUUAGGAAGUCUUCUCUUGUUAGAUAAGAUAGUCCUAUGAUGAGAUUUGUUAUGAAAAUAGGUUCUUCCUCGUGUGAAAUAUUCCUAUGAAAUUAAGAAGGAAUAUAGGAAGAGUUUUGAUUGAAAUUAUGAAUCUUUUUUUUAUGUAAUUAGAACUAAAAUAUGAGAGUUUUAUAAUUGUAAUUACACCUUUGAAUAUAAAUAAUUGAUAAUAGUGAAUUAGUUUACCUUCUCCCUCUAAAUGUAGGUAAAUGCUAAAUUAUGUUAAAUCUUGUAUUCUCAUAUGAUUUUUUUUUCAUUUAUUUUUCAUUUUCUUGCCCAUUUCUAACUUGCUACUACAUAAUAACAGGUGGUAUCAGGCUUUUUGUGUUUGCACAACAAAUGGUCUCAGUAUUUCCAGCACCACAAAAAUGAUAUUUUACUUAAUUGCUCCUCAGUGGAAAAGUUGGAAAGAAAAAUUAAAUCAUCGACUAUACCUUUUUUUUUUUUUUUUCAAAACUUUUCUCGUCUUUGUGCAAGAAAAUUAGUAUAUUUUCUCUUUAGUAUUUGUUUCUCUUUUAUAUAUAUUCAAAUGAAACCUUAAUCAUCUUUUAUAUGAAGUAUAAAAGAAUUAGAAAAUAUUCAAAUUUUAAAUGAUUUUUAUUAUACUUUGUCCACUUCCUAUUUCAUAUAUCAAAUUACAAUAGAAUUUAAAAUUCUUUUAUACGUUUUUCCCCCCUUUGCUACCACAUAAAUGCAAAGACAGUAUGUGAGUUAAAUACCUUAAAAGAAAAAGAAAUUAAAAUGUGAUAGAAAACAAAUGUAACCUCUUGAAAUUCAAGGAAACAAAACACUAAACUUUUUCAUGUAUUUUAUUCCAUUUAUAAAUGCAACAUGACAAAAAUAGACAAAAAUAUAAAUGGAAGCCCUUUGGGUCCUUCAUUUUAUAUUUUAUCAACUUCGACCAAUUCUAUUUCUAUAGCACAACCGAUACUAUAAAGUUCAAUGAGUAUAUAAUAUAUAAAGAUACUAAUCAAUACGAAUUAUUCUUUCUUUCAAAUGGCUACUUGUAUUAAAAAUUAAAUGUAAUUCCUCCUAAACAAUAAAAUAUGUUGACACGAUUUCAAUGAAUAUACAGUACAUAAAGAUAUGACCAAUUAGUACGAAUUAUUCUUUCUUUUAAAUAGCUACUUAUACUAAAAUAUAAGUAAAUAUAAUUCCUCCUAGAUAACAAAAUAUGUUGACACAAGGAGGAAUAUAUUUACUAAUUAUAUCAUUUGCAAUAGCCUCAAUCUCGCGACGUUCUUCGAACCAACCAUAGACUUUAUUGAGAUAGGUUAACCAAGGGAGCUUCCACUCUCAUAACUCGUAUAUGAAAAUUUCAUCUUGUACAACUCAAAUAGAAACCCAUAAAUACCAGUUGAAACCAAAAUGUAAUAAAUAAAUAAAAACAUAUUUCAAUGGAUCCAAUUAGUAUUUUUCCGAUCUAGGAUAAACAAACAAAUUUUUCUUCAUUUUGCUUUUUUUUUGUAUUAAUCUUUGUAAGUAAAUUAUAUUUUAAUUUAACAAAGCACUAAACUUUACUUUAAUUUUCAUGCAGGAUCAACUAGCUUAUCAUAAUAAAAUUUAUCAAUAUAGUUGAGCAGAGAUUUGAUGUAAUAAUACCAUACAAAAUUCAAGUAAAAUUAAAUUAAUCAAAUAGGACACUACGGUUAUAUUUGGAUACAUAUUCUAUUUUUUAUUUUUAAAAUUAAAAUUUUGAUAUAAAAUAUGACAACCCUUUGUAUAAAAAAUAAAAAUUUAUCCUAUAAUCUUAAAACUACUUUUCAAUAUUAAAAAAAAAAUGAGGAUGUGUCCUAAAAUUUUAAACAAAUUUAAAAAUAUUUUUAAAUACCAAGAUAUCCACUUUUUUCUUUUUUAAUAAAAAUUCCUAUAUUUGAUAUAAAACUCUAUUUUAAAAAAUGAAAAAUAAAAAAUGUAUCCAAACAUAAGCAAAAUUGUUAGAUUUCAUUGUGAGAUUUCUUAGAUUCUACAAUUCAUAGUGAAAUGAAGACGAGAUAUAACUGACUGAACUAUGAAAAAAAAAAAAUUAACAUUGAUGAGAUUCAAAAAUGCUAGUUAAUGAAAGAGUUUCUCCGCCAGGAUGACUAAGAAAAAUGCUGAAAAAUGUGUCAUGCCCAAAGCAAUGUUACAAUGAAGAAUAGAAUGAGAGCUAACCCGAAACAAAAUCCGACAAUCGCCAUGAAAGCCUGGAUGCAGAGGAAAUGUAACUAGAGACAUGUAAGGAAUCAUUAAACAAGUGAGAACAAUAUCAAAAUCUCAUGUACGACUUACCUUUCCCUGAGAUUCAAACUUGAAUUUUACUGUAAACCAUGACAAUCCUCUAUCUACAAUAGGAGCAAGUGCAAGGGCCCUGCAUGAGAAGCACCUCUACAAAAAUCACAGAAAACCCAAAGGAAAAAAAAAAAAAUAGGGUUGAAUAUGCUAUAGUUGAAUAACAGCCACAAUGCUGGGAAGGUCAAUAACAAAAGCAUUGACUUGAAUGUUAGCAGUGUCAUUUACACUGGCCAUAAGAACCAGAGGUAAUGCGUACAGUUGGUAAGUGGGGAGGAGGGGAUGAGAAAUUGCAAAGUCUUGAAUUUAAUUGUUUCAUGCAAUUCCGUUUUCCAAUACUCUAUAUGAUAAUAUACAUUGUACGGAACAAAAAUAGGGUUGUUUUAAAAUUUUGAACAAAUAAAAAUUUCAUAUCAAUAUCUAAUAUUUAAUAAAAAAGAAUGAAACAAGAGUAAGUACAUUCUCUUCUCCUUAACAUGGUAUUAAAGCAGUCUCCAAACUCUUAACUCCUAGUUGCAAACUUGAUUUCCACUGGAAGUUGCAGUUUGCUUAUUUUGUUAUUCAAGUAAGUUACUUCAAUCUAUCAUAGUUUAAAUGACUUGGGAUGGUAGUUGUCAUGGGCACGAAUUUUCCCACAAAUUUUUUGCAUCCACGCAGCGCUUAGAAGCCCUCUGAGCCAACAUACUCAAACCCACAUGAGAUUGCAAUCAAGAAAAAACUCACAAAGACACACAAGGCUAUGGAGCUCAAUCCCUAACUUGUAUUUUAUUUCUUCUCUAAAUAACAAUACAAGACAUAGCUCAACAAGACUUCCACAAUCUCUUUGGUGAGUUCAUGCUCUCUCUCAAGCUAUGUUUUAAGAAAGUUCUCCCUCUCAAUAUACCUCUGUAUAUUCUCUAUGAUCUCCAGAUUGCACGAUAAUUCAAAGGGCACUCCAGUCCUCCUUUUAUAGGUGUGACACCAACCACUCCCUAUUCGAUAAGGAGCAAUACAUCUUCCUUAAGCUUGUCCCAAUGCCAAGACAUCUUUGUUGUGUUCUGCCUGAAGUCUACCCACUCUUGUGCCUUGAGUCAGUUCAUUCAUGCAUUUGAAUCAGCUGAUGCAUCCGAUCAGCUUGCUAUAGAGUCUCUAGGCAGCCUACUACAUGUGUCUCUAUGCAACUAGUGUGCAUGCCAAGCCCUCUCUUAGCCUACAGAUCUAGCAAUUUUCCUUGGUGCCAAUCUUUUCUUUGGUUCUAGCUCCUUGUUGUUCCUUGAGCGUGUCAGUCAUGCUCAUAUGUGUUCCCGCAUCUGGAUCACGUCCAUGCCGAGGCAACCUGCCCAUGUUUGCUCUGCCUAGUUGUUGCUAUAGCAUCAUGCCAUGCCCAAGCCCUCUUCUUGGUGCAGCAACGAGUCAUGGCAUUGCACCCAUGACUCCUCAUCUCUACGCACAAGGCAUUGUGCCUUUGUGCUAAGCAUUAGGCAUCACAUCUGAGUCGGCUUCCCUUAUCUCUAUGCACAAGCCUCAAGGCAUUGUGCCCUUGUGCCAAGCCACCUUAUUGCACAAGGCAUUUCCCCCUCAUGCUACCGUUGGGAAGGGAAGACUGCAUAGCACCCCAAGUCGUUGCAACCAUGAGUUGCACACCAUCACAUGUCAUGGAGCCCAUGUAUGGCUGCUAGCAAGGCGUUGCCCAUGUGCCUUGCUCAUGUCUGAGGACUUGCACUGAAGCCCCUAAGUGUGGCCAUGCCCAUGCCACCUCGUCUCCCUUGAGUCACCCCCACCCUCGCCCCCCUUAAAAGAGCAUUUUAAGCCCUUUUAAUUAAUUCAGGAAAAUCUAGAAAAUUCCCUUCCACUUGGAGUCUCCCUUUUGAAGGUUCCUAUAAAUCUUUUAUCUCUAAGCAAAUUAACCAAGUCACUUAAUUGUUUUGCAACAUUCCUUCCCUUCCCAUAGUGUAUUUCAAGAUCUCUUAAUGAACAAGACAAUUGGUGGAGGGCAUGAAGUAAAUGGAAUUUAUCACCAUAUCGGCCCACCUCUUACUCCAAUUGCUCUACAUACUUCCAUUUCUUCUAUGUAGUGGCACACCUUUCACUUCGCAUCUUUAGCAUAUGGGACUUCUAGUUAUAUUGGACUCCAAGUUAAAGCACCAAGUUUGCGAGUCAAGAAAAUAGCUUCAUCAUAGUGUUGUUCUAGUCCUUUUUGUGCUAUAAUCAAUAAGAGGAGUACUAGUCCUUUUCAUCUUGUUCAUUUAGACAUUUACAGUUUAUGUUGUGUUGUUCCUAAUGUUGAACUAAACUUUCUUAUUGCUAUUUUAUUAAUUAGAUCAAUGAAAAUGGUAUGAGCAUAAAGAGGCUGAAUAAUAGGUACUAAUCUCUUAAAAAAAAAAUUUUAAAAAUAAUCUUAUAGAAACAUCAUCAGGUGACUAUGCACAAGUAAAUGGUCUGACAAGGCGUGAGAAAAACAUUCAUUUUUGUGCAAGAACCAAGUAUUUGCAUCUUAAUCAACCAAAGAAUAAAUGGCUGAAGACAAUAAAUGACUGAACAAAAAGAAAAUCAUAAGUUUUAGGCCAGACACUUUUUUCAUCAAUUAUAUACAACAACAAUAAAUCAAAUAGUCCUAAAUUUCAAGAGAAUAAUGCUCAGCAGCUAUGCAUACUCACAAGUCACAAAUACCUCAUCCUUAACUAAUUUACAUGAAUGAAUUAUUUACUUACCAUACCAAGAGAAACGUUGUAAGAUAGUAUGCAGUAUUCAGGAGUCCAUAGGAUAAUAUUCCAGAAAUUCCAUAUCUCUUCAGUUUCUUUAGAAGACUGAAAGGUUAAGCAAGAGUGAGCUCUCAAUGUAAGUAGACAUGCAUUUAUGCAUACAAAGGGCAAAAGGAUUGAGGUAUCACUUCUUACAGAUUGUUUGCAUGAAAUUCAGUAGUAGAAGAGAAAUUAAUAUGAUUGGGACAAGAUCACUCAUCCAAACAAUAGUUUAUUUACUGAGAAAAGGUCUACAGCAUACUCAUGCAGUAGACAAAAUGAAUCUUUUGUGUCAUGUUCCAAUAAUGUUAACAAACUACAUUAAAUUCAUAAGGUUACAUAGAAAAAGAAAGAAAAGACAUUGUUGCAAUAGUUUGUCUGUUACACUGCUAGCACCCAGACUACGACCAAAUCCUUGCAUUCAAAUUGAAUUUCAAACUCCCAAUGUGAAAAAGGAAGAUACAAAAAAGAAAAGAAAAAAAAGAAGAAAAAAAAAAGUGGGAAAGAAAAGAGACAUGGGAUUUCUAUGUAUAAUAAAUACAUAUUAUAUGUAUAGAUAAAUGCAUGUAUGUGCAUAUGUGAUAGAGGCUGGUCAGACACAUUUCAAGAAGUUUCACAACUUGCUUUGGAAUGACAAACACCUGGAUCAAUAAAUGGCUUGUCUCCAUUAUUGAGAAAUUGCAGAUAAAUUUCAUCCACUACGGGCAUGGGGUGGCUGGACAAAGUUAUGCCAUUUGGUGGGAUGUAGUGGACUUAAGACAGAAAAUUCUCAAUCAUUCUUCUGUCCCUUGUGCAGUGUUGAAGCUGACAAUAUUAUUGAGCAUACAAGGAAUGUGAUGUAAAACAUCAUUGAGGAGCCAUGAGCUGCGAAUGCAUGGAGAAAUUAAGUUAUGAUUAAGUUUUGGUGAGGGAUUUUCAGAUGCAGAUCAUAUGGCAAAUUAUCAACUUCAGAGAAUUGCACGUUUUUAUUCAUUUCCAUACACAUUGAAUAAUCAUAUUUAAAAUCUCUCAUUCACUUGUUUCGCUUCCAUUAGUGCUCCUUCCACAUGCCUAUUAGCAGCACAGACCUCAUGAUAGUUUGGUAAAGGUAAGACAAUAAAAUUGAAAAAUACAGCUAAAGCCUAAAAUAUUGGCUAAUAAAGAGAGAAACCAUCCAAGUUCUAUCUUAAAUGACUCUACAAGUUCUAAACAGGGAGACAAGGACUUCAACCUGGUCCAUCAAUGCAUAUAAAUGGGUAAACAUUCCAACAGCCAUUACGUUAGAAGUACACUAAAAGAAAAUUAUUAAACAAUGUUGUUUCCAAAAAAAUUCCAUGUUAAAGAAUAGAAGAACAUACUGCUAUAAAUGAAAUUCAUUCAAAAUCAGUUCAAACAGUAAAGUUAAGAAUUGUGACUGCAAUUUUUUUCUAAGAAAGAAACAACAAUUGUGACUGCAUAUCACCCACACUUGUUUUAUUUACAAUCCACACAAUGUAUUCUUCCCUAGCAUGUUAUCCCAUUAAGUAGCCUCCAGAUAAAAUUCCCUUUCCAACUCUGUCAAUCAGUCAAAAAAUUUCAUGUAAAAUGUAAAAUACAUGGGUACACAAAAACAACUAUAUAAACUGCCAUCCCAUCAUUAAUAAAUCAGUUGUCUAUAACAUAGACUAAUAGCAUUGUAAGGCAAGUAGGAAGUACUCUUUUGAUGUGUGCAGUUCUCCUUCACCAUUUUCGCCCUUUGCACUUGAGUCUAUAAAAAUAUGUAUAAGUAGAUUUUUAGAAAUAUCAAGUUUAUCAAAUGUAAAAUAUGGUAUCACAAAAAGCUACACCAUUUUUCCAGUUAUCAUUUGAAAGAUAUUGAUACCUUCAUGGUUGGCAGAGUAGUCAUGACCAUUUGACAUGCCAGAAGCCUAACCUACAACAAAGGCAAUGUUGAAAAAGCAAUAUUCAAAAUUCAAUGAAAAAAAUAGAAGACAAACAAAUGAACAAAUAGCAUAUCAUCACACUCAAUUGUUUUCCACAUAUGAUAAACUAAAUGAAAGAAACAAGGAAUAUAUUGAGAAAAAACCCUAUGAUCAAUGGAUAUGCAGUCGCAUUCCAGCACAGAUAUAGGAUCAAACAAGUAACUAAUCUAGACAUAGCUGCAGCAAAUUUGUGUAUCUCUGAAUGUGUGUCUGCUUUUUGUGGGGGUAUUUAUUAUGACAUGUUCUUGGUGCAGACAAACCAUCUGCAUUUACUUGAGGAUUAGGUAAAAAACAUACUUUUCAUUUAAAAUGAGGCCUUGAACAUCAAGCCACGGUGAGUUUUCAAAUAAGGAAAACGUAAUAGCUUUACAAUGAGUCCCAUAGCAAGAAGGCAUAUAAUUCCAUUCAUCAGCAUACCAGAAUAUAGAAUAGUGUGGACAUGUGGACACAUGCCAGAAUUAGCAUUGGACACACUAACAUGCCAGUCAUACAUAGAAAGAAUUUCCAAAGAUAUUAAAGUAAAACACUGGUAGUAAGCAAAUUAUACCCAGAAAAACAUGCAAGUAUAGGCCAAGAUCAAAUCUUAAUUUUAAUUUCUAGAAAAAAAAAAAUUUAUAUCAACCAAUAGAAAUGGUAUCACCAGCAAUUAACACCAAAACACACCAACAUAUCGGAAUGCAUAACACGUGUACCCAUCUCCAAUCAGCACUACACCUAUACAAGUUAGCCUGUAGCAGGUCAUAAUAGGUUCAGACUAUAAAACCUUCCAAAUCUUCCUUUGCAAGGCUUAGAAACCAUUUUCUAAGUAAUUUACAAUUUUAAAAGCCUGUGACAAGAUUUUGGAUGAAGAGCUUGAAUUAUAUACUCACAAACCCACUCCAAAAUUUCCUUAAGGUAAUACACAUUUUUUGAAGUCCUUUCCAAUGUCUUCUCUUAUUUGAGUUAGAAAAGCCAAUUUUUUUAUGAAUUGAUUACUACGUCUAUUGAGGUUUGAGGUGUAUAACUAAUUUCUUAAUAUAUCAUAAUUUACAUCAGUUAUUAGAAAUUAAGGUUCAAUCCUUUUACACUAAGAAAAUCCUGAGCAAUUAAAAAAUACCUUCUUUAAUAUUAUUAAAUUUAAGUUUCCUUCAGGUCUUUGAGUCAAAUAGAAAUUAGUGUAAAAGGAAUUUUAAUUUUCUUACACUAAGAAAAUUAAAAAAUAGGCAAAAUAAUUUUCAAAUUUUGGAACUUUAUAGGUAAUGCUUAUUAAAAUAAAGCAACAAAGUUUGUCAUUUGCCAUUGAAUGAACCAAUUGUAGAAAACUAUGCAAAAAAUUUUAUUAGUAUGGAUUUUUUUUUUCUACCGAUAAAUAGAAUUCAAUUUCAAACCUGCCCCUCCCAACCCACCACUUGCUGCUUGAGGCAAGCUUAGAGGCAGAAAACUAUUUACAAUUCUACGUAUGGAUAAAAAUUAUUCUUAGAUUUUAUGCCAAAUUCCAUAUUUAUAGGUAUCAAUUUAUUAUUCUACUGUUGUCAAAAGCUUCAAUUUUAGGCGUCCUCAUGGUUAUGCCACCCUUAAAUGAGAACAACUUUGGUCUUCUGUUUUUCUUUUUGAGCUCUUCAAAUUUUUGCAAGGUAUUUUUAUAAUCUUAUUAAGCUCAAUGGGAGAGAGAGAGAGAGAGAGGGCGAGAGAGAGAGAGAGGGCGUGAGGGAGUGUGAGAGCGCGUGCGACGGCGACGACGAUGAGUCCGGCGAGGCGAGUCGAAAGCGAAGCUUCACGGUGGAAUCCAAGACUUUCGAGCUUGCCUUGGAUGAUAGGAAAGGGAAACGCCAGAUUCGCAUUGUGGAGAAGAAGCGGGGGGUCUCGACAUGGGUUCGAUUAGGGCUGGAAAGCUUAGGGCUCUUCAAGGAGGGACUAAUCCAUUGUAUACGAGACGAAAAAGAAGGGAGAUGGGAAAAGGAGUGGAAAGAAAGAGGCAAGCUGUAUACAUUGGCUCGGGGUUUCAACAGAGCGGGUGGUUUUUUAAGGUUGGGGGUUGUGGAUCUGGAACGAAAAAGGUUUUGUAUCUUCUUACCGAGAGGUAGGAGGAACAAAAGAGGAUGGACGACUAUGGCGGAGAUGGUACAUCAAAUGGAAGAACUGGCUAGUGGAAGAACAAACUUGCAGGAGGUAAGGACCGUCGGAAAAGCUACUCCGGCGAAAUCAUACGCAGAAGCAGUCAUGAGAACAAAUUGGAAUGGCUUAAACGCAAUCAAGAUGAAGGUCACUAGGGAGGAGAUUGCUGGAAAUUUACAGAAGCUGGAGCACUGCCUCGUCGCGAGCUGGAAGUCCAACGAAAAGGAAGAAGAAGACUUGGAGAGAUUGGGAAGUCAUUGGGCGAAUUCUUGGGGUCUUAAAGGCAAGCUAGGGCUGGCCAAGUUGGAACAAGGUAGGGCACUGUUGGAGUUUGAAGAUCUAAGAGAGGCACACCGUGUGGUCUCCUCGGGGAGCAGAGUGAUGGGAGGAGCUCACUUAGGGUUGGAUCUAUGGAAUCCAAAGACGGGAUGUCGGGUAGAGGAGGAGAUGGAACAGGAAGCUUGGGUUAAAAUCUUCGGCCUUCCAAUUUCGCUAUGGAGCCCGGGGAUUCUGAAGAAAAUAGGGGAGGAAUGUGGGGGCUUUGUAGAUAUUGACGAGCGGACAAGGUCGAUGGGGGAGAUUCAAUGGGCUAGGAUACUGGUCAAAAUAAGAGGUGAUUUUAGACCAAGUAUGUUAGAAAUUGAGGUAGAGGAGGAGGUAUACACUGUGACACUGUGGUGGGAGAUUAGGCCGGUGGUGAGACGGAUCUUCUCUGCGACGGAAAACAGGAGGAGAAAGGAGGUCAGGGGUGACUCGUAUUCACGCGCGGAGAAGCGCGUGGGGAAGGAGCUGGUAGACGCGGGAAUCGAGGAACUGCACCUGCCAGAUGUUGGGAGUGAUCUGCAGGAGAAUAGGCCGGGUCUAGUGCCCGGGAACCAGAUCCAUGGCCCGGUGACCCGGGAUUGGGCCUAUCCAGAUGGAAGAGUGGCUGGGUCAACCGCAUGUGGCCCAAAUAUGGAUCUUAAUGAGUUGGAGAAGGAUGGUGGGCAGACUAAAAUAGACGGGCCUUUGGGCCGAAAGUUAAAAAAUAAGUCAAAGGUGGCUAGUGAUUCAGAGGCAGGCCCAUCGUCUAGUAGUUGGGCUGCUGAACUGGGCUGCCAUCCUUUAGUUGAGGUGGAAGGCCUGGAAAGGGAGGGCCCAACUGUUCCCCUAGAGAAGGCUGGUUUUUUGGGCCGUUUUAGCUCCAGAAAAGGACCCAUUUCAGAGGAUCCUUUGACGAGCUGGGUGCCAGAGGAGUUUAGAAGGGAACAGAGGGAUGAUGGCUUUUCAAUGACUGAUCGAGCGCUGUAAGAGGAAGCUAAAAGGUAUGUCCUGAUUUCCCAUCCUAAAGGAAAAUGGGUUAUGGGGACACCUCUUCUUCUCUCUUCUAAUUCUGAUCGGGCUCCGGAGGGGGAGUCUUUUGAUCGCCCAGGGGGAAUUGAGGAGGAAUUAAGGGGGGACAUGUCAACAUGGUUAACAGUCUAUGAGGGGAACGUUGAGAAUGAAAAUGGAUCUUGGAAGCUGGGAGAGGACAACAAAAGCAGAGACAAGGUUAAGGGCAAGGAGGAGAACACUGGGGUCUCUGGUUCUCAAGAUACCGAAAAUGAGAAAGAGGAUCUAUGAGAGGACUGUAGUCUUGCAAAAUUUAGCCAAUUCUUGGGAUUCUCUAUGAAGGGGCUGGAAAAGGAGAUAUUGAAUUUUCUGAUUAAAAUCAAAAAGAGGCGGGAAAAGAUUCACAGCAAAGAACUUUUGGAGAAGUCCAAGUUUGAAAGGGAACUAAAGAGGCUGGAAUGCUCUAUCAAUUACGAGGGGGGGAAUAAGCAGAAAGGUCCUUCACAGGGCAAAAGGAAUCAGUUGAUAGUUGCCCAAUGAAGCUGAAGAUUAUAACCUGGAAUGUGAGGGGAGCUAAUGACAGCUCUAAGAGGAAAAUUAUUAAGAGCUAUAUAAGGAACCAGAGGGUGGACCUAAUGUGUAUUCAGGAAACCAAGAUUCAGGAGAUGUCGGAGGGUAUUGUGAGAAGUCUGGGUUCGGGGAGAUUCUUAGAUUGGAGAGCCUUAAAUGUGGAGGGGGCUGCGGGUGGCAUUUUGAUAUGCUGGGACAAGCGGGUUCUGGAUAUUUUGGAUUGGGAGGAGGGUCAGUUCUCUUUGUCUUGUAGAUUCAAGACCACAGUAAAUGGGGCUACUUGGGUUUUUACGGGAGUGUAUGGUCCUUUUACCAAAGUGGAAAGGGAGGGUAUGUGGGAAGAACUUGGGGCAAUAAGAGGCCUUUGGGAUGAUCCCUGGUGUCUCGAUGGGGAUUUUAAUAUCACUCUGUUUCAACAAGAAAGGAGCAGCCAAAGAAGAAUCAGCUCAGCCAUGCGGAGAUUUGCAGAGACUGUGGAUGAUCUAGAGCUGGUGGACCUGCCCCUUCAGGGGGGAGAGUUCACAUGGAAUGGGGGGCUUAAUAAUCAGGCGUGGGUGAGACUAGACAGAUUUUUAGUUUCCCCUAGCUGGUUAGAUCAGUUUAGUGGAUUCACUCAGGGCAGGUUGUCUCGGCCAAUUUCUGAUCAUUUUCCAAUCGUGUUAGAGGGGGGUGGAAUAAGAGAGGCCCAACCCCGUUUAGAUUCGAAAAUAUGUGGCUUAACGUUGANGNUUUAAUGACAUUGUUAGAACCUGGUGGNNNNNNNNNNNNNNNNNNNNNNNNNNNNNNNNNNNNNNNNNNNNNNNNNNNNNNNNNNNNNNNNNNNNNNNNNNNNNNNNNNNNNNNNNNNNNNNNNNNNAGGAAGCUGAAUUAAAAAAGGAAGCUAAAGACUCCUUUAAGAAAUGGGUCCUGUUGGAGGAAGCCCAUUGGAGACAGCACUCAAGGGAGAUUUGGUUAAGGGAGGGGGAUAGAAACAUGGGGUUCUUCCAUAGAAUGGCAAGUGCUCAUCGAAGAAACAACGCUAUGGACAGAAUUAAGGUUAAUGGGGAGUGGCUAGUAGAGGAGCAGGAGGUGAGAGAAGGAGUUGAGAAUUCGUUUCAGCAGUUGCUUUCUGAAGAUAUGGGUUGGCAGGCGGAUAUUGGUAGAAUUCAGGUGGGUUGCAUCAUUCAGCAAGAAGCAGAGAGUCUGGAAAUCCCAUUUGCAGAGAUUGAGAUUCACUCGGCGCUGAUGGAGAUGAAUGGGGAUAAAGCCCUUGGCCCGGAUGGUUUUACUGUAGCCUUUUGGCAAAAUGCAUGGGAUUUUACCAAAGAGGAGAUCAUGGAGAUGUUUAAAGAAUUUCAUGAGCAUAAUUCCUUUAUUAGGAGCCUUAACAAUACUUUCUUGGUGUUGAUACCUAAGAAAAGCGGGGCUGAGGAUCUUGGAGACUUUAGACCUAUCAGCCUGUUGGGGGGGGGGCUCUAUAAACUUUUGGCUAAAAUCUUAGCUAAUAGGCUCAAAAAAGUGAUUGGUAAGGUGGUCUCUAUUGCUCAGAAUGCCUUUGUAAUGGGAAGACAAAUUCUGGAUGCGUCUUUAAUUGCUAAUGAGGUGAUAGAUUCGUGGCAGAAGAGAAAAGAAAAGGGUCUUAUUUGCAAAUUGGAUAUAGAAAAAGCUUAUAACAGCAUUAAUUGGAAUUUCUUAAUGAAGGUCCUUCAAAAAAUGGGCUUUGGGACCAAGUGGGUGGGAUGGAUGUGGAGUUGCGUGUCUUCUGCUAAAUUCUCUAUUCUUGUUAAUGGAGUGCCAGUUGGGUUUUUCCCUAGCACUAGAGGGCUUCGUCAAGGGGAUCCUCUAUCCCCUUACCUCUUUGUUAUGGGAAUGGAGGUUCUGGACAUCCUUAUCAGGAGAGCGGUGAAGGGGGGAUAUCUUUCAGGAUGCAACAUUCGGGGUGGUAGUAGAACUUCCUUGAAUAUCUCCCACCUAUUUUUUGCUGAUGACACAAUUGUGUUUUGUGAGGCGAGCAAAGAGCAAGUUUCUCACCUAAGCUGGAUUCUUUUUUGGUUUGAAGCGGCUUCGGGUCUUCGAAUUAAUCUAGCCAAAAGCGAAAUCAUUCCAGUUGGAGAAGUGGAGGAGAUUCUUGAGAUGGCAGUUGAGUUAGGGUGCAGGGUGGGGUCUCUGCCCUCUCAUUAUUUGGGUCUCCCCUUAGGGGUCCCCAAUAGGGCUACUUCUAUGUGGGAUGGAGUGGAAGAGAGGGUCAGAAGGAGACUUGCGCUUUGGAAAAGACAGUACAUUUCCAAAGGGGGGAGGAUCACUCUCAUAAAAAGCAUCUUGGCUAGCAUGUCAAUUUACCAAAUGUCUAUUUUCCGAAUGCCCAAGUCUGUUGCUAAAAGAGUGGAGAAAUCCCAAAGAGAUUUCCUAUGGGGGGGAGGAAACUUAGAGGGAAAAGUUCACUUAGUUAAAUGGGAUGCGGUCUGUACAGAAAAACACAAGGGAGGGCUAGGAUUAAGGAGAAUAGUCACUCUGAAUAGAGCCUUGCUGGGCAAGUGGAUUUGGAGGUUUGCUUGUGAAAAGGAUAACCUUUGGAAACAAGUGAUCACUAUGAAAUAUGGGCAAGAGGAUUAUGGUUGGAGGUCAAAGAAGGCUAGUGGGGCGGCCGGAGUAGGGGUCUGGAAGGAGAUUAUGAAAGAAUCUGUUUGGUGCUGGGAAAAUUUGGCUUUUAUAGUUGGGAAGGGUUCCAAAAUCAAAUUUUGGAAAGAUAGUUGGUGCACUGACACUCCGUUGUCCCAAUGCUUCAAUCAUCUCUUUGUCCUUGCCGUGCAUAGGGAUGCUACGAUUGAGGAGAUGUGGGAUCAGGACUCGGGCCAAGGAGAUUGGAAUUUUGUUUUUGUGAGGGACUUCAAUGAUUGGGAGUUGGAUAUGGUUGGGGAGCUGCUUCAUACUUUGAGGGGUCAUAGGCCCUCCCUGGAGGAUGAUUCAGUUAUGUGGAGGCAUGGAAGAAAUGGUCUAUUCAGGGUCAAAGAAGCUUACAAGCUGUUAGACAAGCCUAAUGUCACAGUAUUUCCCGCAAGGAGAAUAUGGGUGGAUAGGGUGCCAACUAAAGUCUGCUUUUUUGCUUGGGAGGCUACGUGGGGGAAGGUGCUCACUCUGGACAGACUCCAGAUAAGAGGGGUGCAACUCCCAAAUUGUUGCUUUUUGUGUGGUUGUGAAGAAGAGAAUGUAAAUCAUAUUCUUUUACACUGUAUAGUGACUAGAGCCCUAUGAGAUAUUAUUUUUGGGUUGAUAGAUGUUAAGUGGGUCCUCCCAGAAACUGUAAAUGAGACUUUAAUCUCUUGGAGGGGCUCAUUUGUAGGGAAGAAAAGGAAAAAGAUUUGGAAAUCCAUUCCGUUAUGUAUUUUUUGGACGGUUUGGAAGGAGAGGAAUAGGUUAGCCUUUAAGGGGGGUGCGUUGAAUAUUCAGAAAUUAAAGAAUUCUUUUGUCUGUAACUUGUGGAAUUGGGACAAAGUGUAUUUAGGUGAGGAGUCUUUCUCCCUUAUAGGUUUUUUGGAGUGGAUAGCUUCCACUUAAGGGGAGGUAGUUCUUUUUGUUCCUUUUUCUCUUUUUGAGGCAGUAGCCGUCUUGUAUACUCCCUGUAUGCUUUGUGGCGUUUAGCCUUUUCUAAUGCAUAUCUUGUUUACUUAUCAAAAAAAAAAAAAAUUUGCAAGGUACUUCUAUCCAGGUUCUAGGAAACACCCACUUUUUUAAAUCUCCAAUAAUUUAGUGUUCUGUGGCUGAGGGAAUAGACUUAUUUUUGGUUGAAACACAUAAAAUUCUUGGAUAUGUAUAUAUAUAUUUUUUGGCAUCAGGUCCUUUUAGGUUGAUUUUUCUACUUAUUUUUCACCCACCAAUUAACAUUGCCCUAACUCUAUUAUCUAACCGAGCAAAUGUUUAUGAACUAGCAAAUCAUACUAAAAUUUCUUACUAGUUGACAUGUGCAUCAUCUCAGCAUGUCAUUCCAACACCAAACUACAACCAUAAUCCCACUAACAUCCUAACUGCCUCAAUGAGUAUGGAUUACAGAAAUGCAAUUAAAAUAUACUUCCCUAUUUAAUUUCAUAAUUUUUAUAAUAAUAUUUCAGCAAUAUUUCCACAUAGUAGCUUAUGUGAGAAAUCCCCAUUUCUGUUUAAAAUCGAAAAACCCUAUAGCUUGCGCAAGUAAAUAGGAAAAAAAAAAAACAGAGGUUUUGCAGAAUUGGGAGAGCAGACUCACACCAGCAUGGCCAUUGAUUGAGCAGAAACGUAGAUGACGAUGAUGGUGGUGGAAUUGGGAGAAAUUGUUGAGUUUGGGAACCCUAGGAAAGCUGGGAUUGAAAGAAGAGGAUUGUGAGAGAGAAUUGGAAAUUUAAGAAACAAACACAAAAAAUAAAUCCAAGAAAUAAAUAAGAAGCGUAAAAAUGAAAUAGAGAAGAGUGUGUAUGACGCACCUGAUGAUGUGAAAGCAGCUUCAGCUGGUGAAGGCAAACUUUCGACGGGAGAGACAUCAGGAUACUGGCCUCUGACAACAAUCGCUCCAAAAUAUUCUUUCUAUACCAUUUAUUAUUAUUAUUAUUAUUAUUAUUAUUAUUUUAUUAUUAUUUUCAGGUUAUUGAAGUGUAAUGUCCACCGUACACCCUUACAUGAUGAAGCCUUUAGAACUCUCCAUGGAGCCUAAAUCUCACAUUGCUAAUCACCCUAUAAUAACCAGCAUAUAGUAAAUUCAAAGUAUCAUUAAUGAUAGAUUUCAAACUUAGGACCAUAUAUCAUUUAUUGAGACCACACUUCUUAAUGUUCAUCCUUAACGACACACUCAUAUAUAUCAAAUUACCCAAUGACCUACUUUUCCUAUUUUCUCAUUUUUAGAAAUAAAAAGAAAAAAUAAUAAUUUCUAUUUUUAAUUUUUUAAUUUUUUUUAUAAGUAAAUUUUUGUUCUCAUUAGGACCUGUGGAACCUCCCACAAGUCCUCCCGAAUCCUUUACCACUUGAGUCAUGCCUUAAUGGCUUGUUUUUUUAAAAAAAUUAAUAACAACUUUUAUAUAUAAAAAAAAUACUUAUAAAACAUACUUAUAAAAAAUAUACAUGUCAUUAAAAGUUUAAAGAAAUUUAAAUUUGAUAAUAAUUUUUUAAAUAAUUUAAUGUGUUAAUUGUUCUUAAAAACUUUAAAUAACCUAGAAAAGAAUAAUAUGGUUAUAAAUUGACCAAAUUGUUAUAUGGUUUUAAAUAGUCACCUUAACAAUGUUACAAGUGAGUUAAUUAAUUUAUGGUAGAGAAGAAUUACAAUAGAAUUCAAUUAGUUAUCGUAUUUGAAGUCUUUGAUUAUUUGUUGAAUAAUAUUUGCAGCCAGUUAGCUAGGGUUGGCUAACCCAAGCCAAACCUACUUACUAAUAUGUCCAACCUAUGCUAAACUCGAUUCAAAGUUAGAUUGGUAGUUACUAAACUCAUUGACAACUAAAGUUUCUAUGGAUUCCCACAAGUUUUCAUGGAUUAUCAAAUAAACCACAUAUAAUGGAAUCUCCUAAUAUAAAAAAGACAUAUUUCAAAAUUAUAAAUUAAACCAUAUUAUAAAAUAAAAUUUUAACAAAGUCAUAAAUUAUAUUACUAGUGACUAAUUUUAAUGGUAACAUGAAACACAAGUGUGAAUAUUUAAAAAUAUUUUAAUAAUUAAACAAAAAUGAUAAACUUAUAGUGUAAUGUAAUAAAACUAGCAAAAGUUAUAGUUUUUCCAUUAUCCCUUUUAUAAAUUUCAUAUUUUAAAUAAACUAAUAAAUAAUAUAAUAGUAAUGAAUUUGCUUAGUCUUCAUCAUGUAGAACCAAUGUGAAGAAAUUUUUUUUAAUAGGACUGAUUAAUGACUUAAUUAAGGGUAGGUUACAGCAUACACUAGGAGUCAAGAAAUAAGAUGUCAAGACUUGUACAUUCUGAAUAGGGAAGGGAAGAGUAUCCUAACAUAAGAGACCAAAAACAUGCUCAGGGAGAUUCUCGUUAGGAUCAAAUUGGGGGCAUAGAUGUAUCUCUUUGGUAAGAGUUCCCAUAAUUUAGGUAUUAAUGAAAUAGGUAUAAAAGAAUUAUAUAUCUUGAUAUGAUCAUGUUGUUAAUGAUGAUCUAAUGAGUUGAAAUAUUAUGUUUUCAACUGUGUAUAUCUAAUAAAUACAUCAAGUACUUAAACUUUAAUAUAGAAAUGCUCCAUAAUGGUUUGUAUGACUCAUCCUCUUAUAAACAUAUUAUUUAGAUUAGGCUAAAGUGGUCAAAGUAAGAAGAAAACUUGAUACUUGAUUUGAAGUAUGAAGAAUUCUUCUUAGACUUUGUGUGUAGUAUUGUUUGCUUAUUGUUGUGUUAAAGUCUAUUUUGAUGUAUUUUGGAAAGAAUGACCAACUAGAACCACUAUAAGAUGUUGCAAAACUUAUUUAAACAAGGGCUUGUGAGCAAGAUUUUUUUUUUUCCCUUUCAUGUACAAAUAGUAUGAUGAAUGAAAAUUUGAUUCUCAGUUGUAAUUAGUGUUUUCCUUAAGUUUUAAAUCAUGCAAUGAAUACUUAAAAUUAGUUUAAGAUGUCAAAGAAUGUAAGUAAACAAGGUUUUACAUGUUGGAUAUAUAAUUAAUGCAAAACCUUUACCUUCCACAUUGAAUGAUUACAUUUUUUCUUUAAGUGCCCUUUAAUCAUUCUCAUCUUGUUUAAUCAUUUUUCUCUAAUGUCUUGAGCAUAGUAGAUUUCUAUAAAUUUACAUGAGCAUUCCUUAACUCUUCUUGAGUGAUCCUAAACUUAGCAUUGAAACAAUCAUAAUUUAGGCGAAGAUGCUUACACGUCUUCAUAAUCAUCCUUGGUUGCUAGCCAUUUUUCCUUAAUUACUUUAGGAUGUUUAGCGAAGAUGAUUACAAAUAUUAACUAGUUCACUCACACAUUUUUGUAUGAGUGUAGAACAAUUUUGCAUUCUUUCCACAUCACUUAUGCAUCUUUGUUCCAAGAAAGAAGAUAUAGAACUCUUAUCUUUUGCUUACACCACUUGGUUCUCCAGCCCAUUAUGCUUAUGCGUCAUUUUUAUAUCACAUAUGCAACUUGUUUCUCAUUAAUAUAUUUCACUUACAUGUUCUUAUAUAAGCAUAAUUUAGGGAAAAACAUUUUAAAAAAAAAGAAGCAAAAUAGAUGUUAAUAUAUAUAUAUAUAUAUUUGGAACAAUUAAACUCAAACUAUGCAAAGUGACCUUGUCUACUAUAUAGGUGACUUUGUUUACCCCAUAGGUAGAGUAUAUGAUAGUGAUAGUCAAGGAAGCUAUGUAGUUGCAUGGUUUAGUGGAGAAUUUAAUGUUGCAAAACCGUUUUGUAUUUUUAAUAAAAUAAAAAUAUUUUAAAUUGUGGCCCAUUUAAAUAUUAUUUUCCCUAAAAUAAAUGAAACGUGGGAGCACAUCUCUUAUGGAGUAACCACCCAUGUCUACAAAUGUGGGACAUAUUACUCGGUUGAAAACUACCCAAAGUCUUUUUUGAUGGGAAGAAGAGAAAAUAAAUAGAUAGAUACAAGAUUAAUUCCAAAAGAGGGAAGAAGGGUCUCUGGUCUACAAGAAUAAGUCUGUGAUUAGUUUCAUCAGUCCCUAUUUUGUGUGAAUCUGAUUGCCAUGGCUGGAGGUACGAUCUUGGAUUUUCAUUUUAUUACUUGUAAUUAUCAGAGAUAUUUAUCUAACAUUUGGUAUCAGAGCCAAGGGUCUCUAGUUUGGCUUUCGAUUCAAUAUUUAUGGUCUUAAAUGAAUUAAGUUCUAUAUUCAUACAUGAUAAGAGAAAUUUAUCUCCAUAUUUAUUGGGUAUUUCUAAUUUAAUCCAAAUGAAGAAAAUUUAGUAGACUCCAUAUUUAUUGGAUAUUUUUUAUUUAAUCUAUACAGAUUUGUUUUUCUACAGUUGCAAUAGACAUUUCUCAUAUGACAUGUUAUGUUUCCUGCAAUUGAGACAACUUGAACCCGUGACCAUGGGUUACUUCCUUAACUAGAAUAGUCCUUGAACCAUUGGACUAAAGCCUAUGACUUGUUAGAGAUUGCCUCCUCUAAACUUAAAUGUUGGCUCCGUUAUUGUGAAAAACUUGUAUAAAUUAUUUUUAUAAAGUAGUAUUUAGAAACACUACUUAUAUUUGUUUACCAUUGAUUUGGUAAUUUUUUUGAUGUCAUACUGAGGUAACAUUUGAUUAAUUAAGUAAUAGCCACAACAUUCUUGAUUAUGAUAAUGUUAAGUGACAAAAGAAAGUUUCAUUUUUGUCACAUUAAAUUAAUGACAUCAAUAUUUGUAAAUAAUCAUAAAAAAUAAUAAUUUUACCCCACAGGGUAAUUAUUAUGUUUUGUGUUUAUUUAGGAUGGGAUGGUAAAAAAAAAAUAUGUUGCCCAUAGGCCUAAAAUUACUAGUUCCAUUAUAAAGUAAUUAAAAAAAAAACAUUUGCAUGUUGUAUUCUGUUUCCACAGGAAAGUUUAUGAUCACGUGUUGAUUUUUUGUUGAUUGAAUUAAUUUACAUGAGUAAAUUUUGUUUUUUGCUUCAUGGCAUAUUAGUAAGCUUUGUCAUUUAUUUUGUAGUUCAAUCUAUAUAUGUUCCAAAUUUUGAUUCAUCUCGUAUACCUUUCUUGAAUGGUGAUAAUUAUGCUAAUUGGUAGGAGAAAAUUCUCCUUACAUUGGGGUGCAUGGACCUUGAUUUAGCACUUUGUGUGGAUGAGCCAUUGGUUCCUAUGGAAUCAAGUACCCAAACUGAGAAAGCAUCAUAUGAACGUUGGGAGCGAUCUAAUUGCUUAAGUUUGAUGUUUAUCAAGUCUAGUAUUGGGAAAAGUAUUCGUGGUUCAAUUUCUGAAUGUGCUAAGGUGAAAGAAUAUCUCAAGGCUAUUGAGCAACAGUUUGAGGCUUCUGACAAGGCUUUGGCUAGCACCUUAAUGACAAAGAUGUGUUAGAUGAAGUUUAAUGGCACCAAAGGAGUACGUGAGCACAUAAUGGAAAUGAGAGAUAUUGCUACUCAACUUAAGUCAUUAGAGAUUGAGAUGUCUGAGUCAUUUCUGAUUCACUUCAUUCUUAAUUCUUUUCCAUCUGAGUAUGGACCUUUUAAGAUUUCAUACAACACACAUAAGGAAAAAUGGUCUAUUAAUGAACUUUUGACCAUGUGUGUGCAAGAAGAAGGAAGACUAAAUCAAGAAAGGAUUGAAAGUGCCCAUUUGGUGACUUAAGAAAAGAAACCAGGCAAGAAAGGUAAAAGAAAGCAAAAGACAUCUCUUAAUCAAGUUAAUAAGAGCGAUAUCAAGUGCUUCUUUUGCAAGAAGAAAGGACACAUUAAGAAGUGUUGUCCCAAAUUUAAAGCUUGGCUUGAAAAUAAAGGUAAUCUUAUCUCUUUAGUGUGUUAUGGAUCUAAUAUGGUUCAUAUUUCUUACAACACUUGGUGGAUUGAUUCUGGUACUAAAAUUCAUGUUGCCAAUACCAUGCAGGGCUUCUUAAACCAAAGGAAACCAACAGAAAGUGAAUGCUCUAUCUAUUCAGGAAAUCGGAUAAGUUCACAUGUGGAAGCGGUUGGGACCUACAGACUUGUUCUUAGAUCUGGUUUUGUUUUAAACCUUGAAAACUCUUUUUUUGUUCCAUCAUUUUCUAGGAAUCUUAUUUCAGUUUCGAGACUUUUACCAUAUGGUUUUAGUUUUAAAUUUGUUGUUAUUUCAUUUCAUUUGAUAAAAGACAAUGUCGUUGUUGGUGAUGGUAUUUUGGAUAAUGGUUUAUUCAAACUCAAUUUAAAUCCAAGUUUUAAUCAUAGACUUACAACUAUGCAUGGAAAUGUUGGCAUUAAGUGUGGUGUUAUAAAUAAGAAAUCUUCCACAUUAUGGCACAAGAGAUUAGAUCAUAUCUCUAUUGAAAUAAUUAAAAGAUUGGUAAAUGAUGGAGUCCUUGAGGCUCUUGAUUUUACUGAUUUUGAUAUUUGUGUGGGUUGCAUUAAGGGAAAGCAAACCAACAUGACUAAGAAUCAAAGUGCUAGGAGGACUUCUAAUGUUUUAGAAAUCAUACACACUGACAUUAGUGGUCUUUAUAAUAUGUGCUUAAAUGGUCAAAUAUAUUUUAACACUUUUAUCGAUGACUACUCACGAUAUAUGUAUCUUUUUUUGCUUUAUGAUAAGUGUGAAGCACUAGAUGCUUUCAAAAUCUAUAAUGCAGAGGUAGAGAAACAAUUGGGUAAACAAAUUAAGAUUGUGAAGUCAGAUAGAGUUGGUGAAUAUUAUGGUAGGUACACUGAAAAAGGACAAUUAUCUGGUCCAUUUGCAAGGUUUCUACAGGAACAUGGCAUUGUUGCCCAAUACACAAUGCCUUGCUCACCAUCCCAAAAUGGUGUGGCUGAAAGAUGAAACCAAACCCUAAAGGACAUGGUUAGUAACUCCAACCUCCUAUUAUCCUUGUGGAGUGAGGCCAUAAAGACAACAACAUAUUGAUUACUAUUCAAAAAGUGCUGUUUUGUAGCUUGUAAUUAACUCUUUUAAACACUUUUGAGUAGUAGUUAUUACCUUUUAACUCAAUUGGCAUGUUAAGGACCCUUGCAAUCGUUUCUAAUCAAAUUGUGUUAAGUUUUAGUGUUUUUGAUAUCUUUUUUAUCACCAAAGCAAUCUAAGAUGAGGGAGAGCUUUAUAUAAUCCAUGGCAAAGAAAAUAAAAGCUCAUUUACAAGAAGAAUCCAAGCUUUGGAGCUUUGAAGUCCUUUGCCAAAAGCAAAUCAUGAAUGCAAUGAGGGAAAGCAAAGAGAGAAAUCUAACAUGAAGAAUUCAAGAGGACAGCAACUGUUGAAGACAUUUUGAGUACUUCCUGAAGUCCAUUUCAUGCAUACUAUAUGUCGUUUCGAAGAUCGGGAAGUCAGAAGCCCAACGCUUCAAACGGUACAUGAAUUGGAGUUGAAAAGAAGAAGUUAUGGCCAUUUGAAGACAACCGCACAAAGUUGAGCGAAAAUUUCAUGGCCCAAAGCCCAUUUCGUACCUGCGAAAUAAGCUGCGAAAUGAAACCCACUUGCGAAAUUUUGUAAGGUGUUUUGCAGCUGCGAAACCACCUCCAAGCACACGUGUGCCACUUCGCAAGUUGAAACUCCAUCUUCGCAACUGCGAACCACGUUGCGAAAUCACCUCCAAGCUGCGAAACAAGUUGCAAAUCAUCUCCAAGUUGCGGAAUCACCUCCAAGUUGCAAAAUCACAAAUUCAACUUGCAAAAUCAAAGUUCAAACUUGCAAAAUGGACAAUUCAAAGUGUGAAAUCCACCUGUGCAAUCUCAGAUAUUUGCAACCGACUCAGUUAGAUUUUUUCUCAAGAUAUUUUGUAAAUUUCUAUUUUCUCCUUGUAAUCAGUCAAAGAUAUUAUUGGGAUAUUUCUUAGAAAAUAUCUUCUCUAUAUAUAUCUUUGAACCAAUGUAAAUAAUACGGAUAUAUCAUGUAGAUCAUAGAUCAUGGAUGUAAUUGACGAUAGUAAGAAAUAUAUUUUUACAGAGCACUUGCUCUGUUUUUCCUUCAUAUUUUUGUUUUCUCGUUAUUUUUAUUUCUAGCAAAUCAAACUCUGAGGAUGUUUCCUUAGAGGAUGAGUGGCUUGGCUCUUUGUCUCUUGGAGUGAAGAAAGCCAAGUAAGUUUCCAUAUGCAAAAAUUAGAAGUUUUGUUGUUUCAGUUUUUAAUGAAGAGAAAGUGUGACUCGUUAAUGGUUUUUAUCUUUUUAGUUAACUUAAAACGCCUUUAAGUUACCUAGGCUAACACUUGGUAAGGCAAGUGAUCUCCGUCCAUUGAGAUGCACUAGUUUACCUCUUGCGAGCCUUUGGGAGGUGACUUGAAGGUAGGAUUUUCUAGAAUAGCCAACACUUGGUAAGCUUUUGGACUCUAAGGAGACAUCCAUUAGUUAUCUCUUGCGAGCUUUUAAAGGGUAAUCCAAGGUUAAGGAUCACCUUGAAUGGCAAAUUCUAGGUGAGAGGCAUGAGCCAUUGCAAGAUGCAUCAGUGAGAGAGAUUUAGUGUUUGAACCCAUUAAGGGGAAACAUCUAUACCACAUCGAUUCGGGAAAUAACUAUAUGUUAAAUCCCCAAUGCGAGGAAAAGAUUCAAGUGACCAGAACUCCCUUUUUGUAUAAGGAACCUAAGCCUAGUGAUCUGAAACUCCAAGAAACAUUUUUCUUUGUAAUUAAAAUCAGUUACUAUUUUUGGUUAGCUUAAAACCAACCUUUUCAAACAUCUUUAUAUUUUCUUUUAGAGCUAACCUUGAAAUGAAAAAACACCAAUUCAGCUUUGAAUUAAUAUCAAUUGUGAAGUGAAAACCCAUCCCAGUGAACGAUCCUAGAGCCACUAUGCUAUGCUAGCUGAGGCUAUCCUAGUACAUGGUGUAAUAGGUUAUAAAUUUUGUUGAUUACUCCCGUCUGAGGACCACAAUCAAGGAAUACCAGCUGGACACGAAUCAAAUGACACCGUUGUUGGGGACCAUUGAGAGGACAUGAAUCAGCUGAUACACCAAUUGGGAAUGAAUCACAUAUGUACUAAACCGGGUUCCAACCAAGGUAGUUCCUAAAACGCCUUUUGAGUUAUGGAAAUGUUGCAAACCCAGUCUAAGGCAUGUACAUGUAUGGGGUUGCCUAGUUGAGGUUAGAAUUUAUAAUCCACAAGAGAAAAAGUUAGACUCAAGAAUAGUCAGUGGAUAUUUCAUUGGCUACAUAGAAAAGUCUAAGGAUACAAAUUUUUAUUAUCCUUCUUGUGCUACGAAAAUUGUAGAAUCUCAUAAUGCAAGGUUUUUGGAGAAUGAUGUGAUUAGUGGGAGCAAUGAAUCUUGACACUUAGUGUUUGAGGAACGCCACAAUAUUGAACCCACUCUUGAGUCUUCAAGUGGAUUAAUUAUUUUCCUGGAUAGUCAUCAAGAUUUGACAAUCCAAGAAACACCAGUUGUUAAUGAACCACAUCAUGAGGAUAUUCUGAUGGAUUUAGUUAUUCAACAUCCUCAACAAGGGAAUGUUGAUAUAACAUUAAGAAGAUCUACUACAGAAAGGAGGUCUACAAUUUCUUUUGAUUAUGUUGUGUACUUACAAGAAUAUGACAUUGAUAUUGGUGUUGAAGAUGACCCCAUUACGUUUUCACAAGCCGUGGGUGGAAGUGAAAAGAUGAGAUGAAUUCAAUGGCUAAUAAUCAAGUCUGGGAUCUUGUUGAGUUGCCUAAAGGUGCAAAGGUAAUUGGUUGUAAAUGGGUUUUUAAGACUAAAAGGGGUUCUUUGGGCAAUAUUGAAAGAUAUAAGGCAAGACUUGUAGCUAAAGGAUUCACUCAACAAGAAGGAAUUGAUUAUCAUGAUACCUUCUCUCCUAUUUCCAAGAAGGAUUUAUUUUGGAUAAUCAUGGCAUUGGUAGCUCAUUUUGAUAUGGAGUUACAUCAAAUGGAUGUGAAAACAGCAUUCCUUAAUGGGGAUUUAGAGGAAAAGGUUUACAUGAAACAACCAGAAUGGUUCAUCACAAAUGGAAAUGAUCACAUUGUUUGCAAGCUUAAAAAAUCUAUAUAUGGACUAAAACAAGCAUUCCGUCAAUGGUAUUUAAAGUUCCAUGAUGUUAUUUCUUCAUUUGGUUUUAUAGAAAAUGUUAUGGAUCAAUGUAUGUACCAUAAGGUUAGUAGGAGCAAAAUGAAUUUCUUAGUCUCAUAUGUGGAUGAUAUUUUGCUUGCUUCAAAUGAUUUGGGCUUACUUCAUGAGGUGAGGUGAGGCGAUUUCUCUUGCAACAAUUUGAUAUGAAAGAUAUGGGUGAAGCUUCUUAUGUCAUUGGCAUAAAGAUUGAGAGAGAGAGAUCUCAACGGAUAUUAGGAUUGUCUCAAGAAACCUAUAUCAAUAAAGUGCUUGAGAGAUUUCGCAUGAAGGAUUGUUCACCUGGUAUUGCACCGAUUGUCAAAGGUGACAAAUUUAGUUUGAACCAAUGCCUCAGUAAUGAUUUGGAAAAUAAAGAGAUGAAAAAUAUUCCUUAUGCUUUUUCAGUUGGGAGUUUAAUGUAUGCUCAGGUUAAUACAAGACCUGACAUUUCUUAUGCAGUUGGAAUGUUGGGCAGAUAUCAAAGUAAUCGAGGUCUGGAACACUAAAAAGCUGCAAAGAAAGUCAUGUGAUACUUUAAGGGGACUAGGGACUACAAACUUACAUACAUGCGAUCUGAUUAUUUGGAUGUGGUUGGAUAUUUGGAUUCUAACUUUGCUAGCUGCCUUGAUUCUAGAAAGUUGACAUCUGGAUAUGUCUUCUUAUUAGCUGGAGGGGCCAUUUCAUGGAAAAGUGCAAAACAAACAUUGGUUGCUACUUCGACCACAGAAGCGAAAUUUGUUUCAUGUUUUGAAGCAACGUCACAUGCUAUUUGGCUGAGGAGUUUUAUUUCAGGGCUUCAAGUUGUUGACUUAAUUUCUAAGCCAUUGAGGAUUUACUGUGAUAACUCUACCAUAGUGUUUUUAGCUAAGAAUAAUAAGAGUGGAAGUCAUAGUAAACACAUUGACAUAAAGUACUUAUCUAUUAGGGAACAUGUUAAGUCAAACAAGGUGGCUAUUGAGCAUAUUAGUACUGGAUUGAUGAUUGCGGAUCCUUUGACGAAAGGAUUGCCACCUAAGGCUUAUAAGGAACAGGUUGAACAUAUGGGACUCAAUUCUAUUUUUUAAAUUUUGUGUAAUUGAGACAUCUUUUGUGUUUCAUCGCAUUUUUUGGUUGAUAUGAAAACUCCAAUUAUUUCAAUCUUGUCUUCUCAUUUGGUUAUAUACAUAAAGUUUAGAGAAUGAAAAUAUGCAUGUUAUGAAUGUUAAGUAGACCUUGAAUGAGAAUUUUGGAAACUCAUUCAUAAAGGAAUGACUCACGUAUUGUUCUUAUUCAAAAGAGAAAGUUGCAUUGUAAUACAUGGAAGGUAAUACUUGUUCUUAGAGGACUUACUGACAUGAUUUAUGUGCUUUAAAUUCUUUUGAUUAAGUAUAAGGAUUUAGGGAAAAAUAUGUUAUGUAUUAAUUUAAUUAAUACAUAUUAAGUAAUUUUUAUGGGCUAAGUGGGAGAAAUGUUGGAAACCGUUUUGCAUUUUUAAUAAAAUAAAAAUAUUUUAAAUUGUGGCCCAUUUAAAUAUUAUUUUCCCUAAAAUAAAUGAAACGUGGGGGCACAUCUCUUAUGGAGUAACCACCCAUGUCUACAGACGUGAGACAUAUUACUCGGUUGAAAACUACCCGAAGUCUUCUUUGAUGGGAAGAAGAGAAAAUAAAUAGAUAGAUACAGGAUUAAUUCCAAAAGAGGGAAAAAGAGUCUCUGAUCUACAAGAAUAAGUCUAUGAGUUCCAUCGGUGCAUGGACAUAAGGUCUUGUAAGGACUAGCCAACUAAUCCCUAUUUUGUGUGAAUUUGAUUGCCAUGGCUGGAGGUAUGAUCUUGGAUUUUCAUUUUAUUACUUGUAAUUAUCAGAGAUAUUUAUCUAACAUUUAAGAGUUAAGCAUGAUCACAUUGUGAUUUAUUAUGAUAAUGGGAGUGCCCUACAUUUAUUUAAGAAUAAAGUUCAUCACUCAUUGGUAAGGCAUAUUGAUGUCUAAUUUCAUUUUAUUUAAGAGAUUCUAGAAGAAAGUCAUAUCUUGUUUUAGAAAGAUUGCUAAUGUUAAUGAGGUAGGUCAUAUUUUAAGAAAGAUUUUUCCUAAAGUCAAGUUUAGCCAUUGUUUAAAUGUGAUCCAUGUAGAAAGGAUCAAUGUACCUUUAGGUGUGUAGUAGCAAAAUCCUUAAAGAUUGUUUGGUUAGCUUCAUUUACAUUACUUAGUUAAAUAUUACAUAGUCAAUUACAUAGUCCUUUAUUAUUAUUUUUCAUUCUUAGUUGGUUUUUGUCUUGAAUUUAGAGUGAAGAAGAUGUAAUCAAUGAGUAGGGAAAGAGGAACAAAAAUGAAAAUAACAUUAGAACUAGGAAUUGGAGAAGAGGAAGAAGAUGAGGACAUUUCUAGCAAUGUUGCAUGUCAAUUUUUUGUUUAAUGAUUUCCUUAUAAUAGUUUUCAUAUUUCAUUAUCUCUCUCUAAACUAAACAACAUAUUUCUUAAAUAUUUUGAAUUCUUAUUUAUUUUUAAACUCUUUCAUUCUCUACCCUUUCACCAUUUUCACAUACCUAAAAUUUGCUCUCAAUUUAUUUCAAUAAUGUUGACAUAAAAGUAAAUAGCUAAAAUAGAUAAGUUAACCUUCAACCUAUUUUUUAUUUAUUUAUUUAUUUACAAACCAAAAUCUAGUAUUUUUGUUUAGAAACUAAAAUUGAACAAAAAUGUAUAAACUAAGAGAAAGAAAAAGUAAAAACUAGAGACUUGUAAUUAUAUAAAUGUUAAGAUUUCAAGUUAGUAAUUUAUGUUAGUAUUUGUAUUUUUUUCUUUUUUUUUUCUUGAUUUUUAUAUACCAUUUUAAUUAAUAUUUUCAAUUUUGUGAUUGAAGUCUCAAAUUUUUUAAUUUGUGUUAUGCUUAUUUUAUUGUUUCCAUGUUAAAAACCAAUGUGCAAUUAGUAUGACAUGUACACUUAUUAUUUCGAAGUGUAAUGUUGAUAUCUUAUUUUGUAAAGCCCAUGGCGAUCAAUCAUUGUCUCUCAUGUGUCUCAUUGAUGAUGUGUGAGUUUGACUAAUUAUUUAGCAUCAUGCCUCAAAGAUUAAUGUUACAUAUCGAAGACAUCUCUCUAAUAAACAUGACAUUCAAUACACUUUUCUUGGCCUUAAUCUUUGAUACAUGAUAGGUCCAUGUUCUACCUUCAUAUCUCCUAUGCCAUAGUGCUACAUUAUUUGAAAAUGAAUAUUUAUCUUCAAUAAGACCCUAAGUCACAUGGAUGCCUAUGAAGCAUGGAUGUUGCCCAUAGUGAAUGCCAGGGAGGGGGGUAAAGGUGUUUCUUACUCUAUUCUUCCUUAAGAUGGUAUCAUGUGCUUCUGAUAAUUGUUUUAUUCUUAUUCUAGAAAAUACAUGCUUCCUAAAAACUAAUAGUUUUUAUUGGUUUAUGAUCUUUUAUACCUCCUUCUAAUGUGUCAGCCUUACCAUAAUGCCUUGAUGUUAAUAAAUCUACCUAGUUCAUGAGCAAAGCUCAAGGUUUUGGAAUGGACUUUGUGUCCUUAGUGGUAAAUCUAGUUUCCCUACCCAUUAGCAUUUCAAGAUUAGUUUGAGCAUCUUGGUUUAGCAAUUAGAUCUUAUACUUACCAAGGUUGGAUUAACACACAUUGAUCUCAUUUUAGCUUAAAUGAAAGAGGUGACAAGUGUGUCUUCAUUAUAGGUGUCAUAUGAAGAAGUUUGUAUAUCCUUAUAGAAUAACUAAUAUUCAAAAUACUAUUUUAGAGCAUCAAUAAAAACUUCAUUUCUAUCCAAAUGAAAAAAAGAAGUGAUAUUGUUGUUCUCCUUGAUCUUACUGCCACCAUCUCUACCCAAUCAUCUACUCUCACUUUGUUUUGCUCUCAUUUUAAACUCUUGGGACAUUUAAAACUUUUAAGUUUUAGUUGUAAACUUAUAGAUACUUUUUUAGGAAAAAAAAAAUGGAAGUGAGAUCUAAGAUUUUGUUUUGAGAAAAGUAUUGAAAAAGCCCCAGGCUUAGAAACUUUUAUUUGCCUAUGUCUAAUAUGAACUUUUGAAUGAAAAAAACAAUGUUAUAUAAUUUAAUACUUGAAAGGAGUUAGAAGGUUUUUUCUAAUUUUGGAGCAUGAUGUACAUUAUGAGCCUAAAUCAUGACAACUUAAGUUGUUAGGAAGAUCAGUUGCUUAACAUGCCAAUAGUGUCUUGUUUAGUGGGGGGUUGUGUGUUUGAAUCUCACCUCAUUAUUUCCAUGAUUUACUAAAAUGAGGUUAGUUGCAUAGGAAAAUUUUUCUCUUCAUACGUGGGUAUGGGGUUGCAGUGAAAGAGAGUGUUAAAGAAUGGGAUCAAAUCUUAAUAGUUUAAGCUUUUAGAAAAAUCAAAAGUUCAAUAUGGCAUUAGAGUCUUAUUUAUUCGAAGGUUAUUAGUUUGGACCUAAAGACAUUAUUUCCCUAAUUUAUUGAGUAAAAAAAAGGCUAGAUAUGAGGUUGCUAAUGAGAAGUUAAUAGGGGUCCUGAGUCCAAGUCCUUCCCUCAUUAUUUAUCUAUCUAAUUAUUUAUGACCAUAAAGUGCUCCCCAUGAUAGGUAUGGGCUCACAUAUGAGGAGAGGAGGGGUGUUGGACCAUUAUAUAUGUUAUGUGCUCAAAUUCUAACAACUUAAUUAAGCUUUUAGGAAAAUUUAUUAUUUAACAUUAAUAUUGUUUUGUAAUCAAAGUAAAAUCUGUUGAGGAGAAGAAAAAUGGUAUUCUUCUAUAUAUUGAAAGAUACAGCAGAUGAGGGUUAUAUAUAACCUGUACAUGAAGUUAAUUUGGAAGAAACUAAUCACACUAAUCUAGGCUACAAUCUUGGAUGAUUUACAAUCAAAUAAAACUAACUUGGUAACUAGAAUAUUUUUAUUUCUAUAAUUGCUCCUUCAACAACUCACGUCAAUACUCCCCCUCAAGUUGGUGCAUAGAUAUCAUCAAUGCCCAAUUUGUCAAGUGAGUUGUGAAAUAUUUUGCUAGAGACAGCCUUUGUAAGAAUAUUUGCUAGUUGAUCUUCUGACUUCACAAAAGGAAAUUGAAUGACCUUGUCUUCGAGCUUCUGCUUGAUAAAAUGUCGAUCCACUUCAACAUGUUUGGUGCGGUCAUGUUGAACUGGGUUAUGCGCGAUUGCUAUGGCUGCCUUAUUAUCACAAAACAAGUUCAUUGUAUUCUGAGAUGAACACUUAAUUUCCUCUAAUAAUCUUUUUAACCAAAGUAGCUCACACAAUCCUUUAGUCAUGCCUCUAAACUCAGCCUCUGCACUAGAUAAAGCAACUACCUUAUGUUUUUUACUCCUCCAAGUGACCAGAUUGCCUCCCACAAAUGUGAAGUAGCCCGAUGUGGAUUUUCUAUCAGUAAUGUUCCAUGCCCAGUCUGCGUCCGUAUAACCGUCAAUGUGCAGAUGUUGGUUUUUCGUGAACAUCAGUCCUCUUCUUGGAGAAGACUUCAAGUACCGUAAAAUACGAACCACUGCACUCAUAUGAUCUUCGCUAGGACAAUGCAUGAAUUGACUCACCAAGCUCACCGCAUAAGCAAUAUCAGGUCGUGUGUGAGAUAAGUAUAUCAGCUUUCCCACAAGGCGUUGAUACCUUUCUUUAUUGGUAGGGGUCUGGUUAGGAAAUUCUCCCAAGCCAUGGUUUUGAACAACUGGUGUAUCAGCAGGUCUACAAUCAAGCAUUCCUAUUUCAGACAACAAGUCAAGCACGUACUUCCUUUGGGAUAGAAAUAUGCCUUGUUUUGAUCGAGCUACUUCAAUCCCCAAAAAAUACUUCAACCCUCCAAGAUUUUUCAUCUCAAAUUCAAUUGCUAAAUGCUCUUGUAAUUUAGAGAUUUCUUCCUCGUCAUUUCUUGUAAUUAUCAUAUCAUCAACAUAGAUUAUUAGAGUUGUUACCUUCCCCCGUUGGUGCUUUAAGAAGAGAGUAUGAUCUAAAUUACUUUGCUUGAAACCGUGCUUUCUCAUGGCAAGGCUAAAUCGUCCAAACCAUGCUCUAGAAGACUGUUUCAAUCCGUAUAAUGCCUUUUGUAACUUGCAAACAUCCUUCCCCUGUGUCGAAGAAACAAAACCCGGUGGAAUGUCCAUGUACACCUCCUUUUUAAGAUCCCUAUGGAGAAAGGCAUUUUUGACGUCAAAUUGGUGCAAUGGCCAGUCCAAGUUUGCAGCAAGAGAGAUUAGUACUCUCACAGUAUUUAAUUUUGCUAUAGGUGAAAAAGUUUCUUGAUAAUCUACCCCAUAUGUCUGAGUAUAUCCCUUCGCAACGAGCCUUGCUUUAUAUCUUUCAACUGAUCCAUCUACUUUGUGUUUGAUAGAGAACACCCAUCGACAUCCCACAGUUUUCUUUCCCUUAGGCAAUGGCACAAGCGCCCAAGUAUCAUUUUUUUGUAAUGCUUUCAUCUCUUCCUCUAUCACUUGGAUCCAUUUGGGAUUAUUCAUGGCUUCACUCACUGUAUCAGGAACACUAUCUGCAGAUAAUUUAUGAACCAAUGCCUUGAGAGGUUCAGACAAUUUUUGAGUUGAGAUAUGGUUGGCAAUUGGGUACUUUGACUUGCUCGUUCCAUGAUCGGGUGAAUAGCGGUUUGGUGGUUGCCCGCGGUUAUGCCUGAAAGGUAGUUUAUAGCCAGAAAAAAUAUUGUGAGGAGAGUUUAGAACUUGUACCUCAGGAAUAUUCUCAAGAGAUUGGUCUAAUUGUGGUACUGUCAAGUCAUGGAAGGGUUGUUCACUUUCAAUUUCCCUAACUUCUCCAUUUUGAUAUACUCUUGUUGGUUGUUGUUCGAUCUCUGCUUCGACAUGCUCAACAUUUUCAACUUCUCCUCUUUGAUCUAUCAGUAUUGCCAUUGGUUCUCUUGGCUGAACCUCCCUUAUAUCAUUUGAAGUUUCUUCGAAGCCUGGCCAAUUUUCCCAAUUCUGCUCUUCACUCGUCAUCUCCCCCUGAAGAGAGAAGUGGGAAGAUUGAGAAGUGAAGAAAUUCUCCUAUUCAAUAAAGGUGACAUCCAUGGUGGUAUAGAGUCGCCUUGUAGCUGGAUCAUAACAUCGGUAUCCUUUCUUGUGAGUUGCAUAGCCAAGAAAAACACAAUGGACAGCACAUGGAUCAAGCUUUGUCCGUUGAUUCUUGUGUAGAUGAACAUAUGUAACACAACCAAACUUUCUUGGAGGAAGCAUUAGAACUGAUGGUAAUGUCACAUGUUGUGCGAGAACUUGAAGAGGGGUUUUGUAGUGCAAAACUCGUGAUGGCAAUCGAUUCAUUAAGUAUACAGCAGUCAUUAUUGCAUCUAGCCAAAAUCGUUUAGGAACAUAAGCAGCAGUCAAGAAAGCUCGAGUGAUUUCCAAGAUAUGUCUAUUCUUGCGCUCUGCAACACCGUUCUGUUGCGGUGUUUGAGAACAAGAUGUCUCAUGAUGCAAACCAUGUUCCUGAAAGUAUCUGUGAAAUUGUGCAUUAUCAUAUUCCCCACCAUUAUCAGAUCAAAGAAUUUGAAGUUUAGCAGAAAAUUGUGUUCGAAUCAUAUUAUGAAAUGAUCGAAAUAUUUCAAACACUUCAUGUUUAUUUUUCAUCACAUAAAGCCAAGUCAUUCGUGUACAAUCAUCGACAAAGGUUACAAACCAACGAACACUAGAAGAAAUAGUAAUAGGAGCAGGGCCCCAAACGUCAGAAUGAACAAUCAAAAAAUGAGUGUCACAUUUAUUCAAACUGAUUGAAUAAGGUACCUGAUGACUCUUAGCCUGAAUACAAGCUUCACACUUAAAAUCUGACUCAUUAAACUUCGUAAAUAAAUCUAGAAAUAAACAUCUCAAAUACCGAAAUGAGGGAUGCCCCAACCGAUUAUGCCAUAACCAUAUCUGUCUUUCCUUAACUCCAGCAGAAUGCAUAUUAUUUGCUCGACCAUAACUAAAAUCAUCCAUGUAAUACAACCCUUCCCUUUUAGUACCACGACCAAUAAUCUCCUUGGUGAGAAUAUCCUUAAACAAACAAAAGUUAGGGUACAUUAGAGCAUAACAAUUCAAUUCCUCAGUCACUUGUCCAAUAGAUAACAAUUAAUUGGAAAGUGAUGGAACUAGUAAGGUAUUUGGUAAUGUAAAAGAAGGAGAAAGAGCCACUGUUCCAACCCCUGUUACUGGAUAUGUUACUCCAUUAGCAUUGGCAAUGCAUAUUCGUUUUGGUUGGGUGGCUUUAGAGAAGUCACAAGGGUCAAAGGUCAUGUGGUCUGUUGCCCCAAAGUCAAUGAUCCAGCCAUCAUGGUUCCCCGUUUUCGAGCAAGAAAAAACAUAACCUUGGUUACCUGAGUCAUUCUGAGCAAUCUGUUCACUAGUGGAGAUAGAAUAUUCUUGUUGUGGUACGAGAGAUAGUUGAGGCUCUACGCUCAUAAGAGCUGCACAACCAAGAUUGUCGCCUCCACUUGCUUCACGCUUUUUCUUUGCCUUGAGUUCAUGCCACCAAUCUGGAUAACCAUGUAGUUUGAAGCAUGUUUCUUUGGUGUGUUUUGUAUUCCCACAAUGUGUGCAGCCUCCUCCUUCCCCUUUUGGUUUUGUGGUUGUGUUAGGCUUUCCAUUUGAUGGCGUUUGAAAAGAUAAUUGGUGUUGAGGUUUAUGUUCUCCUCUUGAAAGCAUAGCACCACCAGAUAUGGUAUCUUCAUUCAUCAUCAUUACGGAUUGCCUCAAAUCCUCUAUUCAAACUUGCGCAUAAGCUUGUUCCACUGUUGGGAAUGGUUGUAUCUACAGCACAUCUGCUCAGAUCUUGUCAAGCCGAUCAUCAAGUCCGUCUACGAAAGUGUAGACUCUAUCCUCCUAUAAAAUAGAGUUAUAUUUUUGUAUAUUAAUAUCACAUUCCAUAGGAUUUGGUCAACGAAAGUCGAUUUCCCUCCACAAGCCUUGCAGAUUGUUGUAGUGUGUCUCGAUAGAUCCUCCUUCUUGUUUGAAUCUGGUUACUCUUCUUUUGAGAUCAUAUACUUGUGAUGUAUCAGUGCCAUCAAAGUACGUAAUAGCAAUAUUAUCCCAAACAGCCUUAGCCAUUGAGAAUUUGAUAAAGUUACUGACUAACUUUGGAUCCAUAGAAUUGAUUAGCCAUCCCUUCACCACUGCGUUUUCGGUUCUCCAUUUUCUGAAUGCAGGAUCUGUUUGCAGGGGCUGUGGAAAAUCUCCAUUUAUGUAUCCCAACUUGUCUUUACCUGAGAUAUACAUCUCGACAAUUUGGGACCAUAGUGCAUAAUUGGUACCAUCUAACUUGAUUCCAAUCUGUGUAGCAGGUUCAUGACUUGUGAUAUGGUUCUGAGUUUGGUUGUGGUUCAGUACUUGUGUCAUUCUUGUCAUAAGAUCUGCGAGAAUUGAACUCUCCCCUUCGUGUUUUUCCACCCUAAUAGGAGGUGUUUCCAUUUUCCUCUUUCUGUUUUUUUUUUUUUUCUGAAAUUCUAUGGCCCUAGAAUCUCUGCUCUGAUACCAUGUUGAAGAGAAGAAAAAUGGUAUUCUUCUAUAUAUUGAAAGAUACAGCAGAUGAGGGCUAUAUAUAACCUAUACAUGAAGUUAAUUUGGAAGAAACUAAUCACACUAAUCUAGGCUACAAUCUUGGAUGAUUUACAAUAAAAUAAAACUAACUUGGUAACUAGAAUAUUUUUAUUUCUAUAAUUGCUCAUUCAACAACUCACGUCAAUAAAAUCAACCCUAGUUAUUCAACAUAAUAAAAAACAUUAGUUUCCUUAUUGAAAAUGGUAAGGACUAAGUAAAUUGAUAUAAAAUAGAAUGCUUUAUAGUUUAUGAGGUGAAGUAUUAGCACUAUAAAGUUAAGUAACUAAUUUGCUAAAAUUACUAGCUAAAACUUGAAAAAUCUUAUCUAAGUGAAAAAUAAAAUAAAAUAAAACUCUUUAUUUUACAUAAUAGCAUAUCUAUAUCCCCUUAAAUUAUGAAAUUCAUGUUGUUUUUUCAACAAAAAAAAAAAAGAUAGAAAAAGAAAAAGAAAAAACCUAGAAAUGCCUACUCAAAAAGAAUAGAUUGAUACACUCCCUAACCAUAAAAUUGAGUUGUAAAUAUAAAUUAUAGUUCAUCCAAGUCUAUAUGCGACUUUUAGAAAUCAAUAGCUAGUUUCAUUUACACCAUUGGUUCGCAUUUUUUUAUUCCAUUGAAAAGAAAGCAAUAAAAAUGAAUUGAGACAAAAAUGAUAAUACAAUCCAUAAAACAUCAAUAGAUUUGUAAACUCAUUAUAAAGUUCAUAAAUUUUUAGAUAAAAAGAAAAACAAUAUAAAGAGGAAAAAAAAUUAGGAACUAUCAAGUUCAAAAAUAGAAUUUAUGGUAAAAAAUAAAAAAUAAAAAGAUAUAACAAACAACAUUUUAAAGUAAGGGUACAAUAGUUAUUAAAAAGAAUCUCAAUAAAAGUUUUCUAAAAAUUGAAAAGAGAGAGAAAAAGUUUUUGGUAUGCUUUUAUGGUUUAGGGGGUAAAAGUUCAUAAUACUCGUCAUUUUAUCAUCUUUAUAGGAAAAAAAAAUUAGACUCAACUUUAUCACAACUCAUAUGAGUUAAAAAUCUCUUGAAUGUAUUUUCUCUCAAGUUUCUAAUGGAUACCCCUUUAUCAAAGGUAUGGACAUUGAGCUAAAUUCACCAUUAAAAUUCAUCAAGUUCCUUUUUUCCUUUUCCUAAUUCAUCAAGCUAUAUUUAUGAAAUAUCCUAAUUAUUCACUUGUAAUAUCAUAUUGUCAACAAAUCCCUUAACAGAUCUACACCUAUCACUAGUUAAUAGAUAAAAUAACUUAAUAAUUAGUUUUAAGUUUUAAGGACUUUACAAGACAAGCCAAGAACCUCAGAUUGCUUGCACACAAUUGACAAAUUGAUUUGUUUUAAAAAGUCAAAUGCUAAAGAAAAUCCACAACACAUAUUGUUUUAAAAAUAUUUGUAUUUAUAUGACAAAAAAAAAAAAAAAACCAAUAGUUUAAAUUGGAAAAGUUUAUGCAAAUUAGAUGAGGAAAAUGCAAGCCAUAAAAUAACAUUAAACUGUUAUCAUUCUCUAAGAAACAUCAAGAACAUAUUGAGAGAACCAUUGCUUGACAUAAUAAAUUGGUCUUGAAAGGAAAAGAAAAUCAUCAAAGCAAUUAUAUUUGUGAUGCAUUCCUAUUUGCAAUAGGUUCCAAUAUUUGAAGCUCACAAAUUCUUCACAUUUGGAUGAACCUUUUUAUUGCAAACAUAGAUCAACCUUGUGGUGCUUACCAAUGGGAAAACAAUUAUAGUAAGAUAUGUAUUGCAAAUGGUGCAUGCUUGCUGUAAAAAUAAAAAAUAAACAAUGAUGAUUGGAUAAGGGAUAGAAAUGGAACAAAAGACAUUGAAUUGUUAUAUGAAUUAAUAUAUUUUAUGUACUCAAAUACAAAAGCAUAUUAUAAUAAUAUUCAUAAGGCAAAAACCACUAUUUUUUUUAUUGGGAAACCCAUAUGAGAACAUGGCAUGGGGCUCAUCAUUGCACACACCACAUUCUCCACAAAAAACCAUAGGACUAACACCAUGAAAACCCAUCAUUGGCACCAUCCUCUUGACUCUCAAUCCCUUAACCCUACACAUUUUCAAACCAAUGUCAUCAACCACUCAUAUCACACAACUCAUAACCCAUCUCUAAUUCCACAACUUUCACCACUGUUGUACUACCAUUCACAUCAUCUCUAUCUCUAAAAACCUACACUCACACCUCUACAAAAUGUCACACUUCCUCACCUUAUACAACACCACCGCCUUAUUAAUUCAUCCAUGCCUAUGGCUAACAUAAAAAAACCCACCAGCACCCUCAUAAAAAAACAAUACUAUUUCAAAGUUACACCACAUUAAUGUCACCAUGCACCUUUCCCUCCAUUGAAUAUCCCAUACAAUCUCUCAUUAUCACCCUCGUCAAAUUCGCAAUGUCUCUCCUAAAUCCUGUAUGACUCUUAGUUUUACCAUUUAUUAGGUUAGCGUCCUCUAGUUCUAAUCGCAACCACUCUAACUUCCAAAGAAAUAAAAUGAUAAAUGAGCAAGUCAUGGAGAUUUCUCUUCCUUACAACCUUUUGCUCCAAGUGUUUUGGUACCCUACUAUUUGCACAUAUAUGUCUUGACAUUAACUUCUACUCAAAUAUAAUCUCUUCUUGUUUUCAUGCUUACCUAUUUUAUACAUCUUUUUUUGUAGAUUUUUUAAUUAUUUAACAUCUUAAGGUUUGCUUUGGUCAUGUUGUAUUGUUUACUUUGCACACUAACCAAAUGUCAAGGCCCUUUUACAUACAACUGGUUCUACCUUAGUCUUUGCAAUACCUUCCUAAGGUAGACCAAGUGAUCUUGUAGAGUGUAGUUGUAGAUCACUAUAUCGUCCAAAUAAUACACCACAAACGAGUCUAGGAAGUCAAAUAAGAUGUUGUUUAUGAGGUUGCAGAAAGCGGCAAGGGCAUUAAUCAACCCGCAAUGCAUGACCAAGAAUUCAUAGCUACCAUACCAAGUCAAACAAGUUGUCUUUGCAUCAUCUCUUUAAGCAAUGAAAACCUGUCAAUACCCUAAUCAUAGGUUUAUCUUGGUAAAAUACUCCACUUCACAAAUUGAAGAAGUUUGUGUGUGUGUGUGUGUGUUUGUAUAUAUAUAUAUAUUAUGCCAUAGCUUUACAUGCCAUCUACUUGUCUCCAUUUCAACAUUUGAUCAUCACCCAUGGAUGCAUUAUUCUAACUAAAUCCACUUCUCCUUCUUUCAUCCUCUUUCCAUUUUGCAUUAGAAUUAAUCCAAUUAACACCACAUAUUGCUUCUCCGUUACCCCACAUUGGUAUAUAUGCAAUGAACUUUUUGGUUUUAGCUCCAAUGUUUUAGCUACAAUUAGGGCCAACUUUAUAUUAUUAUGUACCUCAAAAUUAAGCAUUGAAUAAUGCACCCUACUCAUCUCCAUUUGGUUCAAAUGGCUUGUUGUUGUUCAAAUUCAUAGUCUCUUCAAUAUCUUGUAGUUUUCAUGAAUUCCAUUUGGAAGACCAAACUACACAUGUAUUUUACAAAUAGUAAGCCUGAAUUUACAACCAACGAUCUAACAACUACACAAAGAUUUAUAAUUUCAAUAAAAUCACACAAUAUUUAUGCCACCUAAUUCAAUAUUUUGAGCACCAGGGAGUGAGAAUUAAUGGUAUUAGAAUAUUUAGGUAUCUUGCAGUAUGGUUACAAGUUAGUUAAAUAAUUGUUAGCUUGUUAAAUAAUCGUUAGUUGCUUUUUCUAUUUUUUUUUUUUUUGUUUGCAACUGGUAAACUAGUAGGUUGUGAUAGCUUUUUUACCAAUCUUUAUUAUAAAGGCUUUCUUUGUAUUACUAAAACAUCAAGUGAGAAUAUUCUAAAAUUAUCAGAGAACUCAUUUUCUCUUCUUUCCUUUCUCUAGUCAAUUUUCUAAUAUGGUAUUAGAGUCAUUUCUUUUGUCUCUGUGACUUCUCUAACUUUCCCCUCCCAUUUAUCUAAUGGCUUGCGGUGGUGGCAAUGUUAAUGCCAAUCGAGCAGUAGUUAGUACUCCUAAUUCCUCUAUAAUGGAAUAUUCGAGCAGUCCAUUUUUCAUCCAUAGUAAAUAUCACCAAGGCUUGGUUCUUGUCUCAUAUCAACUUACUGGAGCUAACUAUAAUUCCUAGAGUAGAUCUAAGCACAUGGCUCUUAUAGCUAAGAACAAGAUCAGCUUGGUUGAUGACGCUUUUCUUCAACCUCCAACAGACAAUCUCAUUUCCUUUGUUUGAAUCCAUUGUGAUAGUAUGGUUACAUUUUAGAUCUUGAACUCUAUUUUUAAAGAUAUUGUUGAUAGUCUUCUCUAUGCUAAUAGCACUUUUAAUGCUUGGGUUGAUCUUUAUGAUUGAUUCCACCAAAGCAAUGUCCCACAAAUCUUCUAAAUCAAGAAGCACGUAGUUGUUCUUGAGCAAAGAUCUAUGGAUGUCAACACAUACUACACUAAGCUCAAGGUCCUCUAGGAUGAGCUCAAAAAUUAUCAACCCAUUCUUGUCUAUCACUAUGGAGGCACAAAGUCUUGGUUAGACACCAACAAUAGGAGUACAUCAUGCAAUUUCUUAUGGGUUUGAUUGAGUCAAAUGCUCAAACUUGAACACAGAUCUUAAUGAUGUCUUUGCAUUAGUUGUUCAAGAAGAAUGCCAAUGUACUAUCAAUUAAGGCUUUUUUUUACUUACCGAUUCUCUUAUUCCCAACAUUUCAAAUUCCUUUACUUUUGUUGCAACAACAAAUUUUUCUCGAAAUUCAACUUUAAAACCUAAGCGUGAGUGACCCUAAUGUUCCCAUUGUGGCUUGCAAGGACAUAUUGUAAAUAAAUGCUAUUAGUUACAUGGCUAUCAUCCUGGCUAUAAGUCAAAAUCAAAGAAACCUGAAGUAAAAAAUUCAAGCCACCUAGGCCAAUGCAACUAUUAAUGAGACUAUUAACUUUGAUUCAUCCCUUGGAUCUCUUACUUUAGCUCAGUGUCAUCAAUUGCUUGCAUUCUUGAGCUCUCAACUUCAUACCAACUUUCUUAUUAUGCUAGAAUCUCAAUAGCUAGAACCCUUUGUUUCCCAGUUCAAUGGUAUACUAUCUUUUUCUUCUAUAUCAUAAUUUUCCAAUUUCUUUUUCCAUCUGGAUUUUGGACAUAGAAGUCGCACAUCAUGUUUGUUGUUACUUAAGCACAUUUACACAAUCUACUCCAGCACAAAAUUCUUUUGUAACUUUGCCUAAUAGUCAAUCUGUUGUUAUUAAUCGUAUUGGUUAUGUAUUUUUGUCUCCUGAUCUCAUCCUUAAUAAUGUCAUGUUUGUUCCUAAUUUCCAUUUCAAUCUUCUCUCUAUUAGUUCUCUCACUCAGAGUUAUAAAUCUUCUAUUAAUUUUAUGGUUGAUUCUUGUACUAAAGGCCAUACAUGGACCAAAACGAUUGGGAUGAGUAGAAGACAUGGCAGCCUAUACUUCUUAAAUAUAGUCAAUUUUCAUGCCACUACACCACAAAUUUUCAGUCCUUGUAAUAAUGUUUCUUUGUCUCAAAAUGAAAUUUGGCUUUACUGUUUAGGUCACCUUUCUUAUGUAACGUUACAAACACUCAAAGAUGAAAUAGAAGUUAAACCAAAUUUUGGUGAUUCAAGUCAUUGUUUAGUUUUGCAUUUAGUCAAACAAUGCAAAUUACAUUUAUUUCUCACAAUUAUUUGUCUGUUUUGCCUUUUCAACUCAUACAUUGUGAUGUUUAGGGUCUCCUUCACACAUUUACCAUUGAAGGUUAUAGAUAUUUUUUACUAUUGUUAAUGAUUGUACUCAUUUUAUUUGGGUGUAUCUUUUGCGUGCUAAGCCUGAUGUUACCGAAGUUAUUCCUAAUUUUUUUUUUCUCAUUGAUUCAAACUCAGUUUAGAACACAAAUAAAAUUAGUUCACUCAGAUAAUGCUCCUGAAUUGGCAUUUUUUUUACUUCUUUCAUUCAAAAUGAGUCAUCUCAUUUCAUUCUUGUGUUGAUUAGCCUCAACGGAAUUCAAUAGCAGAAAGAAAGCAUCAACAUAUCUUAAAUGUUGUAUGGUAUUUAUGUUUCCAAUCGCAUAUUCCAUUGGUUUAUUAGGGGGAUUGCAUUCUUAUUAUUGUACACUUAAUAAAUAAAACUCCAUUCCCACUUUUGUCCAACAAAACAACAUUUGAACUUCUUUGGAAAAAGAAGCUUGCAUAUUCACAUCUUCGUAAUUUUGGUUGCCUAUGUUAUGCAUCUACUUUAGAUCGUCAUAGGACAAAUUUCUCACCUCAUGUCAUUCCUUUUGUCUUUCUUAGGUACCCACCUGGUUAUAAAGAAUACAAAUUAUUGAAUCUAGUCACUAAUUCUGUGUUUAUCUCCCAUAAUGUGGUAUUUCAUGAGUCUAUAUUUUCUUUCAAAACUACUCAAACUUAUUCUCCUCUUCCAGAUAUUUUCUCCGGCUAUUGGGUGCAAAUAGGUGUACAAAAAUAAGUAUAGAGUUGAUGGAACUAUUGAACAAUACAAAGCUCACCUUGUAGCUAAAGGCUGCACACAACAAGAGGGCAUAGACUAUCUAGGUACCUUCUCUCAUGUUGUCAAAUUGGUUACUGUUAAGGUUUUGCUUGCUUUGGCUACCAUUAAUGGUUGGAGUCUUCCUUAGUUGGAUGUCAAUAAUGCGUUCUUACAUGGUGAUCUUUUUAAGGAAGUUUAUAUGACUAUGCCUCCUAGUUAUCACUUAAAGGAAAAUCAUUAUCCUCACACUCUGUUUACAAAAUUCAGAAGUCCUUGUAUGGCUUGAAACAAGCAUCACGACAAUGGUUUUCCAAACUCUCCAAUUUCUUACUUGUUAAAGGUUUUUAAACAUUCUAAUGCAAAUCACUCUCUUUUUGUCAAAGUUGUUAGUACUUACUUCAUUGCUCUAUUAGUUUAUGUGGAUGACAUUGUCAUUGUUAGUAAUAGUGAUGAGCAAGUUGAGAAAUUAAAAGUUCUAUUUAGGAAAGCUUAAAUACUUCUAGGGCCUUGAGGUGGUGAGGUUUAAUAAGGGAAUUUCCCUUAGUUAGCACCAUUAUGCCUUACAAUUACUAUCAGAUGUAGGCUAUGUUGGUUGUAAAACAAGGAAAACACUUAUAAAUCCAUAGAAGAUCUUUUAUUUUACGGAAGAAUGAUAGGCAAAUUGGUUUAUCUAACCAUAGCAAACCCAGAUUUAUCAUUUUCAGUACAUAAAUUCAAUCAAUUUCUUGCAAAGCCUAGAGUUCUUCAUAUGUGGGCAAUACAACAUGUGCUUCAGUACUUGAAAGCAUGGUUUGAAAUAUUGGUAAACACGGAUAUAUCGAUACUUGGAUUUUAUGGAUAUAUUGGAAAUAUUGGUAAAAUAUCGGUAAAUAUUAAUAAAAUAUCGGUAAAUAUUGGUAAAAUAUCGGUGGAUAUUUUGACAAAAAUAUUAGUGAAACAAAAAUUAUUCAAAAUUCAUGGAAAUGUUUGGAAAACUCUAAAAAAAAAAUGAUAAAAUAAGCAAGAAUACAUAUGUUAAAGUUAUUGUAAGUGGAAUUGACAUAAGUAUGGUCAAUGAGAAAAAUAUUGAGGGAUAUAUCAGUCUUAAUAAUUUAUUAUUUAUCUUAUCAAAUUAAUUUUAUUUUAUAAAAUAUUAGAAGUUCAUUAUUUUUUUAUUUUAGUAAUUUUUUGAAUAAAUUUAUAUUUUUAAUAUUUUUAAAAUAAAAAAAUUCAAAAUCAAUAAAAUUAAAAGGAUAAACAUAAAAAAAAAAAAAAGUGAAAUGAUAGUAAUUUCUAAAAAUAAGAUUAAUGAGAUAAAUGAUGAUACAUUUAAUAUUAAAACUAUAAUUUAUUUAAUUCAAAUACAUUCAACAAUGUAAAAUAAAUUAUGAUGCAUAUAUAAUUUUUUUUAUAUUUAUAUUUAUUUUUAUAUAAUUGUCAUAUAAAUGAUAUAAAAUAAAAUAAAAUAAAAGACUUAUUAAGAAAAUUAUAAUGAUGGUUUUAUACUUUUAUCAAUUAAUUAAAUUAAAUAAUUAGAAUUAAUUUAUUUAUUCUUUUAAUGAUGAAUUUUAACAUAUUUAUUGUGAACAUAUAUUUACAUAUGUGGACUUGGCCCAAUAGUAGCCAGGCUUCACCCAAGCCUUUUGGCCUGGGUUUGAAUCCCCUUGGAUGCAAUAGAAAAAAAUUUGAAGGAAUUUACACGAAUAUCGGCAUCUUUUCGAUAAAGUCGAUUGACUUUCAGUGUGCAAUAUCAUGUCAACUCUCCUUGAUAUUUUGACGAUUGACUUUCAGUGUGGAAUAUCUUGUUAGCUCUCCCUAAUAAGCAAAAUAUCGACAAUAUUUCACCAAAAUUUUGCAACAUUUCAAUGUGGAAUAUCAUGUUGACUCUCCCCAAUAUUUCAACAAUUGACUUUCAGUGUGAAAUAUUGUGUUAGCUCUCCCUGAUAAGCAAAAUAUCGACAAUAUUUCACCAAAAUUUUACAACAUUUCAAACCGUGCUUGAAAGUUAUGCAGGACAAGGUUUAUUUUAUUUUAUUUAUUUAUUUUUUUCAUUAAUAGAGUUGAAAGGGUUUGUUGAUUCAAAUUGGGCAACUUGUGUGGUCUGUUAGUGGGUUUUGCUUUUUUUUUUUUUUUUUUUUUAAUUAUUGGUGAUUCCUUAAUUUCCCAGAAAUAAAAAGGCAGCAUAUAGUUUCAAGAUCUUUUGUUGAAGUUGAGGACAGAUUUAUGGCAAAUGCAACAUGUGAAUUGAUGUGAUUACUUUCUUUAUUUAGAGAUUUGCAUGUAUCUCAUCCUAAGCCUGCCUUGCUAUUUUGCAACAAUCAAGCAACUCUUUAUAUUGUAGCUAAUCCAAUUUUUCACAAGCACACUAAGCACAUUGAGAUCGAUUAUCACUUGGUUAGAAAGAAACUGUAAAAUGGAAGCUUGAAGACACUACAUAUUUCAUUUAAACAUCAAGUGGGGGACUUGUUGACCAAACCUUUUUCUUCACCUCAAUUUCAUUUUCUUCUUAGUAAAAUGGGAAUUCACAACAUUCAUUCUCCAUUUUGAGGGGGAGUAUUAGAAUAUUUGGGUAUCUUGCAGUAUGGUUACAAGUUAAGUAAAUAAUUGUUAGUUUGCUAAAUAAUUGUUAGCUUCUUUUUCUAUUUUUUUUUUGUUUGCAACUAGAUGUGUCUAUUCAAUAACUUCAUAUGGUUAUAGUUAAUUAAGAAUCCUUUACGUAAUAACUAUUAAAAUAAUUUGUUUCCAACUUUCCUAUUAAAUUUUCUUCUGCUUAGUAUUUCAAAAAUUAUAGUUCAAGAAAGCUCUUUCGAUUUCUAUGUUGCACUGUAUCUUCUUAUAUGUUAGUACAAAUCAUACUCCUCUUUUUACCUCUUCAAUGAAUCCUUUUAGGAGUAAGACCACCAAGUGAGCACCCUUAUAUCGAUCCACAAGCUUUUUAUUACAUAUUUUUGGUUUGUGCACACCACCUCAAAUUUAAGUGGCCCAUAAAUUUUAUACUUUGGAUACCUUACCAUCCAAUCAUAAGCAUAAACUAAAUUUGAAAGGAUAAGUUUAGUUUAUUUUAGAGAAACUGAGCUCCAAGUCCCCUAGCCAAACAUGAAGUUUUGAAGCAUGAAAUUUUUGUGAUGGAACAUAUUUGCAAUCCUUAUUAAAUUGACCAAUUGUGUUAUGCUAAGAAUGCAAAUUAUGCAUGGCAAAGUGGUUAGAAAGUGUACAAAUGCACCAUCUUUUUACUUGUUUUUUUACUCAAAUUUCUCUGUCAAUUUUUUUUUCAUUCUUAUCCUUCUUAAUUGAGGCAAACAUGUUUUGGCUAGUGCUUUCAAAUGCCUUAAAUAUAUUCUUUUCAAUAUUGUAAACAUUUGGCUUGGUCAUUGUUAUAGUUAUCAAUUGUGUCAACUUUUACUUUCUCUCAUCCCCAAUUACAUAUGCACUUUGUAGUUUUAAAUUUUUUUUAGUGAUUAAUCUUAGUUUUUAUCUAAUUGUUUGCCCUAUAGUCUCUGACAUAACUAUAAGUGGAACAUGCACCUCUCACAAACCAAAAGACAUCACUUGUCUUCUUUAAUUUAAACAUUUUUGCAUCUGUGUAAGAUUUGAAACUAGAAUUUCACAAUAUCUCAUAGUCAUCUUCUCUAGUUGUUUCUCAAAGCUCUCUUCAAGAUUUAGUUCAUGUUCAAUUACCAACUUUGAGUUUUCAAUUUUAUUUUAUUUUUUCCUACAAGUCAUGAGGAAAUGAAUUUCAACUGUGUUUCAUCUAUCCAUCUCUCUUAAAUUGUUUUAUUCAAUAGUUACCAAUUGUAGAAUUGUUUUUAUAUAUUCUUUUCAUAGAUAUUGUUAAUAAAUUAUGCUAAAUGAGUAGCUUCCUGAUGUGGUGAGAGCUAAUUUUAUUAUUGCUAGGAUAAUAUAUUUUUAACUUUCUUGACUUUUUCCGAAUUAUAAACCACUCAUGCUUUGACCAAUCUCCAUGUGUUUUUCAUUUGUUUGGAUUUAUGGGCUUUUGAUUCUAUUUAGUGAAUAGAUAAUAAGGAAUUAAGGAUCUGAGAUUGACAUUAUUUUAAGGAUGUUUGAAGAUGGCAUAGUGAAGUAUAGAAUAUUGUUUUGGGUUGUAUCUCCUCGUUUCUCAUACUUAUGGUGGACAUUGAUGAGUUGGAUUAUUUGAAUGAAAUGAGCUUUGGAAAAAUACUAGUAAUUACAUGAAUUGUUGCAAUAUAUUUGAGUGAAAAUAUUAUGUUAGUGUCUCUCCAUGUCACUAAUUCAAACCUGUGACUUUCCAUUGUAAGUGGUAGAAAUAUAUCUUUUAUUUUCUAGAAAACAUUACUCUAACUUGUGAAAAAGGUUCUUAUGCCUCCAUGUUAAAUGUUAUAUGAUGGAAAAAACCUGAAUCUCUCUGUUUCCUCAAUCUGGAUCAAGUUAGGAAUAUGCAUAACUAUCCUAGGCUUUUUCUAAAUUCUAUGCACAACAAAAAAUUAAUUUUUUUUUAUACUUUAUAAGGAUCUAGAAAGUGCUAACGAAAACUAUACCUCAAAUUCGAAUGUUCCCGAGUCUUUCGCCCGAUGACUCAAACCUUGAUCUUGGCACACUUCUAAUGGGGAGGAAAUAAGGGUGGAGGCUAUAGUUCUCUAUCUCUCUGGAUGGUGGAAGAUAAAAUCCAUGGAAACCCUAACCUCUAGGGGGUAUUUAUAGGGUUCCUAAGUUGGCUUAAGUGACUUGAGCCCAUACAGACUUAGGUCACUUAAUCUAACCAAAAAUGAGUUCUAAUUAAUUAAUUAACCCAAUAAGGCCUACUAAUUAAUCAAUUAGCCCAAUCAAGAGACCUUGUUCACUUACCCCUAUACAACCUUGCGUAAUUAUCAAAAUGCCCUUAUACACAAAAGUGAACUUAGAGUCAAUUCAACCCUCAUAACCCAUGCUAACAAGGUGUAUGAGUUCAAAGCGGGGACCAUUGGGACCCAUAGAAAUACUGACUCCCUCAAAAUCCAAUUCUAAAGUUGAUUCAAUAUCACACUACAGAGAAUCAACUAAACUUCAAUAUCCUAUGUAAAUAACAACGAGACACUAAGUGAUCGGGUCUAUGACUUGCUAUCCAUUGUGUUCAGUCUCCCCAUGAACUAAUGUCUGUCGUUUAAUAAGGUGAAAGCUAUUAGUCUUUCAAGACUACCUCUACCUCCUAUUUUGUGUUCAAUUGACAUAUCUUAGUUCUCAAAUUGCCUAUGUCAAGUUCCAUUUAAUGAACUACAUGACCAUAGUUUCCAUGAAUAUACCUCCUUAAGAUCACCCAAGGGGACACACUGUCUCAAUCCCAAGAGAUAUCAUAGUGCCUCUAUUGAAAAUACCUAUUACUACCAGCUUCUACCAAUAAUGAUCUAAUCCAUAUGGAAUAUAUGAUCAACUUCCGAUUUCACCCGUAGGUCAAAGUCAUUGCCAACUUUAGCACAAGCUCAAUAUUCUCUCAAGGUUGAGAGACAACACAAUGAAACAGCUUGGUGAGGUCAUGACUCAAUAAUAGCCUUAAGUCAUGACUCACCAUAGGUCUUGUCCAAUGUGUAACCAUACACACUAGUGCACUCACCAUAGGAAACCCAUCCCGAUAACCAAGACCAGUGAUCCCUCCAAUUAGGAGGUGGUGCACUACAACCUUUAAUGGGUUGCCUAGACCCAUGAACCAGUUGUGAACAAGUCAUCUAUUUGCAAAGAACCCAUGACUUAGAUCUCCUGUGCAACUCCUAAUGCACCUAAGUCACGUACAAUAGAAAAAAUGCAGACAAAAAGGCUCAUAAAGUAUAAUAUAUGGAAUAAGAAUAUAUAAAAGUGAAACUGGAACAUCAUUAAAUAAAUAAUGAAUUCUAAGUUUAUUACAUCAUGUCAUGCUUUUAAGGGCUUUAUCCUAACAUUAUGUAUUUGAGAUAAACAUGAUAUAAUGAGAUUUAUAUUUCUCUGUUAUAAUAUUUCAAUAAGUAAUUGUGUUUUAAUUUUAAUAAACUAUGCUUGCAUGAAACAAUUCAAGUAUCAUUGGCAUCAUUGUGAGACAAAAGUUUCUCUUAUUACAUAUUAAAGAGAUUUAAGUUAUCAAAAAGUGAAAACGGUUUUAUCUAGGCUAGUUUCAAGUUGACAACUUUUAAAUUGUUUAUCAUGUGAUAAAGAACUUUUCCCCACAAAUGAUACUUGAAUUGUCUAAUUAAACAGUGUAGGAAAACAUAAUAUCUAUGAAGUUAAUUGUUUGUUCUUAAUUCAAUUUUUAUAAAUUUUGGUAGUCUUUUCUCUUAUUCUCUGGGUGCAUAUUUGGAUAAAGUUGCAUAGUAUGUCUUGUCCAUUUUACAUACUUAGAGAACUAUAGGGAAAUUCUACUAAAAUUUCUUUAAAAUGAAAUUGACCACAUUGGUCAUUGACACAUAGAGAUUAUGUAUUUCUAUAUGGGAUAGGAACUACUACUGAAUUUAGGAUGUUGGAGAUGUUAGAAUGCAUAAAACAUGCAUCGAAAUUUGACAUACUCAAAUGAUUUUCUUGUGUUGCUUAAGGAGUUUAUUGAGAAAAUUGGUAUAGACAAUGUUUGAUGCAAAGGUCAUGGACAAACCCAAUAUAAUAAUAUUAAUAUGAACUAGUUUUAUUGAGGUUAUACAUCCCUUUUAAUGCAAGUAUUCAUGGUCAACAACAUUUAUAACUUAUUAGUCACUACUACAAAUAAGAUAUACCAUGACCUUGUUUUUUCCCUGGCACUUUUAAAAAUGUUAAUAAUUAGCGUGAUAUUUGAAAAGUGUAGAUCUAUCUUCAUAGAUCAAAAUGGUUAGAACAAUGCUUACUCUUUUUCUUUUAAAUUUGGCAUCUUAACAAAUGUUAAACUACAUUUUCUUGAUUAUUAUUUGAACAAAAAAAAAAAAAGAGGUUGUUAAACGAAUAGCAUAGAAAAUGUUGUUAUUUUCUUCAAUUUGAAGUUUGAUCACUAUUGAAAGUUUGUUCUUAAAAAAUGGAUCGUUUGUGGAUUUCAAAUGAUAGAGGAUUAAAGGAGUAUGAGGAUGGGGUAGAACAUUUUUAUCACAUUUGCAAUAUAAAAUUCUGCAUAUAAAAACUCCAUUAAGUGUCCAUGCUUGUAGAGUGGUAAUAUGAUAUUUCAUACUCCUCAAAGAUUUCCUCAAAAGAUUAGAGAGCAUAUGUUUUUCUAUAGAAUUAAUUAGAAUUACCAUAUAUGGUAUUGGCAUGGGGAAGCAACUCCAAGUGAACCGCCAACUAGAAGGGUAGAACAUUAUAAUAUGGUUCAAUUUAAUGAUGUAGAUAGUACAAUAGAAAUGGUUGAAGUUGUACAAGUUGAAUGUCAAAAUGACCUAAAAUUGCUUAAAAGAUUACUUCAAAUUGUUGAAAAACCUUUUUAUAUCAUAGUUGUAGAAAAUUCACACAAUUGUUUGCAUUGGUUAAAUUAUACAACUUGAAAACACACUAUGAGUAGUCUGCUAAAAGUUUUUCAGAGCUUUUAAAAAUGCGUAGAUAUAUGCUGCCUCUAAAUAAUGAGUUACCCUUAUCUAUGUAUGAGGCAAAAAUGGCAUUGAAUACAUUAGGAAUGGAAUAUGAAAAAAUACACACAUGCCCCAUGAUUGUAUACUUUAUAAGAAUAAGUUGAAAGAUGCAUUUCAUGUCCUAUCUAUGGAACUUCAAGGUGAAAGGUAGAUAAUAUAGGAACUAAAAAAAUGACGAGAGCUCCUGGGAAAGUAAUGUGGUAUUUUCUUCCAAUUCCAAGAUUUAUAAGAAGGUUUCAAUCAUCAAAAAUCGUAAAAGACCUCUUAUGGCAUACCUAAGGAAGAGAUUUAGAUGACAAAAUGUGUCAUCCGGCUGACUCUCUAUCAUGGCUAAUUGACCAUAAAUGGCCCAACUUUGUUUCAAAACCUAGAAACUUGAGACUUCCCAUUUUAGCAAAUGGUAUAAAUCCUCACAAUUCAUUGAUUAGCAAAUAUAGUUGUUUGUCCUAAAGAGCUUGAAGCAGUAACUAUGGACAAUGUUUUUUUUUUAUCAUAAAGAGCAAGUUAUGGGCUACACUAUGGCUGCAGAUAGAGGUAAAACCUUUAACUUGUUUUUAGUUUGAUUUUUGUUUUCUUUCAUAAUGGAAAUAGAAAAUCAUCUAAACGAAUAGGACCUUAAUAAUUUAUUUUUUAUUCUACAAUUUAUUUUUGAAUAAAAUAAUUUAAAAGAUUUCAUUCUUAUAUUUGUUAGACUUUUUUUUUAAUGAAGAAAAAAAUAGUCUCCCUUUUAGCAUAUAUAUUAUAUAUGAUUAACAAUGGGUAUAAUAAAAUUUAUUUAAUAAAUAAUUGAUGUGACAUUCUAAAUUGAAAGUCAUAAAUUAGCUCAUUUGUUUGAUGUUGUCCCUAAAACUACAAGACCUGAUUACAUACUUAGAUUUUGUUCUUGAAAUUUAAGAGAUAAUUGAUGUGACAUCUUGAAUUGAAAGUCAUAAAUUAGCUUAUUAGUUUGAUGUUGGCACUAAAACUACAAUUCCCAAUGACAUAAAUUUUGUUCUUGAGAAAUGUCAUUAUGGUUCAUAGUAAGGCUUAGUUUGGUGUGUCAGACCAUGCAUGCAUGAUAUCUUUUCACAUUCUCUUGCUUUUUGACAAACAUGCUACCAUACUCAAGGUGUUUGUCAAGGCUCAUCUUGGACUACUCAAAACUUUAGGGUCCUUUCUUUGAGUUCACAAGCUUCUUUCCCCUAGUGUUAACCCCAACUCCCAAAAUCCACUCCUUAUUAGUGCACUGACGAAAUCUACAAAUGCACCAUAAAGUGAGAAUGACAUCAUGAAAAUGUAUUAAUGCAUCUUAGAUAUGGGAACUUAAAAAAAAAAAAAAAAUCUAGAGUUUAGACUUGUUUCUGUUAAUUAGAAAUUACUAAGCAAUGAAUCUUGCUAGUGUGGAAAGCACCAAUAGAUUGACCAAGGAAGGUAUAUAUAAAAAAGAUUGACAUUGUCAAUUGGGAAAAUUCCUCUGCAAACGCCAAUCCUAUCUUUCUAACCAUCAUGGAUGUUGAGAAGUAGAUAUCGAUGACUAUGAUGAGGAUCACAAAGGAUUAUCAUACCAAGGAGUUAGACAUUUGUUGGGUUAUCAACAAUUUUAAUGAAGGUGGUAUUAACUAUUUGGUUGUUGAUAGUGUAUUGCGUAGUUCAACCAAGCCAAUCUGCUCCUACAUUGAGAUCAAUCUCGAUGAAAAGGUAGCAUAUAUUUUUCAUUUCCUAAUUAUAUCAACUGCUUCAUGGUGCCUUUGUCUGAUAAGCUUAACAGGUUCUUCUACAUUUCCACCCUCUAAUUCUCUAAAGUUCAUCAUGAUAGGGUUGAAAUUUCAUCAUCAAAUCAAAACACAUCCUCCUAUAAGAGGCCUUUGAAUUCUGAAAUAAUCAAUUCACUUGAUUCUCAUAUUGGCAAAGACAAGCUUACACUAUUGGAAAGACUACCCAUCACCUUUGCCUUCCCAAAUAGAAAAGAUGAGAGAUAACAUUUCACAAAAUCACAAGAAUUAUUCAAGUUUGGAAUUCAUAGGCAUUGUUAUUGAAUUUCAUUUGUAUAAAAUUGGUGUGUUGUGUUUAUUUUGUUGGUAUUAAAAUUGAAUUUUUUUAAUUGCAAAUUGAUGAUUUUUUUUUCUCACAUUUAUACCCAUUAGAGUUUCUUAUUAGGGUUUGUGUUUGAAAUUUGGAGAAAGUAUGGUGCAAUUGUUCACCAGUGUGGUGUACCAUUUUGUUUGUUGUAUCUGAUCUUUGGGUAUUUGAUUUAAUUUUAUUGUUGUUGAAAUUGAAAGUUGAAAUCCAAGUUAAAUGUUUAACUAGAUAUUUGUAGUUGACUUGUUUGCACCGAUCUUGAUUGCCCAUUUCAUGGGAAUAAUUCAUUCCAAUUUUCCUUCAUGAUUACUAAAAAUAUAUUGUAGGUGAAGGACUAUUAUGGAGUAUAUUUAAUUCACAAGAUUGAAUAUUGAACAAAGAUAUGCCUUAGGUCUAGCUUAUAUGGAAUAGCAUAUCUUACAUUUAGUUAAUUAAAUAUACUAUACAAAUUUUGGUUAUAUAUAAUAUCUAUGUUACAAAUUUGGAUAAUUCGAAGUCUAAGUGACUUCAUAUAAUUAUUGUUACAUCUUAAAAAUGAUUUCACAAAUUAGAAUUACAAUGACUCCUACAUAUCUUAGAUUCUAACUCAAAUUCUCACUUGAUUUUAUUUUAUUUUUAUUUUUUUGUUUUCAAUCAAUUAAUAAUAUGUUAUGGGCUAGUUUAGCUUAUAGUUGAGAUGAAUUUUAUCUAAGAGCACCUCAAUUUGAACCAAAUUGAAGAAAAAAAUGACUUAUUAUACCUUAUGAAAGAUAAUAUUAUUAAUUUCCAUGUUUUUUUUUCAAAUAACCUUUUCAUGACAUGAACUUAUAUGGAACAUUGUUGUAUUAAUUGAUUAGGAAAUCACUAAGCCUAAGAAAGUGAGAAAAUUUAAAAGGGAAGGAAUGUCACCAUUGCAUUUUAGCACAAAGGAAGAUGAUCUCUAGCUAUGACGAAAAUUCAAGAAAUGAACAAGUUCCAUUAAAGAUGAAGGCACAAUUGGGUGACAUUUAAAAAAAAUGUCAAAGGAAGUUAUUGUUUUAGCUACGGAUAUGUUCUUUUUUUUUUUUUUUUUUAGACUUCUUGUGUUACUCAUAUAUGUAAUAUGCAAUGUGAUUUCUCUUUUAUAUUAUAAAUUUAUUACUCUUAGCACUUCAUUUAUGGGAUAGAUGAAUAAUAAUUACUUUAAUUUUAUUUAAUUGUUGGAUAGUUGUUGGAUGGAUAAAUAAUUGUCAUUUCUUUAUAUUUGAGUUAUUUCAAUAUCAAAUGCCAAUUAAAAUAAAAGAGCAAUAGGUGAAGCUAAUUUUAGAUUGUCACAAUCCUUGGCACUUCCACUAAGUGUCAAGGUUUAGAGCAAUCAACAAUGGAAAAGGUGAACGAUGAUGCUUCCAAAAAGCGUCAAGGUUAUUUCAUCUUCAACAAUACCAGUUUUUGUAAGUGUCAUUAUUUACAAAAUCAACAAUAACAUUGGCAAAUUGGUACGCCUCAAUGCUUCUAAAAAACAUCAUUAUUUGUUCCAUAUUUACAAUGACGCUUUUAAAAGUGUCAACAUCGCUAAACACUCUUUACAAUGACACUCGAUUUCAUGGUGCUUUUAAGAAGUGUAAUUGUUUGUAAAAACUUAUUAUGACAAGCUAAGAGAUGACACUGCGGAGAAGUGUCAUUGUUUGUCUUUCUUGACAUUGUUUGUCUUUCUUAACAGGUAAAAAGUGUCAUUAUUGAUCGAUUUUUCUUAUAAUGAAUCCAAUUGGUUGUGAUUGAGUUAAUGAAAUGAUCACCAACUUUUUUGCAACCAUACAACACUACAUAACCUUAAUACCUAUUGUUCAUUAUGAUGUUGUAAGAACAUAUGCCUUUAUGUGACCUAUUAAAUAAACUGGUCUUAUCAACUGAAAAAUGUUCCUCUAGUUAGUAAAAACUUCAUUCAUGUGGUCAUUUAUUAGCAUCAUAAUAAUCCAUAUUACAAAUAUUUAAAAACAUUAAUGCACUAAAACAUUGAUUUCAUCAACAAAAAUACACUCAUUCUUUUAACUUAUAGCAUUCAAAGAUGUUUAAAAAUAUAUAUGUACAAUAAAACAUCAUCAAAUUUAUUAACAAUUAAACUUUUAACCCCAAAACAAUCCGUUACUUUAGUAGAUAAGACACUAUUUGGAAUAACAUUAUUUUUAGCUCAAGUUAGAAGUUAAAAUGAUAAGGUUAAAAGAACAAAACCAACAAAAAAAAAAGUUAUUUUUUGUCAAACUUGACACUAGUUCAAGUUAGAUAAUGUAGCUCAAUGCCCUAUUGAAUUGAGUCAUAUAACUAAACUCCCUAAUUAUUUAUUAUGAUACACACACAACCUUUGGUUUAGUAUACAUGAUUAAAUUAAAUGCCCAACCUAGUUUGCAAAGCUAAAUUGGAAUCCCAAAUCUAGUUCAUCAUAAAUACUCUUCAACUGACUUGCUAUGGCAUUCAAAUAAGACAAUGACAAUGAUAGAAAACCAAAAAAAAUACCUAAUAUAUAAUUGAAAACUCCUUCCUAAAGGAGGUAAAAAAAAAUCAUGAAGUAACUUUCUUCUAUUAAUAAAAAAUGGGAAUACAAUGAUCUAUAUAGUGUUUUAACUCGAAACUUAUGGUACUACAAAUAUUAAAGAAGAAAUUUAAAACACACACACACACAACAAGCAUGUUGUCAAGCUUAUAAAAGUUGGAGAAAUCUCUGCAUACAAGUGUUCAAAACAUGAUGGAGAGUAACCUUGAUAUUUAAGUCAACAAUAUACAAGGAAAGACAACCCAAAAAGGUACAACUUUGAGAACAAACUCUCCUUUUUGCUUUUUCACAUAACCCCUUCUUUUUUUCUUUUUGAAAACUUCUCUCAUUUCCUCUAAUUGUUACACUAUACAACAAUCCUAAAAAAAUAGAGUUUAAAGGUCUGUUUGAUAAUCGUUUUUAAAAAUAAUUCUGAAAAAUAGUUUUUGAAAAUUAUUCUCUAAUGUUUAAUUUGUAGAACAAAAGUUUGUUUGGAAACCUAAAAUAUUUUUAACAUGUUUUUAAUGUUGUUAAAUAUGUUUUAAAAAUAAUUUUAUGUCUAGUAUUUUAUUUUUAAUCAUUCUACAUGUUUAUAUAAUUAUUUUUUAAAACAACUCUAAAAAAAUAAGUGAAAAUAACAUAAAACAAUUAAAAGAUGUUAUCUGAAAACACCUUAUUUUAUUAUAACAAAAAAUAAAAAGCGGUUUUUGGUUGUCAAACAUGUUUUCUUAGUUUUUUAUUCUGAAGAAUAGAAAAUUGUUCUUGAAAAUAGUUGUAAAACAAGAAUCUUUUCAUAUUAGUCUAGGUAUCACAUUAGUUAUUGCCCAUUUUAUGAUUUUAAUUAUUGCUUAAAAACUAGUCUUUCAACUAAAAAAGAAGGUCCACUACUUAUGGGUCAAACCUUCAACUUUCAAACCCCAACACAAAGUUAUAGUCAAGACUAAUAUUCACAUAUUAGUAUUAAUAUAGUUCAUUAAAUAUGAAUUUCUAUAGAAGGCAAAAUCAAGUUUUUAGGGGAAGUAACAUUCACUUUCAUAUUAAGCACUUUUUAACUCAUAAGUUAGUACUUGUAACAAAAUUUCUUAAUAGAGACUUUAAUUGAGUUUUAAGAAAAAAAAAAUUGUUUGUAAAAAACCAAUUCAAACAAAAUCUAAAACUAAUAUUAUUAUCUAAAAGGCAUAAUGAACAAAAUAAACCAUAAACUAAAGUGGUAGUGACAACCAGUAUGUAGCGUCCAUGAAUAAUUGAAAAUAGCCUCAUUUUCUAAUGACCUCGGACCUAGAAGCUCUAAAAUCCUUGCCUAAUUCUUUGUGAUGACUUUAGUUUAACCUUAAUGGCGAGGGCAAAAUUCUAAAUAAUUUUUGUCACAACUCAUAAAUUUAGAAGAAAAAAAUGAGAAUAAAUGGAAUCCCAAACAAGAAAUUGUUAUUUUUCUCUUUUAUGACAAAAAUCUACUACUAUUAUUUAAUAACGUGGGAAUUGUUCUUUCAACUUUAAUACCAUGUAUGACAUAACUUUAACAACCUUAAUUUAUAAGAUUAUUGAAUUUAAAAGGAUAAAACAAUUACAUAUUCAUAAGAAUCACUUCUAUUUUUUAACAACAAUAAAUUUCAUUUUUUGGACAAAAAUACCCUCCAUUGUUUUUAUCAACAUUUCACAAUCGAACACUUAUUGGAAAAAAAAAAAGGUAUAAGGGUAGCUAUAUUAAAAUGAGGUUAUAAUUAUAAUACUCAAUAAGUGGAGAUUGUUUUUCCAAAUAUUGGGAUCAUCUUAUCCAUUUGACACAAAUAUUUCUAAUUUAUAUUAUAAUUACUCUUAUAGUAAGAGAAAAAGAGUAAUUUCACAUGAAAUGGACCCAUAAACAUAGAUUUAUUAUGAGGCAUGUUACUAUAAUAAUAAUAGGAAAUAAGACGAGACAUGUUACCAUAAUAAUAGAAAAUAAGAUAAGUAAUUCAAUACUUAAUAAAGGUCUAAAACAAUUAUGCUUCUCAUUAAAUGAUAUUAAUGAUGGAAAAAAACUAAGGGGUGGUUAAUAAAACUUAAUAUUUAUUACUUAAGGAUUUAAGUUGACUUUAAAUUAAAUUAUGCUUAAAUUGUUAAUUUAAAACUUAUUAAUUCUUAUUUUAAGUAUUAAGACUAUUUAAUAAAAUUAACUUGAAAUUUAUUAAGACUAUUUAAUAAAAUUAACUUAAAAUUUCUUUUAAAUUGUCAAAUCGAUAUAUUUAUUUUCUUAAAUUAUAAUUAAAGUAAAGGACAUCAAGUAACAAUGGAUGUCAUGGAAUAGUGAAAGAGAUCUUAGAGGUAACGAGACAAAUUAUGGUAAAAAAAUGUUAAAUAAAAAUAUGAACUUAAAAAUAAAUUAAUUAUUUAUAUUUAUUACUUAAAGUUGUUUUUUAUUUUAUAUUAUUAAAUUAUUAAAUUAUUUUACUAAAUGUGUUUAAUUUAUUUAAUGACUUACAUUAAAUUACUUUAGGCUAUUAAAUCGGUUUACAAAUAAUAUCGAGUAGGCCCACAGACUGGAGAAUAUUGCUAUCAUAUGUUUUAUCACUACUUUCAUGUAUUAAGGUGCCAAGAAUAAUUCACCACAAAAUAUAUGAUAAGUUGAUAGUAUAGGAUACAAUCUAAAAAAUGCACUUGAUUUCAUCAUCUAAAUAAAUGCUCUUGGCAAAAUGGAUCAUCCUAGCUGAAACCAGAGCACAAGCCGUCAUGGACAGGAGGCAACGGAGAAACCCUUCUGCUUCUUCUUCUGCCUUUUCAUCUCCAACUUCAUCCUCAUCGCGUUUCCGCUCAGAGAAAUUCUCCUCGAAUCCCCCAAAAACUAGUAACUCCCUGGAGGAUGCUCACCAAUUGAAAAGCAAAUGUGGGAAGCCACAAAGACCAGAGCAAGAGGAGGAAGGAGAGCAAGAUCCGAACAAUCUUCUCUCCUUAGUUGGAACUUGCCCAUUCAUGUGCCCUGGUAAAAAUGCGUGCUUAUUUUUCCAUUUUUUUUAAUUCUAUUUUCCUGUUAUUCUGUGUUUGGUUUCCGAGAAAUUGGAGGAAAACAGUAGAAAAGAGAAGUGAAUCUGGAAUUUCUGUGUCAUUUUUGUUGCUUUUACAUAAAUUUUACAAAUAAAAUUGAUAUUUCCCCCCUUUAUUAGAUACCAAUCUGAAGAAGACGUAGGAAUCCCAAAAAAAAAUUCGCUUUUGCCUUUACUUCCCCCAAAUCUUUCAUAAUGGAAAAUGGACUUACCACCUCUUUUAUCACUUUUCCUUUACCAUGUCAGGUUUACAUGUAAUCAAACACUGUAUUUGGAGUAGAGCAUUUAUUCUAAUGUCAAAUGGUGUUGAAAACUUGAAUUACUGGAUCUUAAGACUCCAGAAGAAAUUUGAUUGUUUAUGAUUAUUGCUCCAUGAGAAGGGAAAGGGAUUUCUUUUGUUUUUGCUCACAUACAUGGCCAAAUUGAUUUAUCUCCUUCUCAUACGAACAAAAUAAGGACAUUUCUUGUCUUGCUGCCUUUUAUGCCACCGGUUCCACAUGCUGAUGUGACAACCCUUGUGCUAUUCUGUACAAAUGGUAGGAAAAUUCUGGUAAGACUGGUGGCCAGCCUAUCAUGUUCAGAGAAUAAAUUCAUUGUAUAUCUGGAAUUCACUCUAUAUCAGCAUAGGGUGUUGAUAUUGAUUAUAAAUGACUAAAUUCAAUUUAUUAUCCUUACAUUAGGGAGUGCUAAAAGGAUGCAAAUUGUUCAUGUUAUACCCAAAGACAUACAAGUGAUGCUAGAGAUUUUCACAAUGUAGAUAAUCAUAGAGUAGAGAUGAACACUAUGGAGUCUUUUGGCAUGUGUUCAUUCCAUGUAUGGGAACAUGCAUUGGAAGAUUAUGUUUCCUCCUCCCUCCCCUCCCCUCCCCAAAGUAAGUACUAUGUUGUCAUGGCAAGAACUUUGGUGACAUGCUUCUGAGUGGAAUAGCCUCCUAGAAGUCCAUUUAUGUGGCAAUUGGCAAGUUCUUCCAGUCAAUGAGAACUUUGUGACUGUCUGAUUGUUGUACUAAUCAUCAUCAGAUUUUUUUUAAGUUCAAGUUGCAAAUAGCCUUUCACAGUUGAAGGUAGCAAUGAAGAGGCCUGUUGACAUAAUUAUUUCUUCUGCUUGAAUGGAUUAAAAUCAGAUACCACACCUUCAGCCUAGAAAACUAUGGACUUUCCUAUGUACCUGCAAUUGGCUGAAUACUGGUGUGACACUGACCAAAGGCUCUCUGAUGCUGUUAUUAAUUUCCCGAGCAAAUAAGAGAAAACAGAGAGGUCAUAAUGUGAAUCAGUUACCUCUUGAGUAGGGAUGAAGGCUUUUUAUACCUUUUUACUUUCUGGUUAGGCCUUGGAAGCACUUCUGUGAACCAUGAUUUUGUACUGUAAAAUUAGAUGGGAUGGAUAGGUCACCUUAACUCUACUUUUGGAAGUGAUUGGGGAGUGCAUGACCGUAUGAAUAUUGAUGUAUUCUCCCCAUACAGAGCCCAACUUCUUUUUGAACUAGGAAGCAUGAAGGGUGGGUGCAUGUGGGCUGAGGAAGGAAGAUUUGACUUGUGUGCUGCAGGCCUGCAGUACCAAUUUGUUCCAGAACUUGAUAAGGCCCAUAAACUGGUAGGCAAGUUUCAUUAUUUGGUCACCACUGAAUUUCGGCAGUAUGGCCACAAGGAAGGUAGGAAGGAGAGGGAGAAGAGAAAGCCCCAAUUGCCAAUUGCAAUCUUCCGGUUGGCACAGUGCUCAUUUGCUGACAUUUCCAUUUGAUUUUAACCUUGAAACAGAUACAGCUUAACGUGAUGGACCAGUUUUUCACAAUCUUGUGAUUCAUUACCCAACUUCUAGUAACAGUUUCUCAGCAGAUGACUCACCCAUGACAGGCUGAUGAUGUCUGCACACAACUUGAAAGGUAUUUAUGCCAAGGUGUGAAAGGUAAUAUUGUGACACCAUUUUUCCUAUUCCAGAAAAUGUACCAAAUGUAUGGCUGGUUCUUGACCAAAAAAUGCUGGCAUUGGUCACCAAGUGCUAGGGUGAUUCUUGACAAAAAAUGUCGUAUUGUUCAGAACAAUGAUUUACAACUUCAGAUUGGCCAUCCAGUUAAUGAUGAUAAGCACUUGUUUUACAAAGUUCAGUGUCAUAAAAGCAAAAUAAUUUUGUCAACAAAUAUGGGGAUAACUUUAUCAUAAUUACUACUUAUGGAAUUUAAGGAUAAGUUGGGUAAUGUGAGAAAGUUUUGGUCAGAGGAUAUGAGGAUAACUUUGUUGCAAUUGCUAAGCUACACGUCCUAGGACUACUAGGAGAAAAGUAUGAGCAACAGAAUGAAUUUACAGUCCAUCCCCACUAGCUGCAUGGAGAGGUUGGGCUUAUUGCUGCUAUGGUGGAGGUCACCUUCUUGUAGACUUUGAAAUGUGCAAAUGAAGAGGCAGAUUUCUUAGAAGAAUGGGUAGGAUUCAGCUUGUGGUAGAUAUUGAGCUUAUCGCCUCUAAUUUCAUGUCUUCUCAAUGUGGAUUUGAGGUUUAACGAGAUUUUUGGGAAAUCAUUAAGAUUAAAAGUAAUCGAAGACUUUCACAUUAAUGAGGUAAUGAAUAACCACUGAUACUUCUUCACCCCAAAGUUCCUUCACAAAAAUUUGGUGAGUGAAGAACUAUUACUGAGUUGUGAAGCACCAAUUCCAGCUUCAUUAUCUUGAUCUUCAGAAAGAGGGAUCCAACUUGAUUUGGGAUUUUAUACCUGUCAACCCAGUCACUGGUUUUUAGGAGAAUACUUCCAAUUUACCCUUGGGUUGCUUUAGAAAGUUUCUUAAUAGUGCCAUCUCUCUAGCUUAAGGGGCUUUUGUUAAUGGAAGGCAAAUUCUAGAUGUGGUUAUCAUUAGUAAUGAAAUCCUAGAUAAAAAAUUCUGUUCUAAGGACGAAGGGAUGGUUUUUAAAAUAGGUUUUGAGGAAGUUUAUGAUCACAUAGAUUGGGGUUUCAUGUAUGAUACAUACUUUGAAUAGGGAAGGCCCUUGAACCUGGAUGGCACAAAGGGACUGGAUAUUUUGAGGUUGUUUUUCAAACUGCAGACUCUUUAAUGGUUAUUGAAGCUGAGUGAUUAGCACUCGAGGAAGAUUCGGACAUGGUUGUUUGCCUGGAUGUAAUGAACCUCCAUAUUGAAGGGGAUUCCUUUGUUAUUGUCUUAGAACCUUCUUUGAAGGCAAAGGUCCUUAGUGGAUUGCUCAUCAGAUGGGGUGGCUUCAUAAUCAUGCUAGAGACAUUGCUUGUUCUUCUCUAUUGAGGCCCAGAUCAGCUAGCCAGGUGCAUGGCUAUAUUUUUCUUAUAGGGAUGCUAAUAUCUGAAAUUUUUUAUUGAGAACACUUACCGCUCUUUGAUUGGUUUGAGGCAUGGAGCGGCUUUUCUGUUCUCUUCUUGCCAUACAUGCAUAUCAUCCCUCUUUUUUUAUCUUGUUUAACUCAAUAAAUUCUCAUUUGUUAUAAGGAAAAAAAGAGAUAUUAUGUUACAUGAUGGAAGGACUUUAUUCUGUUAUGGAGUAUGCAAAACCUAGAUCUAUUAGCUAGAGCUAUACAGUAGGCUGUUGGGUUGUUCAGUAUUGUCUCUUUUUUGGAUAGGUUUGGCCAAUGCCCCUUGAUGUUACUUUUUGGUGAUGUAAUUUUCUUUGAUUUUUCUUGAAAAUUCCUCAUUUUUCAAGCUUGCUUGUAUAUCUUUUCUUCUUCCAUUAAUGAUUGUUUGAUUCCUUACUAAAAUAAAUAACAAAUUAUGAUGGAAAGGAUUAUGUUUAUGGAAAAUUUUGAGAUUUUCACCAGAUUAGAGUCUCCGAAGCUGGUAUUUGUCUUUACACAGAUAAUAGGAAUCAUUUUCCCCCCAAACUACAUAAGACAUGUCUGCUACUUGGUAAUGUUCCAUUGGCAGUUAUAAACUCUCCUGUCAAAUGUGAAUCUGUUGUAGCAUUCCGAAUGGUGUUGUGUCGUACAUAGAUUGGUAAUUGAGGACUUUAUUAUGGAUUUCGUCCUGUUUUGGUUGUGCCAACAAGUUCUAUCCUGUUCUUUGUCUUGCUGAUUUGCGUGGUUGUGCAUCAUGUUCCUACCAGCUGUAUAAUUAUGCUUCUGGAGCAUAGUUAUUCUGGUUUUACCAUCCAGAUGAUGGUACUAAAGUAUUUGUAUUCUAGAUUGCACAACUCCUUAUAUGGGAUAUUUUUGCAUCAAAUGCUUAGUGAUCAAGAGAACUCUCAUAUUAAACACAUUCAUCUUCUAUUAAACUAAAUUCCUUAAGUCUGCAGUCUCACAACUACAUCAUACCAUUCUUUUCCUUUUUUCUUCCUUUCUUGCUAUUACAGGUUGGUUGCCACUAAUAUAGUAGAAAGCAAAUUACACGACCCUGCUUCCAUAAGACCUUUCUUAUUCCAUAGGUUGAAAUAGAAAAAACACUCGAUGGGACUAAUGCUUCUCUUUGCAAGCAAGCAAAUUAAAAUGUUUUGAAACCCAUGCUGCCAUGAUCUAGCUAAUUUGCAUUUUAUAUGUCUACUCCUUUCUAUUUACUCAAAUUGUGUAUUUCUUUUGCUUGUAUUUAUUUCCUGAUGAGUUUAUUCUGAUUCUUUGAUCAGGAUUUCUGCAAUCACAUUGCUUGCUAUUGAAUUUUCAAGGGCUUAAUAUGAAUUAUUAAUAAAGAAGUUGUUUAAUUAUUUCAGCAGCUUAUACUUUGUAAUUUCUUUUAACAACUCUUAUCUCUGAUGUUCAUUUGUAAUAAAUAGCUGGAGAAAGGGCCCAACGUGAACGCCUUCGGGACUUAGCUGUGUUUGAGAGGUUACAUGGAAAUCCUGGGAAAACAUCUCCAAGCCUUGCUGUCAAAAAGGUAAACCCUACAUCUCAUGCCUCUAUACCGCAUCUUAGCUUCUCAUCUUGCAUCGGACAAUGAUACUCUUAUUGAAUCAUCUUUACCAUAUCAGCCAUCAACAUGUGCACUUAUUGAGCACUAAUUCAGGCACUGAUACUUGUGCUUUUGUUUUGUUUUAUCUUCUCUUGUCUUGUUUUGUUAUGGAUGUGAUUGUGUUGGAUGACCUGUAUCUGUGUUAGACACCAAAGCCUAUCUUAAUGGUACUGUAAAGUAAGACUAUGCUAAUAAGCUAUUGAUCUGUUACAGGGUUUAUGCCAAACUGAUUUUUUAGUUUCUCUAGUAGAAAACUUGUUUUUUCCCCUGUUAUAUCGGUGCUAUUGUUGGAUUUGUGUUUGUUGUUGAUCAAGCAUUUGCUGAAACUUUUUUUUUUUUUUUUUUUCCUUUGCUUCUUGAUGUGCAAAGCAUUAUUGUUUGAAUUUUAAUGAUCCCAUUUGAUUCACUAUUCAAUAUUUUUAUUUGAUAUUACAUCUAUCUCAUUUGUUUUCUUUUCUUAGUUUUUAUUUUUAUAUUUUAUAUUUUUAAUUUUUUUUUAAUUUUUUGAAUUAGUGACAUUUGAAUUUGAUGGAGCCACCAUUAAUUUAUUUUUCCUUAUUAUUGUGGGGUGUGCUUUAUUUUGUUCAAUUGUUGUUGCACUAUUAUUAUCAUGUAACUUUUUUUUUUCUUUUCUUUUUUUUUUGUUUAAUCUAUUGUUCCUAUGAGCAUUAAAUGCUCCUAAAAUGUAUGGAAUAGGCUAAACCUUUCUAUAGUUUUUUUAAAAAAACUCAUUUAUUAUCUAUUUUCUUGUGCUCAAAAAAUUAUAUUUUUUUAGUAAAAUUGAAAAUUUAGGGAGCGCUUAGGCCCCAGCGGCUCAACCCCUUGAGGGUUUAUGCCUAUUGUAGCAAGAUGUGGACCCCCUUGCCUCUUAUGCUUUUACCUUAUGAAACUAUACCAAGAAAAAAACGCCACAACUCCCUGCUGCCAUCAAAGGAUACUUCAAAUUUUGCUUGAUAUCAAUUUUAAGGCUAAUUAUCAUAGGCUUGUCAUCAUGUCACUAAAAUUGGUAUUGUAACCAAAGUCCUAUUGCGAAAUCUUCAAGUUGCAGCUCCUUUUUUUCUGUUGGCUCUUGUAUUGUUAGGUGGCCGCAACCUGUUGCUUUACUUAUGCUUUAUGAACUACUCCAGUUAAAAUAAUGCUUCGAGUAGAUGCUUUUUGGAUCUUGACUCUAGCAAGAGGCUUAUAUUGCAAAUUUUUUUUGUGGAGUCCUAGAUAGGUUAACUAGGAAGACAAUAGCUUGCUUAAAAGGAUUGCCACCUCUCCUGUUGGGUUUGUAAAAAUUUUGCUUCUCCCUUGACCUUGGGAGUCCUGUGGUUUCAAUUUUGGGUGUGCUCUAGGUUGUAGCCUGUGUUAUGCUUUCUAAAUGGUAAUCUUCUUGUUUUGGUUGGGAUGCUUUUGUUUAUUUUGCUUGUUUGCUUUCUUUGUUUCUUUAUAAUUGUGGCUAUAGGAUCACCAAUCAACUUUAUAUUUUUUGCAAAAACUGUUUAUGUUUCAUAACGAAAAAGGAAAAAACAAAGGCAAGUUAGCCUACAAUAGGUUCUAUCUUGUUUCUUCUUUUACCAUUAGUGUGGAUUCGAACUCAGGAAAAGGCCUUCAAGCAAGUGGCAUUUGUGUUUUUUAAACAUAUAUCUUUGUUCAAUCAUUGUUAAGUGUUUGUUGUCUUGUCUGUUCUUUUGGUUGUUUUUGUCUUUGUCAAAGUGUAUAACUGUAAUAUCCUACAUCGUAUAGAAGAAAAAGUUUCUAGUGCUAUAUAUGUAUGAAUUUCUUUUAAUCUUGUUGAUUCGUUUUUAAGCCGUGAGGGUCGCUUAGGCUCAAAACAAAUAAUAUCCACACAACUGGGAGCAGGUUGUUACAAAUGGUAUCAAAGUCAAUGCUCGACCUUGGUGGGAGAGUUUGUUUGGCCUGAAAUGGGUGUCCGUUUAUUUGACCCUACAAUCCUGUUGGACACAACAAGAACGUUGUGUCUGCAUGAGAGAGAGGGUGAUUGUAAUAUCUUACAUUAGAUAGGGGGAAAAGUUCCUAACGUUAUAUAUAUAUAUAUGUCUGUAUGUAUGUAUGUAUGUAUAUAGACUCCUUUUAACCUUGUAAACGUAUUUUAAAGUCAUGAAGGCCCCUUAAGUAUAAGGUGGAUAAUAUCUAUACGGUUGAGUGC